CCUUCCAGCAUAUAUAUUCUCAUGUGUAGGACAGGAGCAGCUUACAAGACACAUACAACACCUAAGGUAUCUUAAUCUGUCGUCACAUGAGUUCGAGAAACUUCCUGAAGGUAUAAGCAUUAUGUAUAAUCUACAAACGUCGUCACAUGUUCAGGACAGGAACAACUUACAAGACACAUACAACACCUAAGGUAUCUUAAUCUCCCACCUUCCCUCAAACAAUUAGGCAUCUGCAGCUGUGAGAAGCUCUGCUCUGUGUCAGGAGACCUGCGUGCACUCGAGGACCUACAUAUUUCUGACUGCAAUAAGUUACAGUCAGUCAAUUCCUUGGGAGACCACCCAUCAUUAGAAACACUGAUUCUUUCUCGCUGCCGAUGCCUUGCAUCUUUAGGAUGUGAUGGUGGUCGUGGGAGUUACUCUGCUCUUCAGAGCCGUAAGAUUGUAGACUGCCCAGCCUUAGACAUGAAGCAGUUUUACUAACGCCAUCAAACAGCUGCUUGACAGCUUUGAAAAUGAAGACGUAUCACACGUUCAUUCAAGCAGCUCUGAUGAAGGUAUACGACCUUUCACUUUCCUCUUAUUCAAUUUGUUUCCUUCAAAUUUCCCUGCUUUGCAUGCCCUCCUAUUUUGUUGACGAACUGGUUGAUAGAUGGGUUUGCGGGGUGGGAUUUUGGGGUUUCAUCUUCAUUCCGGCUUUUAGACGGUCCUUUCUCACUGAUGUAAACCCACAUAUUGUUGGUUUAUACGGCUAUUAAUUGGUUUUCAGUCUUGGAUGCAGUUGACGUGCAUAGAGAAAUUCUGGAAAUAUGUGCUACCCCUUGGUGUUGAGAUCAGCUGAUGCGGAAUCAUUGAAGUACUACUGAAACGACAUCCUGAUCGGUCUCAGUUUUGGAGAGCAAUUUGUGGUGAAUGGAAGCAGUCCCAAGGCUUGAAGAACUCAUGGAGUCGUGCUUCAAGAACUCAUGGAGUCGUGCUGUACCAUUCUCCACUGCUAGGGCCUAAACUAGGUACGUGGAAGGCGCACUGUGUUUUGUCAACAACACAAUUCCUUUAUAUAAGUUGGGAUAGUAAAAAACCAUGCCUUCGUCUGUGUUAAUCAAAUCUCAUUUAGCACAUAUAUGGGGGACGUGUUGUUAACUUGUUACCCCCAUGCUUUUCAUUUUUUCUGUGCAGACAUCACCCAUUUGUCCUUAAAUUAAAGCAUAAAGGAGGGGCACUCACUUGUACACAUGUUCUUAAGCACUGCAACGACUGCCAUUUGUAUACUCAGCUUCAUUGCAAGCCUUUGCUAAUGACGACAGGCCUUCAGUGGAUGACAAAAACGACCAAGUUUGUUUUCACGGCACUACUAGCUGCUGGUAUUCUCUCGUCACUAAUGUACAGAACUCCAUUCUGUCAUCCAUCAAAGCUGUGGACAAUAUGAUGUCACUCUUGUUUUAAACGAAACCGGCAGGAGAGCUGCCCCGCUAUAUUAAAAAGAAGGGAUGCCCGAAGGGCCAGAGAAGUGUACAUGAAAAAGAGUGUUAAAACCCCUUGACAAGGAAGAAAAAACUAUACACACUAAAAAGAGAAACGGUGCACAAAAACACCCUCAAGAAAGCUGCAAUAAACAUGCCAGGUGCUUAGCCCUGACCGCCACCCAAGAAGCGGCCUCCCCUUUUAUCUUUGAGAAAACUUGUAAUGAAGAGGAUUCUUUGUGGUCGAAAAUUCUUGCAUUCCUUUCAAUCCAAAGUUCCUAACAGACCAAAAUGAUUAGGCUCCUCAGCCCACUCCUAUCGACGCUUGGUGUCCUUACCCGCGCUGUCCACCACUCAUGCACCAAAGUGCACGGCUCCUAGUUUUAAGACCUUCAUUUGCUACCCAUGCAGCGAUCGCAUCCCAAAUGCGCCUGGUAAACCGGCAGUCAGUUAGGAGAUGCAUUUCAGACUCUUGAACCGUGCAACACAAAGCGCAUGUGUCAUUGUGAGGCCAAUUUCAUUUUGCUAACCUAUCUGACGACGUCCAUAUCCAAUUUUGGAUUACCAACCACCUGGAAAAUUUGCACUUCGGGAGCACCCACGGCUUCCACAUGAUCGCUUUGAAGUUUGUGAAGGUGGAGCCGACACGGUGUAUUGAUUAUUCUCUGUUAUUUUCCAUACAAUGUUGUCUGGGUUGUCUGGUAUGAGUUGAACCUAGACUACCACUGUCCACAAAUUGCAGAACUCCAUAAAAUACCCCAAUGCUAAAUUUACACUCGAUCGGACGUUCAUAUCGUCGUGGUCGACGUGCACCAGUCCUCCCAUCAGCCCAUCACGUGGGCUCCACUCCACUUUUCCCCUCGCGCUCUCUCCCCCCUCUCCAUUCCACUUCUCAUCCUUCUCUUUCUCGAUUUCUCCACGAGAUCCACCUAAGCAACUCUGCGCAUGGAGCUGUUUCGCCUAGCGUUGAGCACAACGGUGGCAGGCCUAGUGGCGGGCGGGGAAAGCAGCGAGGCUCCGCCUUGCAGCACACGGUGGCGCUCGAGAUCAUCCGACGAGGCACGGAUGUGGGCCUGUCGGUGCGCGGGGGAAGGAUCACUAGGACCAUCGAGGGCACCUCCGCGCCCCGACGGUGAGUAGCCGACGGAUCCUGGCGAGCUCUGCGGGGGUCGCGGUCGACAGCGAUCUGUUCAUUUUUUCCCUUCCUUUUUUCUCUUCUACUUUUUGUCUCAAAAUCUUUUGUCUGUAUAAAGUUUUUGUUUCCAUUUUUUUAUUUCUUUGCAUCGUGAAUUUUUUCUCCAUUAUUUUGCUUCAAAACUUUGUGGACAAAAUUUCUUUUUCAAAACUUUUCCAAAAAUUUUGUCUCAAUUUUUAUUUUCUGAGUUUUGUUCCCAAAAUCUUGCAAAAUUUUUCCUCCAAAUUUUUGUUCGCAAACUUUUGUUUCCAAGUUUUUCAAAAAAAUUAUCCUCAAACUUUUGUUUUCCAACUUUUUUUAAAAAAAAAUUCUCAUUUUUGUUUAAUGAGACGGGAAUCGCACGUGGGAAGCCGUUCCGACGUGUGGUCGGAAAUCGAUCGCACGGAAGGCUCCCACUAGUCGCGUGUAAACUUGCGUCCCCCAUAAAAUAAAUCUGUGUGAGGCUCGAGGCUGGAGGCCUAAUAAGGCCAGCUACAAGACUAUGCUUGAUAGUAGAGAGAAGUUUUGGUUGCUAGCAGUCGAUGCUGAGUUAGAGCCCCAAUGCUUGGUUAGUAAAAUAUUGCUCCAUAGCAGGAAACAGGCGUCGCUGGGCAAAGAGAAGUGCAGGAGAACCAAAAGGAAAUAGGUACAACUAGCUAAAGAAGCCAGCAGAGAGUAUUUAUGUAAGGUUUCUUAAUUUAUAGGAACCAAAGCACACUCAAACCAUAUUCCAGAAUCUUAUUACAUGCAGAACCUGAAGUAAGGGAGAUUGAAACAUAGGGCACGCAUGCAUGCCUUUAAUUACACUACUACCAGAAAUUAAAAUACGCUGCUGCCAGAAGUGCUAUAUAUUGAGAGGUAGCUGGUGCAGUGUCACGCCAACAUAUGACGCAUGGUAAUGACGGGGAGGACCUGGACGUAGUACUCGAUCCUGUAGGCAACCUUGAGUAUGAGAUCGGGUUGCUGCCAAUCGUAGCCGCCGUCGACGCCGCAGAGGAAGGUCUGCGCGAUCCUGUAGUCGAUCUUGUGCUGCUGGUUGUGCAACACGAUCUUGUACGCAUCUCGGAGAUGUUCUUUCAGACUGCUCACCAUCGACCUGGUGUUCUGGUCCCGCGACAGCUUCCAGGACUGGGGCUGCUGCAUCAGGUCGGCUAUCUGCUGUACGAAUUGUACCAGCUGCUGGAUCUCCCCCCUGUUCUGCCUCAGCGCCUUCGCCUCCUGCACGAUAGAAAGUGCGAGGCGCACGACCUCAUCAUGGUCGCCGGUUCGAGCCCCCUGCUGGUCUCCACGUUCUCCUGGACCUACCGACAACGUGCUGCUCCUCACUGCAUUCACGUCCCUGCGCAUGCAUGCCGAUCAUCUCUGGUUAAAUUUUUCGUUAUUUACGUACUCCAUAUAGGAAGUACUAUAUGAAUGUUUUAUAUAUCAGCACACGAUGAAUACCCGUCCGUGAUGUCCCUGAUUAUCAACUCAAUCACACUUUUAGCGUCGGAUGACAUAUUGUCCAUGUUAGUCAAGUUCCUGAUAGAUGACUUCAGCUCCUCUUUUUCAGUCUGAGAGUGGUCAGAGUACAAAAAAUCCAAAGCUUCCAUGCAUGUUAAAUAUUCAAUAAGACAUGCAUAUAGUAUGAAUAUAGUCAUAAUGAUCAUGUCAUGCAUAAGCUUGGUCAAAAACUAUUAAUAUAUCGCAAAAUCAGGCAACAAUGUUAAUCUACCGCUCCCUCCAUUCUCUUUAGAUAUUAAUCCUUUUCGAACACUAGUACAGUCUAGUAUUGUGCACCUAAAAUAGUCCAACGUGAUGUAACAUGGUGCUGUCUAUAAAUCGUCAGUUUAUGUUUUGAACUUUACUACCUUUUAUUUUUUUAGAUAAUGGAUAAAUAUCCGGCUUCACCCUCCUCUUUCGACCAGGCGGAUCAGUCCACAAUUAUUACAAAAGAAAUGAAUUCACACUAUGGUUUCGACCAAUCAAACCGACUCAAAGAAAUCAAUUCUGGAAUCAAAAGGUAGCUUGUCACUACCUUUUAUUUAUGUUGCAUUGUUCAUUGCCACAAAUUAUUUGCAAAUAUGAAUCUUAUAAUGCUAAACUUUUAUGGUACAAUCUACGUACAGUUUCUUUCUCAAGUUUGCUGUAGUUGUUUGCCGUUGAGUAAUAUGUAAUUCCGAUGGAUUCAAGAGUCUAGCUAGCUAGAUUUUGGUACCUGUGGAAGGCGCUUGCAAGCACCAUUUCGAAGCAGCUUCUCAAGCACGUUCAUGAAGAAGCGCUCCUUAUUGAUGCUUACAAUGAGGAUCAUGUUGGCAAUGUGGAACGACUCCAGGAUUUUGGAUAUCCGUGCAUCAACGGCGACGAUCUUGUUGGCUUUCUUUUUGGUUUUGAAGACAAGCGACCAAGUCCUCUUCUCCCUGCAGGACUCAACGAGCGCCUUCCCGUCGUUGAGCGCAUCUUCAAGAUGUUUCAGCAUGCUGUAGGUCACUGGGUCCGGCAUCCACUGGCUUUUCAGCUCCGUCAGGAGGAGGUUAAUCAUUUGCACGUGGUCUUUUAGCAUAGUACAUUUCUCCCUGUUGCGCUGAGCCGCCUCCGCCAGCCGAUUGAUCUGUUCCACGAUGCUCAUCAACGACGAAAUAAGCCCAAUUGCUUCGGCCACCCCAACCAUCUCGAUCGAUUGCGCUGCGCCUGUAUGCUUGCAACGUCAGAUUUGCACGUAUAUGAGUAUACAUGUCUACCCUCCGCCAUCCAAAAACAAUUGGAUGCCGACAAGUGGUAUUGACAAGUCUAUGCACAACACGCGAUGUCAUGUCAAAUUUUAGCUAAUUUUAGCUUUUCUAGAUUCAUAGAUAGUAUUAUGUAUCUAGACAUCCACUAUAUCUAGGUGCGUAACAAAAGCUAUGCAUCUAGAAAAUUCAAAAUGACCUACAAUUUGGGAGGGAGUACACCCUAAUAAAAAGAUUAAUGGUGGAGCCUGAAGCACAAUUUAUCGUAUAAAAAUAAUACUUGUAAAUAUAUAAAUUUAUUAUAAAAUAUAGAAACUCGAUUGACUAUCUUCUUAAUUAAUGGAGAAAUAUAGGCUGUGAAUUUUCAAAAGGAAAAGGAAAAAGUGUAUUUUUCAUCCUUCAAGUAUUGCAAAAGUGUAACAUUCCUCCUUCAUGUUUCAUUUGGUGCAAAUCAAGCCCUUAACUAACUAAAUCGGUUGCAUUUAUCAUCCCCACCUUAGUUUAAUAAUUGUUUAGUGUCAUAUAACAUCGCUUUAGGCCAUGUAAUCAUCUUACUAAUCAGUAUUUAGCCAUGUAUAAUAUUUAGUCAAUUGAUUUAAUAGUUUGGUGUGAAUCGGUUCCGUUAAUUUUUCCGAUAAAAUAGUUAUAUGGUAGUCAAUUUAGAGGAUUUACUUUUUUUGUGGGCUUUAUAUCUUUGACUUAACAUAUUACAUCACUAAGCAGUGAUUUAGAUGAAUACAUGGCAUAAACCUUCAUUAGAUGUUACUAAACCAAUUGAACUAACGUGAGGAUGAUACAUGCACUGAUAUAAUUAGUUAAGGGGUUAAUUUGCACCAAAUGAAACAUGAGGGAUGAAUGUCACACUUUUGCGGUACUUGAGGGAUGAAAAAUAAACUUUUUCCAAAGAAAUAACUUGAUCGAUCCUGGUCCCAACUAUUUUAUAAAUCUCUUUUAACAUGAAUUUUGUUGAGCUCGCAUGAACACAAAUUGUGGCAAAAUUAAAGAACAUCUACACCGUUCAAUAUACCUACAAUCCCAUACUGCAUGCAGCCAUUUUAUAAAUUUCUUUUGAUGUGAUUUUUUUAGUUCCUAACGCAGACUAUCCUUCAAGAGAAAAAAAUGGGCUAUGGAAUAUAUGAUUAUAUAGUACGAUAUCUCCUGUACAAUGUUAGUAUAUGAGUUGAACCGGUCUUGUACGACAAGAUGAUCCAAGCAAAUGGACUCAGUAGGUAAGGUACAGUUUUGUAGCCACACAACUUUGGUGUGCAAGGAUAAACAAACACUUCAAAUGGAUUCCGUUAAAAUAACUUGUAGGGGAUGCAAUAUGGCAGAUCUGCUGGAGAUGAUCUAAACUUACAUUCACAUAUAUAGGAUAAACGAACACUUCAAGUGUUAACCCUAGCUAAUGCUUGCAAACAGAAACAAUGGAGGUUCCUUGACAUUUGACUGGAUAGUAGUGUAUUGUAGAAAAAAGGGAAAUCAAUAACCUGCCAUACCUUCUCAAAGCUCCAACCAAGAAAUAGCGCUACCUCACCCAAUAGGCUGUGUCGCCUUGCUUCAGCACAAGGUAGCGAGCACACGGCUAUUUAUACAAAUAACAUUGUAUAAAUGAACGCAUGCAGAAAAGUAUACUUUGCCUAGGUACGCAUGGAGACUUGCUUAGAUUGACCUGGUUACCUGUACUGUACUCACUUCAUACUCUUGACAACGCAAUUCAGCUACCAAGGAGUACGACCUGCGUCGACGAGACGAAGACUUGUUUAUACUCAGGGCAACGCAAUUCAGCUACCAAGGAGUGCGACUUGCGUUGACGAGACGAAGACUUGGACCUCGUCUUCGACUGCAUGCAUGCAUUGGACUAAUCUAACCACGCGGCGACUCGCCCCGGCCCGUGAUGACCCUGUAUAUGGAAUAGUGUGCAUGGAGGAUUAUUCACUCACGCUGCGCUGCCGACAAUGAAAGUACCGCAUGCCCAAACAGUACGUUGCUCAUGGUUGAGUAAAUGUAACUAAGUACACCCAACGUCCUGAAAUAUACUUACGGUAUAUUUAAGAACGGAGCUGUACUUACGGUAAAAAAUCAUUGCUCAUGGUUGAAACUUCAAAACAGACGGUUUUUGCCCACCAGCAGCGAUAGCCGGGACCGUUUCCGCGCUCAUCGGUGCAAAUUGCGCAACUAGCAGGACGAGACAUGCACGCAAACAGCUGGUGAAACAUGCAUGCACCUAGCAUGGCUAGUCGUCGGGCAGCAACUAGCACGAGACUAUAUGUUCAUGCAAGUGUCUCAUUAAUCAUAGCGCGACCUAACACCAAAACACAUCAACCAGCAGCGUAUCUAGAUUUUCGACCUAAUGUUACUAAUACAGACUAGGCUAUCACCGUCAGCUUAUCACCACUGGUUUUCGGUGAAUCUGCGGUGAUAGAGUGUCACCGCCGGUCCAAUAUUUAGUCGUACUCAAUGUUCAUUGGUCAUUAUGUCUUUACUAGAGAACCGGGCUUCAAUCCCGACCCAUCAAUCCUGAAUGCCAAUGCUCCCGGUUCAGUGGCUACAUAUCACGUCCGGUUUCUAAACAAAACCGGUAGAUGAUCCGUGGGGCUAACAUCUCUCCUAAUCAGUGGCUCAAACCUGCUGUCAAGUCCGCUACUGCUUGCUCAUCCUCCCAUGAAGUUAAAGUGAAAUCCAGUUUGGCUUAAAUAAGAUUUAUAUUUUUUUGGCCUGUUAGCUUGAGCUUCUUCCAGCGGUUGCGGCUGUUGCUCAUCUUCAGAGUUACCAUCCUCGCUCUUCAUGUUCACCCUUCCCAGCCAUUCUCAAGUCACCCAGAGGGGGGGUACAAAGGCUCUCCGCUAGAGUUCGGAGGCCGGACAAUGCCCGUCACAUCCGCCUUCCAUGAAGGUUUUUGCUGGCAGCCAGGCAUUUCGAGGGUAACAGAUCAAGUGGUGGAAACCUUUAGUAGAAUGCUUAUCACUCAAUUGACUCACAUCUCUUUUGUUUAAGGAAACCAAGCCCACUACUACAAAAUUAAUAUCAAGAUAAUAUGUUAUAAAACUUAUUUGUGAAAACUCAAGAUAAGCAUGCACAGGAAUUUCAGGAAAGUGCCGGGUGCCUCACAACCAAGCUCAUUAAUACCAAAGAAAGAUCAACAAACAAAACAAAUGGACACAACGUUCAGAACCCAAUCAUUUGCCCACCAAGAAUGCCAUACCCACACCAGAACAAAUAAGAACAGAAGUUUAAAAGGGUAAAAAUUGGUUGAUGAUGCAUGGAACGAAACGUAUAGAAUGCUUAUUACUCAAUCGACCCACAUCUCUUUUUUUUUCUAGGAAACCAAGCUCUCAUUACUACGUUGGAACAUCUAACCAACCAAAUGGACGAAAUUGUUUAUUUGGCCUCCAAGAAUGCCAUACGACCUGAAUAACUGAAAGCGCUAACAAAGCCACUUAUUGUUGUGCAUAGCAGCUAAGCUUGACUUAUUUGCAAACGGGUGCGAAAUGCGAUACAAUAAUUCAUAGUUCUAGACGUCAUGAGCCACGCGUGGGAUAAGAAGAAGCUUCUCCUUACGGUGCACAUCAACCCCAUAUGACUCUGUCAUAUCGAUGCUUGUCGACCCUGGUGGAAGCUCGGCUUGCAGCUUGCAGCUUGUUCAUUGAUUGGGGAUUCUGCAUCAGCUCAGCCAUGGCGUAGUCGAGCGCUAUGUACGUUGUGUCUGUCCCAGCUUCGAACGUGUCCUACACGCAUGUAUCAACAAAAUUCAAUCAAACUUUAGCAAACUAGUCCAUGAAACAUGUCCUAUGUACGUCUUGUAAGGAUUAGCUUGGAAGCUUCAAAAGAAACCUUCAAUUAGUAAAAGUUUGAUUUUUUAAAAAAAUUUGAAGUUUAGUUGCAUACAUGCGGUCGGUAGAAAUGGAACUCUGCAUAUACAUACCAUCAGUAUUGCCUUGAUAUUAUCUCUGGUCAGGCCGUACUCUUGUUGAACGGAGAGCAACACGUCGAUAAAGUCCCCCUCGUCCUCACCAUCCAGCGUCUUGCUCUUGUGCUUGUCGAUGAGGCUGUCCAAAAGGUCAUCCCAUCUCUUCAUGUGCUUCACGGCCUUGGCCGACACCAAAUCAAACCUUGCCAAGCUCGGGAAGUAGUCAUCCAGGUUGAAUCCUCCCAGGAGCUUGGUGUUCGUCUCUAGCAGCUCCCGGAAGAGCUGGUUCCGGCCUUGUUCCCUGGGGAGCCUGCCCGUCAUGGCCUGGCACACAAUGUCAUUGGCGAAGAAGCCCAAGAUUUCGCUGACGUCGAUCGCCGUGCCCGCGGCGGCGGCGGCCCUCACCCUGGCUAAGACCAGCCGGACCUCCUGCUCGCGGGCGGCGCGGUAUGACCGGACCUUCGCUGCGGUGAGGAGGUGGGUGGUGAUGACCUUCCUGGCUCGGCGCCAAUACUCGCCGUAAGGCGUGAAGCUAACGUCAGUGGAGCCGUAGAAGAGGAUGUCAGCGACCACGGAGUGCGGUCGGGAGGCGAUGACGUGGUCGUGCGUGCGCAGGACAGCCUUGGCGGCGCGGGGGGAGGAGACGACGAGCGUUGGCACGGCGCCGAGGCGGAGGAGCAUCACGUCGGGCCCGUGCUUCUUGGCGAGGUCGCGGAGGGAGUGGUGGGGAAGGGAUCCGAUGAGGUGGAGGUGGCCGAUGAUCGGGAGCUUGAACGGAGGCGACGGUAGCUUCCGGAGCAGGUUCUCUGUUCUGGACCUUGGUGUUGCCAAGUGCACGGCGACGAGGAAGAGGAAGAAGAGGAGGGCUAGGGACUCUGGAGAUGCGUGUUCGUAUAGAGGUGCGCUAGCGCUGGAGCCGCCAUGGCUGAUCAACCUGCUCGUUGCAGUUUUUGUAGAGCUCGGAAGUCGUGAUCCGUCAGACAGCAAGAAGAGUAUGCUACCAUUUUUUUUCUUUUCUGCAUCACCGCCAGAUCAGAUCAGACAGGAUUUUAUGAGAGAAUCCUAUGGAAUCAUCAUCCUUUUUAGUAAACUUCACCAGACGCAGGAACGCGAGCCGAUUAAUUGGCAAGCUUUUCUCUCAGAAUAUGUGUUUGGUGCUGGAUUAAUUGGCGUGCAGGUUGAAGAAAGGCUGCUUUAUAGAUUAGCCCCCGAAGAAAAAGGAAAUUCCGACGGAAAGUUUGUGUCUUGUGGUUUUGCAAAAAGGACCCUGGAAAGGCUAGAUUCUCAAGUUCCAGUCCUACCCGAGAUCUUUUGCAAAUAUAACCCUAUAAAUUCUGUUAUUUGCAAGUACUUUUACGUGUGUCUUGCAAAUCUUUCUUGCUAGCCCCUGCCGUCUAUGGCUAAUUGCAUCUGGGUCCCUGCCACCUUGUUUGUCUCAUAACUUCUUCCUUCUAGCUCCAUUUUGAGUGAUUCUUUCGCUCACACGUUCGUCUUAACGAGUAGAUUAGUUUGGUACUGCUUUUAUGGUACUGCUUUUAAGUAAUAUUUUUGAUGAUUGGUGUACUGUUUUUAAUUAAAUGCAUUUGUUUGCUUGUAUGUGCUUGUGUGACGCGUAUAGAAGAAGCGUAGUUCGAGGAAUCCAAAGAGGAGGGAGACUGAAGACUCUGAGCAGCAGAAGGGCUUGGAGGAAGGCAAGUGUCCUUGGUCAUUCCCGUUUAUACCUAAAUGACAUGCAUUGAUUCACAAUAUUUAUUUAUCGCAAGCAUUAAUAUGAUGGGUUCCUAUUAAGGAUGAUGCCUAGUUUCUUUUGAUCAUACCUUGCAGCCAGGUUGUUCAAAUAAUCUGGAGGGUAGAUGAUGCUUAGUUUGCUCAACUGGGUUGGUAAAUAAACAAUAUGGUUAAUUUUAUUUAUUUACUCUAUGUUCCUUUAUGUUGAUUUAAUUACAAGACCAUAUGUUCUAAACGAACAUGGAGCGACCACCCAGGAAAAUAGUACAACCACAAGGACUACAUGGCUCUGGUCUUGGCUAACUAAUUAGAGGACUCUAGUGUUGGAUUGGUGUUAAGGGGGGGCAUGUCUCGCGGAACCUCGUGCAUUGGAACACACUAGGGAAGUCUUUGUUAAGGCCUCUAGCGUCCCUAUGCAAUCACACCUCGGAAGUGUGGUAUUGUGCCUACUUUUGCACAGCAUGGUUGAAUCCAAAGUUCACCUGAACUUUUAUGCGACUUGUGGGUAAAGAUGUACAACCUCUGCAAAGUGUAAAACUGUUAUAACAGCCGUGCUCACGGUCAAGAGCGGCCUGGACCCUCACAUGAUUAAUUUACUUGAAGAUGAUACUAGUGUGUUAUUUAUGUUCAUGCUUAUGGUAUAUCAAUGCUCUAUAUUAAUUGUGGGAUGGUAUAAACUUACAUUUGCUAGUGAUUAGGUGUUGAAUAAAAACUUGACCAACUAAAAGUGCUAAUCGCAGUUAACCUUGUCAGCCUUCCACCAUAUAAAGCCUUGCAUAUCAUAGAUAUUUCUCUCUUGCUGAGUACGACAUGUGCUCACGCUUGUGUUUUAUAUAUUGCAUCUACAACGUCCGGAUUGCUGCUCAGACCCGGAGAACUUUGAAGAUUACUGAAGUUUUUGGAGGAGUUCUAGGUGAGUCCACCAGUCAGCUGCCUGUGGAGUUGUUGGAGAUGCGCUGCCUAUAUUAGAGAUUUCUAUCUCAAUUCUAGUUACAUAAUUUAUGUAAUUCUCUCUCUACGCUAUAACACAGUAUUUGAUAUUUACUGAAGUCAUCGUAUGUUUGAAACUUGAUCCUGGCAUACAUAUGAUAGUCAUCUGGUUUUACAUUUAAAACCGGGUGUGACAGGAUGCUACCGAUGGCUCUGCAACUUGAUGCAAUUCAUGCACGCUGCUGGGUGGCACCCAUGGUGCGAGAUGUCCAGGAAGAGUGCAUUGGCACUGUGGCGGCGGAUCCGACCAGUAGCAGCAGCUCGCACAGGUCACGACAAUGUGCAUCAUCACAAAAAUCCGAGGCUGCCCGCGCAGGUCGAGCUUUUAUUUGCUUGGAUCGGAUAUUCCUUCCUACUAAUAUCAUGGCUAUCUGUGUGAGGCUCAUAGGCUGGAGGUCUAAGGGUAGCCAUAGACACUACUAUAGAACUGACCGAGGGCUGAUUAGGCUCAUAGGCUCAUAGGCUCAUAGGCUGGAGGUCUGAUUAGCUCAUAUUCUUUGUCUCACCCUAUGGGUAUCGUGGAGGCACGGCGCCAAGCUGGCGGCACGGUGUAGCCUCAAUUCAGAACUUUCCUAGCCAGGGCGUGGCCGAGGGCGAUUGGUUGCUCAACCUGAUGAGAACUUGGGUGGGUGCUCCUAGAUGGGAGAGAAUAGGGUGACGGAUGAGAAUGCAGAUGAGGGACGGGGCUCAGACGAGGGGUGGGUUGGAGACAUGUUUUCACUGUUGAACUCUUAGCGUCAAGAUGAGAGGUGAGAUGAGAUACCGGUAGGACCUGCUCUUACCAUGGCACUUCAGCAACCCCACCCCAACCCCGCGCGCAAGUCAAAAUUUGAGGACCAUAUGUACAAUACGUGUGCAAACAGAACCAUAAUUUUACUAGUAUCGAGGGAUUUUAGUUAUUUCUUCUAAAAAAUCUCUUGGGAAAUCGUAUUUUUGUAGUACAACAUAUAUAGAAAAUAAGUAUUACUCACAAAUAAACUGCCCUUUUCUUUAGUAUUCUUGGUUUUUGUUAUUAUUUUAUUUAAUCUUAAGAUUUAUAUAUGCAUAAAAAAGUAAUUUAGUAUCUUCAAAUAUGGAAACGUGGUCUUAGGAAUAGGGCUCAUAUUUUAUUCUUGAGCAUGCCUAGUGGAAAAAUACUAUCUAAAAAACCGCAAAGAAAUUUAAUACCUAAGCCUUCGAUCCACUCUACUUUUUGUAUACUAGUUUACCUGCAAUCCACUGGCUUGCACAUUAUAUUUCAUCAUACGGAAAUGUCUGAGAUUGUGAACGGAAGCAAUUUCAUCUGUCUGCAACCCUGCAUAGCAUGUGACAGCCCGGGCUGCGUGCCAAGAAACACCCAGAGCUCCUGACACAACCGCGUGAGCACCUUCUCCGACAUGCGCACAUGAGGACCGCAUGCACCCAUAUGCAAGGUUCACAAAUACGUGCGUGCUUAAACUAUAUAUAUAUUAUACAUAGUUUAUUAUAUUUUUGGCAGGGAUAUGAUAAUCAUUAAUUAUUACUUGUAAAGAUUGGAAACGUUACAAACGAUUGUAGAAAAAAUGCGAGUCACCAGGAAGGUAGGUAGUAGAGCAUGCCGUCAGUGUCUUUCCUGUGACCUGUGUUCGUGGUGCACAUGGCAGAAUGCACAGUCUAUACAUAGGAACCAGAAGUUGGCUUCGAAACCAAAUCACUCAUUAGUCCUUCAGUACUGCAGUGAACGCUAUCUAGCUAGCUAAUUUCCCCUUGAAAUCAGUUUUCUUGCGUGGCCAUGGGUAGCCUUCCACUUGAAGCCAUGAUGCCACUGAACCCCGAUUCAUUCGCUGGGGAGUCCAGUGCCGUGGUCGACUUCCUCGCCGACUACUACCGCAACGUCGAUAAGUAUCCGGUCAUGGCCAACACCCAGCCAGGGACCAUCCGUAAGCUUCUUCCGGAGGCAGCCCCGGAGUUGGUUGGUACUCAACAAGUCGUGGGAAAUAGUGUAGUGUAAGGCCAACCAUGAUACCCUUAUACUACCUAUACUACUCAUGUAUACUACCCAUACCACAGGCGUAGGUUUCAGUAGUAUGAAAUUAAUCUUGACCGUCGGAUAUGUUUAUACUAGUCAUUUUCGAACACAAGUAUAGUCUAGUGUUGUGUUCCGUAAAAGAGCUCAUAUAAUAUGUUAUAAAACUUAUUUGUGAAAGCUGAAGACAACACCAGGGGAUAAAUUCCAGAAUAGGUGAGAACAAAAAUUUAAAAGGGCAAAAUUUGUUGAUGGAUGGAAAUGCAUAGAAUGCUUAUUACUCAAUCGACUCACAUCUCUUUUUUCUAGGAAACAAAGCUCUCAUUAGUACUCUACGUUGGAAACAAAGCACUUAUUGUUGUUCAUAGCAGCUGAGAUUGACUUACAUAUAUUUAUUUGCAAACAGGUGUGAAAUGUGAUACAAUAAUUCAGAAAGCUAGACAUCCUGAGCCAUGCGAGGGAUAAGAAGAAGCUUCUCCUUACGGUGCACAUCCAUCCCAUACGACUCUGACAUAUCGACGCCUGUCGACCCCGGCAGAAGCUCCCAGUUGAAGUGGUAGAUGAGGUUGGCAAGAAUGAUUUCGAAAGUGGCGGUGGUGAAGUUUAUACCCGGGCACAUCCUUCGCCCAGACCCAAACGGCAAGAAACGGAAGUCGUUCCCCUGGAAGUCAGAAGCAGCAUCCACGGCUUCUUCCAUGAACCGCUCAGGCAUGAACUCCUCUGCAUUCUCCCAGUAGGUGGAGUCCCUGCCUAGAGCCCACGCGUUGACGAUUACACGUGUCCCAGAGGGUAUGGUAUAUCCCUCCACCUCCCAUUCGGCCAUGGACAAGUGGGGUAUCAAAAGAGGCCCCGGCGCGUGGAGCCGCAUUGACUCUUUCAUCACCGCCGUCAGGUAGCUCAUGCCGCUCAGGUCUUGUUCAGUGACCAGUUCCUUCCCCUUGGUUGCGCACCCCCGCACCUCAGCUUGAAGCUUGGUCAUCACCUUGGGAUUCCGCAUCAGCUCAGCCAUGGCGUAGUCUAGUGCUAUGUAGGUUGUGUCCGUCCCAGCUUCAAACAUGUCCUACAUGAAUAUAUCGGUAAGUAGAACUCCAAAUCAAAUUUAACCAAGCUAGUCCAUGAAACGUCUCAUAUGUACCUCUCGUGAAAAAUAAACAUACCAUCAGUAUUGCCUUGACGUUGUCUCUGGUCAGGCCGUACUCUUGUUGAACGGAGAGCAGCACAUCGAUGAAGUCCUCCUCGUCCUCACCAUCGACCGGCUUGGUCUUGUGCUUGUCGAUGAGGCUGUCCAAAAGGUCAUCCCAUAUCUUCCUGUGCUUCACGGCCUUGGCCGAUACCAAGUCCAACCUCGCCAAGCUCGGGAAAUAGUCGUCCAGGUUAAAUCCCCCCAGGAGCUUGGCGUUCGUCUCUAACAGCUCCCGGAACAGCUGGUUCCGACCUUGUUCCCUGGGGAGCCUGCCCGUCACGGCCUGGCACACGAUGUCGUUGGCGAAGAAGCUGAAGAGCUCGCUGACGUCGACCGCGAUGCCCAUGGCGGCGGCGGCCGUCACCUUGGCUAAAACCAGCUGGACCUCCUGCUCGCGGGCGGCGCGGUUGGACCGGACCUUCGCCGCGGUAAGGAGGUGGGUGGUGAUCACCUUCCUGGCCUGGCGCCAGUACUCACCGUAGGGGGCGAAGCCGACGUCGGUGCAGCCGUAGAACAGGACGUCGGCCACCGCGGAGUGCGGCCGGGAGGCGAAGACGUGGUCGUGUGUGCGCAGGACGGCCUUGGCGGCGCGUGGGGAGGAGACGACGAGCGUUGGCACGGCGCCGAGGCGGAGGAGCAUCACGUCGGGCCCGUGCCUCUUGGCGAGGUCGCGGAGGGAGUGGUGGGGAAGGGAUCCGAUGAGGUGGAGGUGGCCGAUGAUCGGGAGCUUGAACGGAGGCGACGGUAGCUUCCGGAGCAGCUUCUCUGUUCUUGACCUUGGUGUUGCCAAGUGCACGGCGACGAGGAAGAGGAAGAAGAGGAGGGCUAGGGACUCUGGAGAUGCGUGUUCGUAGAGGUGCGCUAGCGCUGGAGCCGCCAUGGCUGAUCAACUAGUGUGCACAACACACGGCUUGCUAGCGCAACAAGUUAGAACCAGCUCGUUGCAGUUUUUGUAGAGCUCGGAAGUCGUGAUCCGUCAGACAGCAAGAAGAGUAUGCUAUUUUUUUUCUUUUCUGCAUCAUCACUAGAUCAGAUCAGACAGGACCGACCAGAUCUGAUCUUUUAUGAGAGAAUCCUAUCGAAUAAUCAUCCUUUUUAUUAAACUGCACCCGACGCAGACUUUCUUUAUUUGCCCAUGUGCUAUUAUAUUAAUUUUUAUCUCGACUAUAUACCACUGUCCUCAUGUAUGUUGUGUACCAAGAGGAACACGAGACGAUCGAGAUUCCAAUAAAAUAUGUGUUUGGUGCUGGAUUAAUUGGCAUGCUUUUCUCUCAGAUGAGCUGCGUGUAGUGACAGCGGCGCUCGCAAUAGUUGGUCGGCGCACUGGUAGACGGGCAGCUCAUGGAUGCUACCGACGGCUCUGCAACUUGAUGCAGUUCAUGCACGCUGCUGGGUGGCACCCAUGGUGCGAUAUGGCAUUGGCAUUGGCACUGUGGCGGCGGAUCCGACCAGUAGCAGAAGCUCGCACAAGUCUAAAUGUAUCUAACUUUGAUGAAUUUUAAUUUCAAAUCUAUGGAGGCUUUUGAGCUCGAACUAAUUGAAAUGGAUCACACUUUAGUAGUGCUUUCAACAUAAAAAAUUGACACAAAAUUUGGCGGUGAGCAGUCUGCCUAGCCCAGGCAGAAAAACAAAGGCUUGAAACAAACAAGCCCUUGGUGUGUGCCUGAUAAUCAUAUGUUCGAAACUCCGAUCCUGUCGCCCUUGAUUAAAAUUCAUAGUAGAGACCUAUUGAGGAUUAGCCCUGGCAUCGAUCCGGCCACAGGAGAGACCGGGAGCCAAGAAGUGAAGUAAGUUGCGUGCGUGCCUGACGGCGAGGAAGCACCUCCAUUGAGCCACGAGGUGGAGUACGAGGCAGAGGCGAGAUGGGAUGUGUUGGGGACAGACUCACAUGACGGAGAGUGGUGCAUCUCCUACCUACCAUCUGCCAUUGCCGAGGGCCUUUCACCGUGCACCACUCCGGUUCGCUCUUUUGCGUCGCUGGGAGGAAAGGGACCGCCGAGCGUUGGGUGCCGCCACCGCUCCUGCGUAGUUCGCCAUGGCCACCUCCUCCGAGAGCGCCCUCACCAGCGGCUCCAGCGCUGCACCUCAUUCCAGGGAUGGGGCAGCCGCUGCUGGGUCACAUCCGCCCGGGGAUUGGGCCGUUGCCGGGGAAUAAGAGGAGCGCGGCAGAGAAGAAAAGGAGAAAACAGAGGAGCCGUGAUUGACAGGGACGGAGGAAAGAUGAUGAGUGCGUACGGUGGGGUAAAAAUGGAAUUGGUUUUUGGUAGAAACAUUUUCUAACUUGUGGUUUUUAUGGGUCUCCACCUUAUCCUCUCUCAAUUGCAUGAUAGGUGGGUCCGACAUGAGCGGUAAGGUGGUUCUGGUUUGGGUGAGAAAGGUUUUCAAUUAUGUUGGAAAACAGGCUUCGCGGAGGCUCAAACACAAUGAGGUUUGAGCAGUCCUUGCAAUUCAAUUCCAAAGAAAUGAACAUAUGUUUACAUCGGGGUAGGGCUCUCCUUUUAUAGUAUCUCGGAGGACAUUUUGCAUUCCGCAAUUACCCUCACUCACCCACUACAAUCCUAGAAUAUGCUUUACAUGGAGGUAACUUGUAUAACUUGGUCUCCUCCUUGGAUCACGCUUCUCACGCCUUUAGUCAGCUCCAUGAUUCAUGCUCUCACAUGGUUCCACAAAUCAUGCCUUCACAUUUCCAACGCCUCCACGCUUCCUGACCUCAUGACCGAAGCCAUCUUAGCUUCGGGAGUCAUGAUCGCCAUAGAUUCGCACCUAAGAGACGCUAGCCUCGCGCCCUGCUCCUUGACUUGAUUCAGCGAUCCUGCAUGAGACACUAAAUAACUCAGCACUCGAGGUUAGCUUCGACUGCUCGAGGUCAAGCUUGGUUAGUGUUUGGUGAUCUGUGAUUGCCUCCGGGCUUCGAGGUAAGAUUCAGGAUAGCGAGGCUAUGAUUACUUUCCACGCCAGAUUAACCACCCAAGGUUAGGGCCCCUCACCCGAUGUUAAUUAUUUUGAGGGGCUAAGCUGUUGACGCUAAAUGUAACGACCUCGAGGGUGACCAUCUUUUUGGGCGAUCCCCAACAGUAGCCCCUCGUGGGCAAGGCUCGACACCGACGACCGAACCCGUGACUUAAGGAUCUGCUCCCAAAAAACGUCACUCUCGAGCAUCGGUUAGAAAUGAGCCAACAGUGACCUUUUUGGUCUUACGUGUCGAUUUCCUAUUGGGUGACCCUUCGUAUCUAGCUCGUGGUUACAGGCGCCAUUUCACGCAUUUUACCAUGCCUAUAAAAGAGGGGGGUGGGGUCGCUUUCGUUUUUACCCUCGCGGCUGAAACCCUUGCGCUCCUGCUUUUGCUCGCUGCUUCCGUGCUUUAAGAUUCAUGCAUUGUAUGCUGUUGUCCUUGGUCUCGAGGAUCUCGAAGGUAACAAUGUUACUUGUGUCUCUCUUUUAGUGUGAGAUUUUCCCUUGCUUGUCAUUUUGGAGAUGAUGUUUCGAUGCCUUGCAGCUGGCUCGUAUUAUGCAAACCGCUAGGCCCAUGACAUCAGAAGAGUUCACUAAACAAGCUGGGCUUCGCAACGAGGCUGCGGAAGACCAGGAUUUGUCCAAGGCUGACGAGAAGCAAGGAAUCAAGAGGAUUGAGCUUUCUUAUGCCUAGAAGAAUAGGUGGGAAGAUAAUUGGCUAAGCUACUAGUUCUAUAUCAAGAUUGACACAGCCGAUGCGUCUGGUAUCAACCAAUCUUUCUAUCCUUCUAUGCACCCCUGGGCCCUAUGGACAUUGCUACUACCCCUGCAUUUACAAGGUCCAAGGCAGUCAAGGAGUGCAAGGGCGCUUUCCUCCCGGACUCGAAGUCGAUCCCCGACUGGAUCUUGUUGAAGAGUUUUUAGCAGCCAACAUUUGGCCCCUUUCUGAUGGGUGGAGUCCAUUGGAGAUUGUGCCAAAAGAGGUUCCGUGGAGUACUAGCCCGCUCCUCUACCCUUGCUUUGGAGUGGAGCUGCCCGUGGAUGCCAACCCCGGUCUUUUUGCAGAGGAUGUUGAGAGGCAUGCUGUUGAUAUAAUUGGCCCGAGUAUUGAGACUGAGCUGACGUUAGCUCGAAAGAUCAUUCACACGAGCUUCGGGUCAACCGUGUGUUCGAGGAACUUGGGGUCGAUGUUAAGCCUUGUCCCAAACCUCGCAAGACCUUGAAAUGGGAACGAGAGGCUGGCGCGACACGCUCGGAAUAGGUUGGCGGCAGUGGCAGGUGGAAAAAGAGAAAGGCCGAGAGCACCGCUCCUAAGGCCGCGGCAGUGACUUCAAAGAAGGAUGACAGCCAAUCGAGGGUCGUGCUCGAGGUGCGAAAGCAAAAUUAAAGACCUCGAGCCUCGAAGCUCAGAAGAAGUAAGAAACAAUUGGACAAAGUUCCUCGAGCGAGGCCGCGCCCCUGUCUCUAAAGCCGUCCGAGUUGCGACCAAGUCCGAACUCGAGGCUGCCGGCGCGCUGGCCGGUAUGAAAGAAAAGAAGUCUACGAGGAAGUCUCGCGUCGGCAAAGCCUUUGAUGAUGAUGAUGAUAUUGUUUUGGAUGUGGACUUGUCUAUGUUCCCUAUAUCGGUCCCCGAGGCUAGUGUUCCUUCAAAGGAGACUGAGACUAAGGUUGUUGCACCCCUUCUACAGCACGAGGCCAAACCUUUGAAGGAGAAGAUCAUGGAUACCAUUGCUAAGGAGAUUAAGGCGUAUACUUCGAAGGUGACAAAGCCAGGUAAACAUGUCGUUGUACAUUUGCCUAGGAUGAGAUUUUUUGAUUUUGGUGAUGCGUCAUUUAGAUUUCUGAUGGAGCUGGAAAAAACCACUGGUGCACCUGGGGAGAUAUACAGGGAACCUCCUCUAAUAUUUAGGGUAAAACCUUAUUCUACAGAUUCUGAACUGUCACCCUCUCUGGAACGUUACAACGAGGCCUACAGCACCAACCUUAGACAGGAGCUCAUUGCUGUUCAUGUGCCGGGUUCAGGUGAGGACGAUAAUCGCUACAACCUACCCUUGUUGUGGGGAGCUAAGGAUGGGAUGCGUGGUGUAGAUAGAGCAGCCAAGGAGGUUUUCAAGAUGUCUGAGGGGGUUGUCGGUGAGGUUGGUGGGCAUGGAGAAAGGGAGGAAGGAGAGGUUAUCCCUACUCGAGGUCUUGGGAAAUCCACUGUGCCUUUUGAGGUUGAUUACGAGGACAAGUCUUUUAAUCCUGAGAGUAAGCGCUUGCUCCUUAGUUUGUUUUGUCUGUACUUAAUUUCUACUUUGCUAUGCUUUGACGUGCCUUUCUUUUGACAGAGUAUGAAAAAUCAGUUAGACGUUUCGAGCAAAAGGACUUAGCUAGGAUGUCAGCUACCAUCGGAUACAAGGUAUUUUGUUCGACGCUUGCUAUUUGUUUCUUAUCUCUCUUUUUUUACGAGGCUUUUCAUUUUGGUGUUUCGAUUUUGCAGUCCAUCAUCCUUGGGAAGAUGCUAUGGAGAAGGCUGCGGCUAAGGAAAAGAGCAUGCUAGCCGAGAGCACGAAGAUGAUGCAGCUAGAGGCUAGAGUUGCAAAGCUUGAGGAGGAAAGCAAGGUUUUAUAUGCCUUGAAGAAUGAGCUCGCCGAUUCUAACUCUGACCUUAAAAACAACAACGUGCUGCUAACAAAUACCUACAGCGAGCUCGUGCAACAAGUUGAGAAGCUGGAGAAAAGACCCGAAGACAAUCUUGGUGUUUUGGAGAAACUCCGAAGCGCCACAGAAAAAGACGCACAGACUAUCACAGAGCAGGAAAAAAUGAUUCAUACCCUUGGUCAGGAUCUCAAAGAGCAAAAGACCUUUGUUGUGGAAGCAGAGCGGGCUCUCAAGGAAAAGUUCGCUGAGAUCUAUGAGGGGUACAAAACUGCUCUUGCAAAGUUUGGCGCAGAGCCUCUUUUGUUUCUGGGUGAUGAAAGUGUAAAAGAAAUAUUUGAUUGGGUGGAAGAGGAGUUCAAAGGCCUGCCCGAGGUUAUUACUGGCAGCAGCAACUUUGCUGCUUCCUUCUGCCUUGAUAGCGCAGUUCAACUCCUUGAAAAGAACAGCUACUCUCAUUUCUUAACACUCGUGGCUCGCACCUAUAUGUUCCCCUCGGCCUCGGAGCUUGACGAAGAGGAGAAAUCUAAAAAUUUGAGAGCCACGAAGAUAAAUUUCUUCAAACAGCUUUGGGCUACCUCCGGGCGAGAGUACACAAGGCUGGUUGCUCAAGAGCGGCUUGCACAGGUUAGGGUUCACAUAACUUUGUAUUUCAUAAGGUUUUCAUUUUUUCUGUUGAUUUCCUGAUGUUGUUCCUCUUGUGUUCGUAGGCCAAGGCAUAGGAAGCAAAAGGCGAAGGUGGGAGCGAGAACGGUGAUGCUGAUCAAGGAGGGCAGUGAUUAUCGAAGCUAGUUAGAGAUUUGUUUUGUGGUUUGGGAUGUUUUGAUAAACUUGAUACUUAGUUGGCUGCUUUUGCAGGCCAGAUUGUAAAUAUUUGUUGCUCAGCCGGAACUUACAUGCUCGAAGCUGGUUACUUUUGGCGUUUGUACCUUCACGGAUUUCUUUUUGUCUUAACGUUUUUAUGUUUGAGUUAUUCUACUCAAAUGGCAACAAAGCUGUAGCUUAAAGAAACGAGCAAUGUUUUAGUUUAAAACGUCACCCCUGCCCUAGUUUCUUUAUGCGUAGGUUUUGUUGACUUUGCACGCUUGUUGUCUAAGCUUAAACGGAGCUUAAAAACGUCACCCCCUUCUUGGCAUGUGGGUCUUACCCGAGGCAAUUCUCUCAUGGAAAGAGGAUGAAAACGAUUUUUGUUUGCCAAAAAAUGUCACCCCCGCCCUUUUAUCCUUUUUUCGAAAAAACGUCCAACCUCACCCUUUUCUUUUGCAUGAACGAGGUUAAGUGAGUAUUGACAAACCACAAGAUAAGUCAAUAGAAAACUUGUUUUCGAGUUAUGUUGACUUAAAAAUAUGACAGUUUGGUUGAAAUCGCAACCCUUAUGAUGUGUUUGGUUGGGCUGUGGCUUUUCAAAAAGCUGCUCUGAGCUGUGGGGGCUGUUGAAAAGCAACUGUGAGAAAGCAGCUGUGGGAAAAGUAUAUGGCCGUUUGGUUAGAGCAGAUGUGGCUUUUGAAUAAAUUUUUGAGUGGACCCUGCAUGUCAUCCACAGUCCACCCCACUCAACUCUCUCCCUCUCUCGCUGAUGAGCGGGUCUAACCCUUCUUCCUCCCGCUGGCUAGUCCACCCCACAGCACCCCGAGUAGCACCAGGGCCGCAAUGGCAUCCACGACGAUGUAGUCCACAAUCAGGGUGAGGUCCAUGACGGCGAUGGCCUGCACCUCGCCUCCUCCACCUCGCACCACGUGGCGGGCACCGUAGCACCAACGGCAUCUAGGAGGCGGUAGCACCCCGUGGGCACGCAUGCGUCGACAAGGAGGUUGAGGCCGGUCUGUGCUGCCAAGAGCCCGCCCACGGCGCCCGCGCAGGUGAGCCCCACCUCGGUGACGAAGUAGGCUGCCGCCGCCAUGGUGCCCUUCGGCGCGGAGGCGGAGAGUGAUGAGGAGACGGAUGCCAUGGCAGCGGCGAGGAGGAGGAGACGCGCGAUGAUGAGUGUGUGCUGCUGGAGGUCGGAGGCCGGGAGCGAGACGGCAAGGAGGCCUGCGGCAUGGGCGAGGAGGAGGAACGACAGGGAGAGGAGGAGUGGGAGGUGGGGCAGGAGUAAUGGGAGUGGGAGGAACGGGAGCAACGGUGGGAGGAGCAGCAGCGGGAGGAGCGUCGUGGAGGCCAGUGGGAGGAAGGCGAACAGGAGCAUGAGGAGUAGCGGGAGGAGGCAGAGGAAUGGGUGGCGGAGCAGGCGGAGGAGGCGGUGGUGGAGGGAGGACGGGGAGAGGUAGGAGACGGUGGCAAUGAGGAGGUGGGACUGGGAGGUCGCGAGGAGGGAGAAUAUAAGGGCAAGGUGGCACGCGAGCAGCAGCGCCUCCGCCAUUGGGGUUGGGCAGCGUGGUCGGGGAAGUCCCGAGGAGGAGGAGCACCAGCCAGCGGGCGGCGGGCCACUGAGGUGAUUGUCGGGUGGGGGGGACUGGUGCGGGUGACGGGGAGUGGACAGGAAUAGAAGGGGAAAACGAACCAUUAUCCUCCAUAACAAGUGGUAGGUGGGUAAUUUUUUGCCCCAAAAGCAGCUAAAAGCAGGGGGAAGGUGCUUUUGAUUUUGGGCAAAAGCACGUAUGGCUUUGGACAAAAGCACGUAUGGCUUUUAGGCCCUUUGGUUGGCUUUUGGCUUUUGCAAAAGCAAAAGUAGGUUGGAAAGUCCAACCAAAGGCACCCUUAGUUGCUUCAACCAUGAAAUUUUGCGAGGUUGAGAAAAUAGGGAAAUAGGGUGCCUUUUUUGAAAAAAUGUCAGUCUUUCUAUUCUAUUGUGAGAGCUUUGGCUGAGGCUAGGGCCUUCGUGCGAAAGGACAAAAUGAAUUUUCGACUCUGAAAAAUGUCACCCCCCUUGUCCUUUUGCGCAGAGGGGGUUUAGACUCAGCAUGGCUUAUUCCGAGUGUUAUCGCUGCCUUUGAUCGCUUGCUGCAGCCUUUCUAUUCUCUGAGUUGCAAGUUCAAGGCCAAUCACUGUGGUGUUUGAGUGAGAAAAUACGUUUAUGUGCAUAUAGUGUGCAUUCAAUGUUAGACUAUGCAGCUUAGUGCUGCUUUAAAAUAUCUUGCGCAGAAACGUAGGUUUUCAACAUGCAGGAAUGUGAGGUUAGGCAAGUUGUUGUUGCAUCUGAGACUUGUGCAGACACGCAAGUUUUCAAUGCACAGAAACUCAAGGUUAGGCAACUUGUUGUUGCAUCUAAGACUUGCGCAGAAACGCAAGUUUUCAACGUGCAAAAACGCGAGGUUAGGCAACUUGUUGUUGCAUCUAAGACAAAGAUCAUAGGGGGAACUUCAUUUCAUUGAAUAAUGGAAAUUUUACAAGGAUCUACCUCAUUAAAAACAUUGCCUCCAGAAAGGAGGCCCUGUAGCAAGGAAAAGAGUGCAAUCCAAAUUUGAAAAUGUAAAGUGCUAUGGAGUAAAUUCAUUACCCUCAGCGUUGUUUAUAACCUUACAAGCCGAGGGUAGUGUUGAACAAAAUGCUAAGGGUAGUACUCACGCAAGCUAUCGAUAUUCCAAGAGUGUGGCAGCUCCGUGCCAAGCUGAUCCGUAAGAUGAAAAGACCCUGGCCUAUUGCUUUGCGUGACAAGGUAUGGCCCUUCCCAGGCUUCCUAUAGUUUCCCGAGGUCCUCCCAAUUUUUCUUCCUCUUGAUGACAAGGUCACCCACUUUGAUUUCCUUGCGCACCACUUUUUUGUUUCUCCACCUUCUCGUUUCUUGAUGGUACUUGUCAAUAUUUUCAGCAGCUUGCAGUAUCUCAAGCUCUAUCAUGUCUUUUUCAAUUCUUAUAUCAUCUGGGUUAACCUCGGGCUGCAACACUCUCAAGCUAUUGUUUUUUAUUUCCUUUGGUGUCACUGCCUCGGAGCCAAACAGCAAUCAGAAGGGUGUGAAGCCUGUCACUUGAGAUGCAGUGGUGUUGUGGGACCAGAUUACCCUCGAGAGCUCAUCCACCCAUUUCCCUUUCUUCUGAUCAAAGAGACAUUUCUUCAUACCUGAGAAGAUCAAGCCAUUUGCUCUUUCCACCGCCCCGUUUGACAGGGGAUGAUAUACUAAGGUGAAUUUUACUUUAGUACCAAUGCUGGCACAAAACUCUUUGAAAUUAUAACAACAAAUUGCUUGUCGUUAUAAACAAUUAGCUCCCUAGGUACUCCGAAUCUGCAGAUGAUGUUCUGCCAAAAGAAUUUUUGGACUGAGCCCGAGGUUAUAUUUGCCAGCGGCUUAGCCUCGAUCCACUUCGUAUAGUCAACUACUACUAUGGCAAACUUGCAAUUUCCUUGAGCUGUCAGGAGUGGGCCUACUAGGUCCAUACCCCAUCUUUGUAAGGGACAAGUUGGUGAGAUAUGUUGUAUUGGCAGCGAUGGCGCAUUUUGCUAGUUUGCUAUUUUUUGUCAAGCUUCACAGCUUCGCACGAGGCUUUGUGCAUCCUGGAAUGUUGUGCGCCAGUAAAACCCCUACCUCAAUGCUUUACUCACCAAGGCUUUCGAUCCGAUAUGCGACCCGGAAAAACCCUUGUGAAUCUUAGCUACUAGCUCUUUCCCGCUUUCUGUGUCUAUGUACCGAAGCCAAGGGGUCGAUAUCCCAGACUUGUAUAAUUUUCCAACAAUAAUUGUGUAGCCCCUAGCUUUUUGCUUUAAUCUAGCUAGUUCAACCUCAUCAUAGGGUUUGAAGUACCCUCUCAUAUAAGCCAUGAUUUGAGCUCUCUAGUCAAAACUUUAGAUUGCAUUUAUUGUCUUCGGGGUUGGAUCUUUUGUCGAUGGCGUGCGAAUGACCUCGUAAAAUACAUCGGGGGGCAUGGGCUGACUCUGUGCUGCAGCUUUUGCAAGUGCAUCAGCCUCAUCAUUUUCCGCCCUUGGGAUAUGUUGUACCGUGAAGCCCUUGAAAUGCUUUUCCAUCGCUCUUACUGCUGCAAGAUACUUGACUAGCUCCGGCUCUCUAGCCUCGCUAUCCUUUUCUAUAUGCUCUUUGAGUCUGUCUUUAUUACGAAUACUUGCUAACCUAGGGCCUUCAUUUUCCUUAGCCCCAUGAGCAGUGCUUCAUAUUCUGUGGUGUUGUUUGUAGACCUCGCAUCAUUUGCAAAGCUUAGCCUUGCAGCAUAUCCCAUUUUGACUGCCGAUGGCGAGGUUACAAUAGCCAAGAUUCCAGUCCCUCUAUCACACCAGGCACCAUCACAGUGUAUAGCCCAUGGAGUCUCGAUCUCGUCUUGGCUAGCACAUGGAGAUGUCCAAUCUACGAUGAAAUCUGCCAGGACUUGUGAUUUUAUAGCACUCCUUCUCUCGAAGUCCACAACAAAUUCUGACAAUUCUGAUGCCCAUUUAGUGAUCCUCCCCGAAGCUUCUCUAUUUGAAAAGAGAUCUUGUAGAGGUUUGUUAGUAACUGCCAUGAUUCUGUGGCCCUCAAAGUAAUGUCGCAGCUUGCGUGCUGCCAUAACCACUGUGUACACAAUCUUCUCUAGCUCCGAAUAAAACAGCCUCGAACCUGAUAGUGCUUCCGAUGCAAAAUAGACUAGGAUCUGUUUUAGCUUUGCCAUCGACUUCUUUUUCUUGAAUCAGGGUGGCGCUGACGGCUGUAUUCGAAGCUGGCACAUAAAGCAAGAGAGGUGAUUUGGCUCUAGAGCGCACAAUUUGGUCAUGUUCGCCAAGUAGUCUUUGAGGUAUUGAAAAGCCUCACUUUGUUACUCCUCCCACUCAAAAUUUUUAGAGUUUCUCAGGACCUAGAAGAAUGGUAAGCUUCGCUUCACGGCUCUUGAAAUGAACCUGUUAAGGGUAGCAACUCUUCUAGUUAGCCUCUGGACAUUCUUCAGCGAGGCUGGCUCCCUCAUAUCAAGCAGUGCCUGGAUUUUGUCUGAGUUCGCUUGGAUGCCUUAUGUUGUAACUAGACAUCCCAAGACUUUGCCUCACUAAACCCCAAACACACAUUUCUCAGGGUUGAGCUUCAGGUUUGCUGCUCUCAAGUUGGCGAAAGUUUCCGCGAGGUCGAGGAUGUGGUCUUUCCUCUUAUCACUUUUCACAACUAUAUCGUCAACAUAAGCGAGAAUAUUUCUACAAAGCUGUUUGGAGAGGAUGAUUGCUAUCAUUAUUGAGAAGGUUUUCCCUACUAUUUUUAGCCCCAUGGGCAUCCUCACAAAGCAAAAGGUCCCGAAUGGUGUUACCAAUCCUAUUUUUCUCUCAUCCUCUUUUUUUUAUUUUGAGCUAAUGGUAGCCUGAGAAUAAGUCCAAUAAUGGUAACAUUUCACUAUUGGCAGCAUCGUCCACCACCUUGUCUACUCUUUGCAAUGGGUAGUGAUCUUUCAGGCAAGCCUUGUUUAGGUCAGUGAAGUCUAUGUACAUUCUCCACCUGCCGUUCUUCUUUUUGACUGGAAUAGUAUUGGCUAGCCAUUCUGGAUAGAUAAUGGGCCAUAUGACAUUAGCCUCGAGGAGUCUUUCAAUCUUGGCCUUCACUACUUGAGCUUUUUCAUCUGACAUUUUUUGAGCUUUUGCUUUUUUGGCUUCAUGCUAGGCUUGAUGUUGAGGUUGUGCUCUAUUAUCUCUUUGUUGACCCCUUGGAGGUCACUUGAGGACCAGGCAAAAACAUCUUUGUUUUUGUUUAAGAAAUCGAUUAACUCCUUCUCCUCCUCGGGCUUGGGGUUGGCUCCUAUUGUGACGUAUUUGUCAACAACAUAGUCAUCCAAGAGGACUCUUUUUGUUUCGCCAUCCACACUUAUUUUUAUCUUCUCUUUGUCCCUUUUGGGCUCAACAUAUGGUUUUUUCUUUUCUUACUCUUCAGCCUCAUUGGGGGUUGUUAGGUGGUGGACAUUCUUUUGUCCUGGGGUUACACCCUUUUCUAUAUUUCUGGCGGUUUGCUAGUCGCCAUAGAUUGUGAUGACUCCUUUCAGAACUAGGAUUUUCAUGCAUAGAAAUAGUUGCCUGAUUGCUGCAUCGAACUUGUUAAUGAACCCUCUCUCGAGGAUGGUGAAGUAAGGGUAGUACAUUUCAAUGACAUCAAAUGUGAUGCGCUCUAUUCUUGCAUUGUCGAGGUUUCCAAAUGAAACUGGAAGUGCUACCUUUCCCAGGGCUUUAACUAGCCUCCCCCUGAAGCCAAGUAGUGGGACUUCUGCUGGCUCGAGCAAGUGCUGGUCAAUUUUCAUCUCCCUAAAGGUGUUUGUGAAGAUGAUAUCUGCGGAGAUGCCAUUGUCCACUAGGACCUUCCCUAUCUUCCAGCCAGUAAUGGUAGCCUCGAUUACCAUUGCAUCGUUAUGCAAGGUUGUUUUCAAUUUGAAGUCUUCUUCUAUGAAAGAACUUGGCAUGUGUGCCCAUUCCGGCUUAGCUGGGGGACCAUCAGGUAUGAUUGUGUUCACCUGCCUAAAACAAUCUCUUUUUUAGCCUUUUGUUCUUGAACUCGAGGGAACAGCCAUCGGCGAUUGGCAUUAUCAUGCCAUAGGUUGGUAUAGCAUUGGAGUUGUCCUCGCGAUGCUCGGAUUGUUAGGAUCCCCCUGAGAUUGGCAUUAUCAUGUUGUAGGUAGGUAAGGCUUUAGGAUUGUUGUUUUGUGGGUUAAGCUCAGCUUUUGGAAUUUCAUUGGGUAGAUUUGGUGGUGGUAGUGGUAUUUCAUGGUGGGGUUGAGAAGGUACGAAGUUUGCAUUCUACGAGGUUGGUUGAGCACGAGGCCGGAAUUGUGGCGAGUGUUGCCACAUCAUGGUGGGCUAAAAGGUUGCGUGGUUGGGGUUUGGGUAGUAUGGUGGAUGUGGCCAAAAGGUUGUAUGGUGGAUGGUUUUGAGUGCCUCAGCCACUUUCUUUUCUUCGGCUAUUCUUUCAAAAACCUUUUUGGCUUCUUGGCAAAAAUCAGUUGCAUGGUCGAGUUGUUUACCAUGGAAUGUGCAGUAAAAUGAUCUUUGUUGGUUACUUUGGUUAUUUCACCUCGGAGGUCCUCUGCCUCGGCCUCUUCCUCUUCCGACAUGGUUGCCUCUUUGGCCGCUUCUGAAAUUGGGUUGAUGUUGGUGGUAUCGGUUCUGGUUUUGGCCUAGGUUUUGGUUUUGGGUUUGGUUUUUGAAUGAGGGUUGGUUAUCCUUGAUGGCCAGCAGUUGGUUUGGGUGCGAGUGGUGCUGUUGUUGGUGACUGUAUCAUGAAGCUUGCCAGUUUUGACCUUUCUCUGCUUGCCUUUGGCGGUUUCUUUCCACGACCCUUCUUUUAUGGUCUUCAUCUGAUCUGCAAUAUUUAUCCAUCUCUGCGAAUAGGGCUUCCAUUCUUUUUGGCUUUUUCCUUGAUAGCUUCGAGGCUGUUGGCCCCGGAUUAAGCCCCUUGAUGCAGAUCGCUAUGACCAUGCUAUCCUCCACAUCUGGGGUUUGUGUCUUAAGUUGGAAAAAUCUUCUCACGUAGCUUGCUAAAGGCUCUUUAUCUUUUUGCACACAAUUGAACAAAUCCCCCUCAUCAGUCAUGGCUCUAUGAAAGCCUUGAAAGUUUUGUAUCAGUUUGGUUUGAAGAUCGACCCAGCUGUAUACAAAUUGCAGCAGGAGUAGAGAGUACCAAUUUAGUGCUACACCCUCACACGCUAUAAUGAAUGACUUUGCCAAUACUACAUCAUGUCCCCCUGUCGAGGCUAUGGCUGUUUCAUAACUCAUGAGGAACUAGCGGGGAUCUGUUUGUCCAUUGAAUUUUGGUAGUGCAACUGCCUUGUAGGUUGUGGGCCAUGGGGCUGUUUGCAGGCCUAAGGAUAGUGGGGAGCUUUUGUCGGUAGUUGUGUAUGCGCUCAUUGUCACUAGGGUGUUGUGCCCAACAAGGCUAGGAUUCGGGUAUAGGAUGGGUGUGUCAUUGGUGUUGAAGGUUUGAAGUGGUGGCUGCUGCGGCUAUUGUGGUGUGUUGCACAAGUAUUCCAAUUCGUUCAACUCUUGCUGCAACUCUGCCAGCUGCCUUUUGGCCUCAUUUAGCCUCACUAGCUUGUUGGCUGCUAGUCUUUGAGCCUGAAGCUCUUGAGCAAUUUUUUCUUUUUCUUUUUUAAUGGCUCUAGCUGCUUGAGUGCCGAGGCCAUCUCUUCUUCUAUUUCACUAAGGGGUUCAUCUUGCGUGCUUGUUUGCUGCAGAGUUUGGUUCGAGGUCCCCGCCUCAACCAUUCCUUUCUGUGAUCUUGUUCUUAAUUUAGCCUCGAUUCUUUUAAACUUUUUCUGCCUUCUCCGUGUUAACUUGUUCGACUGAGACAAGCUGCCUUUCUUGUCCAGCCUCAUCUUCGAUGGUUCUCUUCUUCUUUUGAGGUGGCAUCGUGGGUUUCUUAGUCGCUCAGAAUACGGUGGGUGCCAAUGUUGGGAAACAGGCUUCAGGAAGGCUCAAAAACAACAAGGUUUGAGUAGUCCUUGCAAUUCAACUCCAAAGAAAUGAACAUACGUUUACAUCGGGGUAGGGCUCUCCUUUUAUAGUGUCUCGGAGGACACUUUACAUUCCGCAAUUACCCUCACUCACCCACCACAUUCCUAGAAUAUGCUUUACAUAGAGGUCUUUUUAAGAGGUAACUUGUAUGAUUUGGUCUCCUCCUUGGAUCACGCUUCUCACACCUUUAGUUAGCUCCGUGAUUCACUCUCUCACAUGGUUCUGCAAAUCACACCUUCACGUUCCAAUGCCUCCAUGCUUCCUGACCUUGCGAUUGAAGCCAUCUUAGCUUCGGGAGUCAUGAUUGCCCUAGCUUCGCACCUGAGAGAUGCUAUGCACCAUGCUCCUUGACCUGAUUCAGCGACCUUGCAUAAGACAGUAAAUAACUCAGCACUCGAGGUUAUCUUCAAGUGCUCAAGGUCAAGCUUGGUUAGUGUUCGGCGAUCAGUGAUUGCCUCCGAGCUUUGAGGUAAGAUUCAGGAUAGCAAGGCUAGGAUUACUUUCCAUGCCAAAUUAACUGCCUGAGGUUAGGGACCCUCACUCGAGAUUAAUUAUUUUUAGGGGCUAAGCUAUUGACGCUAAAUAUAAUGACCUCGAGGUUGACCAUCUUUUUAGGCGAUCCCCAACAAAUUAUUUUCGAUCUUUAUAUUACAGAAAUGCAUGCACACGGCUUGCUUGAUGGCGUUGUCCGCUCAUCUUGCCAUGCCUCGCCUCGUCGCCGACCACACCAUCAUGAAUGGAGAAACCACGCAUGCACUGUGAUAAGUUUAGAGCAUCCUAGUGACGGUAUUCAAGGUGCUCAAAUAGUGGUAUUCAACUUAGAAAAAUUAGUAGCACCGGAAUAUUGAACGGUCAUCGGAGCAACCAUCAGAGCACUUGGUAUGAUUAAGAAAUAAGCUUGAGUUGCAGCAAGCACCAGAUGAUCCGACAGGGUUCUGUUUAUAAGUGUCAGAGCAAUUCGCAGAGAAGAUAGAGAAAUACCUAUAGCACCAGAUGUUCCAAUGGCUAGAAGAUGAAGGCGUUGGACCAAGCAUAUUUACAUUGAAAAAUUCAUGAGAGAUUCUAGGGAAAACUCCUUCAGCACCGGGUCUUCCGACGGUACGUCGGAUGAAUUUAGGCAAAGGUCCAAUGGCUAUAUGUGUCAGUAAGGCGCACUAGAUGAUCCCAUGCUUACCUUAAGUGACCAUCGGAUCGUCCGAUGCUCACAUAUUUUACUAGGUGUUGGAGCAAAUGCCCUUUGAGGUUCAUGGGCUAUUUAUGCCCCCUCCACUCGCCCAUUCAGAGUUGCUGGAGUGUCCAUACAUCGAUUGAUGACCAAGGCUCAUCAAGAACAUAUACAUGCCACCAAAAGUGCAAAAGCGAUAAUCCAAGGCUUAGCACGAGCUAAGAGAUUGAUUAGUGCUAGGAUAGGCCUAGAGAGAGUAGUGCAAGGUGCUGAUACCUUGUGAUUGGUUCAAGGAGUGAUCCACUAUUAUAAGCUUGGUGCACCGGUGGCUUGGGGUCUUAGUGGCUCUCCGGCAAGUAUUCGACCCUCCAGCUUGGUGUGGAGCAGCAUCGACGGCCAUAUGCGAGGGACAAGAAGACUCCUUCCUUCGUGGAGCAGCUUCGUACUUGAGUGCCUUGAAUGCCUUUACUUUCUAGAGUAGUACCUUGUUAGGAUUGGCUCUAGGUUGCAAAACUCUUUAUGGGUGGGAAGUUUCACUAGAUCAACCAUAGAUGCACAUGUAGAUAGCAUGAUCUAGUUUAUGUUUGGAAGCAAGUAGUGGAAGUCAUAGGCUAAGGAUCAGUAGUUCGUAUGUGCUAGCAAUCAUCGCCUCCAGCUUCGUCGCCCCCUCUCCAUCACCCCAUCCCCGUCGCCCCCGGCCCCGUCGCCUCAUCGCCUCAGCGCCACCGUGCCCCGGUUGUCUCAAUCCUCUUCGACGUAUGAUGACUCUGUGCUGCCCCAUCCUCGUCGACAUCCUCCUCUCUGAUGUGGCCCUCGCCUCCUCUCUAAUGACUCCACACUACUGCGGCCACUGGCCCUUGGCUCCUUCUCAACCCCGAUGUCGCCCACACCCCCGGCCGUACAUCGACUCUGGUCGUCGAGCUCACCCCUCUCUUUUCCGACUCCGCGUCGUCCGGCCACCGUCAACUACUCUGACACCUGCACCCCCGGCCGUCUCCCCUCCGACGUGUUGCCCAAGCCCCCGUCACCUCCAUCCUGUCUGACGACACCGCGCCGCCCCCUACACACUUGCGGUGACGUAAGCCCGCGACCGCCGUGAUGACGUAAGCCCCUGCGGCUGCCGACAUCAUUAUGUUUCUUCUGAGCUAGAAUAUGUCUACAAAUUAUAGGAAAUUAUAGAAAAAUUGUAGGAAAUUUGUGUAAGUGUUAGAAAUCAUGCCUUUUUUUUCAAUUUGUACGUGCGUAGAGAAUAGCUAGUAAUUAUAAAAAUUGUUGGAGUAGGUAUAAAUUACAUAGAAAUUGUAGGAAAUUAUUGGAAAUUUGCAAAAAAUUUGUAUAAGUACUGGAAAUCAUACUUUUUUUUAAUUUGUACAUGCAUAGAGAAUGGCUAGUAAUUAUAAAAAUUGUUGGAGUAGGUACAAAUUACAUAGAAAUUGUAGGAAAUUAUUGGAAAAUUGCAGGAAAUUUGUAUAAGUACUGGAAAUCAUGACAUUUAUUUUUCUGUUUCAUUCUAUUUAUAUGUUGUAUAAAUGUUAGAAAUUUGUGUAGGCAUUGCAAAUUAUCUAUAAAUAUUGUAUGAGUGAUGUCAUUAUUGUUUCAUCCUAUUUUUGUUGUCAUUUCAUACUAGUGUUUCAUUCUACUUUACAUAUUGUUGUAACAUGUUACAUAUUAUAAGUGUUUAGUUCUUUUAUAUUAUACUAGGUACAAUGGCAUGAUCAGAUGACGAGAUUAUAUAUGACAUGAUUGCUGGAGGGGCCUCUCAAGCAAAUGAAGAGGUCUAUCACAGCCAGGCUAACAUGUACCUCAACCUAGCUGGUGAUGGCAUUGAGGAGCAAUGACUUGCCGAGGGAGGCAACGUGGAGCAACAAGUUCCCGAUAGAGGCAAUGUGGAGCAACCAAUAUUAUACGUAAACAUUAUUUCAAUUACCAUCUUAUCAAAAGAAACAUCAUCAUGCAACAUUUCAAUUGUCGUUUUUAGCCAUCUAGAUCGAGCAAAAUGCCUCAAAAGAAACAAGGCAAGAACAAGAAAGAUGAGGGCCGUAUCAUCAUCAUAGAAAUUGCUAAAAUAGUGAACCGAUUGCCCAUCCCAAAGCUAAGAUCAAGUUGGUGAAUCAUAUUGGGUUCCUUAUCAGAGAUAACAUUCCAAUCUGGUUUCUGAAAUGGAGGAAACCCAAGCGCAUCCGGGUCAUCACAAACCCGCUCCUUUAUGUCCCUGAUCGAGAGAAGGAAAUGUUAUGGGUACAAGUAAAAGAACACUUCAUGUUCGAAAAUGUUGACAAAGCCAAAGUGAAAGAAUGGGGCAUGAAGAAGGGUGCAAUUGUGUUUCAGACCUAUAAAAACUUGACCAAAGACUAUGUAAAGAAGGGGGUUCAACCUUAUUUCAUUGAGCACACUAAGAUAAGGGAUAUCUGGGAUUCCUUUGUACAGUUCAAGGGCACGAGCUGGGUGUCUAUGGUGAUGACCAAUAAACACAGUGAGACCCUCAAGAAAUAAUUCGAGUGAAACUUCCAAUGAAAAACACUUCACGGACAAGAAAAUGCUCAAGCCAGGCAAAAUCUAGGAGCUCUGGGUGGAUGGUUUGCUUCCCAAGGACGGACGGUCCAUGAGCGGUGGACGGUCCAACCUUAUGACUUACACAACGCAGAAUUGUUGAAAACAAAUGCAUGGCCAAAGUUUUGGCCAAAACUCUAUCAAAUCAAGUCCAAAUGCCACCAAAUUUUAGCCAUAGCAUCACAACAACACAUAGAAGCUACUUCUAAGAGAUCAUCCCCAAAAGAUUGGUCAAUCAAUAGGAAAUCCAAAUCUUGUGAAGAAUACCGCUUUUUCAACCUUGGAAACUUGAAUCGCCCUGAUGUAUGAACUCGUGAGGGGUUAGAUGAAUUCCUUUGGUAGAAAGACUUCACUCACAUCCUAGUUCAUUUCCAAAUGAUCGGUUUGAGUCAAGAAUCCCUAGAAAUCACGAAUCGAACAAAAAACAUGAGAAGGGAAAAACGGGAGAAAACAAGAAUGCGAAGAAGACAAGAGAGAUUUGCACAAAGCCGCUGUCCCCCAACACACGGAGGACUCGAGGAGGUUAGGGCUUCCAUUCCCACAACAAAAACUUUAGUUCAAUACAUGAAUUCGAGUUCAAAUCAUCCGCGGACCUCUAGAGAGAGAAAGGAAAAAACCAAAAUGAAGUGCUAGAGAGAGAGGGGGUGAAAGAAAGGUGGAAGAGGUGCUAAAAAUUUCAGCCCCCAAUCUCUAUCUAUAGGCGCCGACAAAGGACUAGACAACCCCUAAUAGCUACUACUAAGAUAACUACCCAUGUAGGGGUAUUUUUGUCCAAGUUUUUGUACGUUCAUCAGACGGACAUGCCACCUUCUCAACUUUGCUUCGCCUUGAUGUAAGCUUCAUGAUGAUGCCACAUGCCCUCCUUUUUGAACCUCUAACCGCACCGAACUCGCUCCCCCCCCCCCCCGCUUUGAGGCCCAAACCGGGAAACCUGCCAACGUGGUGGUUUUGAGGCCCAAACCACCCAAACCGUCCAUUCUUUGCUUGGCCACCAAGUCGACGUGUGUCCUGUCUCCGCCAAGUCUAGCUUUGACGCCUCCAAGUCGUUUGCUCACGGCUCCCGGGCUGCCUACUUGACUUGCCUCCGUCCUGCUUGACUAGAUCGACGCCGUCUCUAUCACCAUCAUGUUCCCUUGCUGUUCCAGGCACCAUGUGGACCGCCUAUGACUCCACCUAGACUCCUCAGGUCCAUCGGUCCAAGCCUACUCACGUUCAUCCUUCACCGCCCUUGGUCCAUCGGCACGAAACUUUCGCUUGACCUUCACCACAUGCCGUCGGUCGUCACAUCGCAUCCUACACCUGCACAUCACAAACCAAGAGCAAUAUCAAUCUAACACAAUCGUUGUCAAUCACUCAUCAUCCAAGGGUGACCACCAUUGGUCCUUAGCUCUGAGCAACCGAACCAGUCAACAAGCAGCUAUUGUAGCAUCAGGGCCACAUGUCGAUUUAAGCCCAACUUAGCAUCGAAGCAGUGUCACUUCAACAAAAGCCUUAGUGGGAAGAUCCACUAAGGUCAUUGAGGAAGGUCACCCCAUGGAUGACAUCACAGGGACAACCCCUAGUAAGCUUGUUACUCCGGUUUAAAACAAGCUCAUAGUGGUGGCUUAUGGUGCGACUGAUCGACCGACACAAGGCCAAAUAAUACAUGGCAUGCUGGUUCAAGCUGGCUAUGCCAAAGUUGCGUUGGACCGAGUGGUCAACGGUUGGAGAACCUAGAACUAGAAAUCCCUAGAGGUGAUGAGGAAAAGAAUCUAGAAUAAGCUGUCCAUGGUUGGAUUCAGUGGCCCAAGCGCUUCAUGAGGAUUACGCAACCGAAUGAUGAGUCCACCUGUACCAGAAAGGGAUCCAAGCAUGACUCCAACUCCCCCUCCCAUGAAGAAGCGUUCAAUUCCACCUCCACCUCCACCUUGUAAGAAGAAGCAGAAGAAGCAGAAGGAGAAGGCACCACCUGAGAAAUUACCUUAUGAGAUGGCACACGAGGAGUCCAAGGCUGCAGCAAAUGCUUAGUUACAAGCAUGGAUUAAGGCUUGAAAAGAAGAAUGGUUGAAGAAACAGAAUCCAGAGAAACCACUGGAUAAGCGUAACCUUCAGGCUUUCAUCAGAAAAAGGAGGUGGAGAGAAGGAAAAAGCCAGUGAAAGCUCCCCUUUCUGAUUAUGGUAGGUAGAUCACAAAAGCAGUCAGCUCAUAAGAAGAAGAAAAGUGGGAAAUCUAUUUCUUAACUCAGAGAUCCACGUGUGCAGCUUUCUAACUUUGAAAAAAAACCUGCUUGAAUUCGCUAAUGAUACAAAUCUGACAGCAGCACAACUUCGAGGGGAGGCUGACAUCCCAAUGCUCCUUGUGCCUGAAAAAUGGAAAUAUGUGUAUGGUAAAGAGCUUGUGAUUCCGAAGUUGCUAAAUUAUCUGCCAACGAAGAUGCCCAAGCUCCACCAAUGGUAUAUGGAGGCCAUAGCAAAAGGUUUGGCCAUGAUGGAAGUUUGGAUUGCUGAUCACCAUGACUUCCGUGGUGAUGACAUCAUAAUGGCCUUACUAUCAGAACUUUUCAUGCUAUUCAAUCAACAAGCACUAGACAAGUCACUCAUCAGUUGAUGGGUCCUGUAAGUCUUUAAUAUAUUCCUCUAACUUCAAAAUCCCUGCUCUAGUCAUUUUGCAGUGUCUUAACUCCUAUUCAAUUUUGUAUCAUGCAGGAUGGAGAUUUAAACUUGUCGCAAAAAUGGAUACAAUGACAUGCGCUUCAUGGACCCCUCAACAAUACACAAGAAUACUCUAAGGGAUAACCUAGAUGAGACAGCGGACAAUAUAUUUUUGUUCCUAGACAAGCACUAGGAUAAGAAAUGCAUAUUAUUACUGUGGAACUCCAGGUAAGCAUUUUUACCAUCUCUUUCUUUUCUGAGCUAGCACUUAUACAUAAUACUAAUUAGCUUCAAUUUCGAUGUACAACAACCAUUGGAUACUCAUUGUUAUUGUGCCCUAUUGGAGUAUCGUGUAUGUCUUUGACUCCUUGAGGAGACCAAAGGAAAGUUACGCUGACAUAAUGAACACUGUGAAUAAAUGCUGGGCUCGAUUCCGUCGAACUCACAAGGGUGAUUUCAAGGAAAAACUUGAUUGGAAGAUAGAUUUUCCGGUAUGUGUUCUCAAUUUUCACAUCUCGUGAAACUUCCAUUAACAGAAAACAUAUUACAUAACUUUUUUUCAAUAUAUACAGUGUGCAAGACAGCCGAAUGGUACUGAAUUAUGCGGAUACUACGUUUGUGAUUACAUCCAUGCCUUGAUCAGUCCGAGCGGCCAUAUCAGCGAACACAAAUUAACAGUACGUAUAUUUUUCAACAAAAAGUUAGUUCAUGUGUAUAUUCUUCAAAAAUCAAUCCAAGUGUAUAUACUUAGAAUAAUUAGAUUAAGUAUUUCAAUUCAUUUGGUUGUACAUCAACAAAGUUUCAAUCGUUCAAAAAUUUUAGCUUAAGUAUUUCUAAUUCAUUUGCCAAUGACACAGAUGAUGACUAGGAAGGAAAGACUCGUAGAUACAGAAAUUUUCAGGGCAAUCCAAGAACAACUAUGUGGAUUUCUUCUAGAUAAGGUCGCAAAUCCUUUGGGGGAGUUGCACCAUGAUGGGACUCCGAUAGUGCACAAACCGGCCUCGGGUUCAUAAUAGCAGAUACGAUAUGUGUAUGCAAUGUGUAAUAUUAACCAAACAUCUGUUUAUGCACAAUACGACAAUAUUAUCUCAAAUGUUAUAUUCAAAAUAAAUAGAAAUUUACAUAUAUUAGUGUAUUAGAAUCAGUAUAUGUAAAGGAAACAGAUAUAAAAUAUGAAUAUACAAUAAAGUAACAGAAAAUAAGAAAAAAAAGGAAAACUGCAUUAGUACCGGUUGGGGAUACCAACCGGUACUAAUGAGGGCACCUCCCCGCGUGGCAUGGCAAGCCCUUUAGUACUCGUCGGUUUACUCAACCGGUAUUAAAGGUUACAAUUUAUUACUGGUUAUUUCAACCGGUACUAAAGGGACCACCUCUAGUACCGAUUGCACAGUACCAGUUACGGUUCCGGUACUAGAGGGGGGUUACUGACCGGUACUACACGUCAUUUUUCCAGUAGUGUAUAAACUGGCGGGAAAGAUUCCUUCAUCACCGCUAGCUCUUGUACUAGACCGUCAGUGCUGAUGGUCCUCUUCACAGCCCAUGGGACAGCAACCGGCGGUGAUGAACUCGCAUCACUAUCCGUCCAUGGUCCGGCUAUGAUAGGCAACCUCAUCACCACCGACAUUUAUGUGCCAGCAGGCCCCCAAACCACCCGUGAUGCAGGGUUUUGGGGCUAGCGGUGAAGGCCUGUUGUGCAGUAGUGUGCAUACAAUGAUUCAAAAUAAACCUAAUAUUUUCCCUUUAUAUCUUUUUUUCUUUUAUCGUACUUUUCUAGGCCUCACUUUGUAGUUUUUCUUUCAAUUUCACAGUGACUGAGGUGUCAGGUGGCUUGCCGACGCUGAAUGAAACAACCUGAGGUGGGCUGGCCAUGACGGGUACCUAAUAAAGGGAGUGUCUGUCGCACAAGCGUUGGAAGAGCAUCUCCAGCAGUUCCCAGUAACAAUGAAAUGGAUAUUGGAGUAACCCCAUGCACUAAUUAUUGAGAAAUAUUUAUUAAGAGAUUGCUGGAGAUGCUCUAAGGUGAGCUCAUACGAGAUACAUGCAUGCUAGUGCUCAUAUGAUGGUAUGUUUCUGUGUCAUCUAAUACCAACACAUGUAUUCCUUUCUCCAUCACAAUCCUCCUUCGCAUAAGGUGUUCAGUGCUGUUGUGAAAUAAGCAUAGCUCAGCUUGUAUAUUUCCUUGUGGAACCCGCCCAUCAAGGUUCGAGUUAUUGACUUGGCACCGGUGCUCGCAUUUUCCUGAUUAAUUCUAGAAUUUAACCAGCACUAUCCUUUCAGUGGUAGACAACAUGCUCGUCGAUAGCGAGGCACCAUAAGUGACUUCGCCAAUCUCGAGGAUCUGUCGGUUCAGUCUCUUGGAGGUGCUUAAAGGUAGGGUUGCAUGUGUACAGACACAGACGCUCACAUAAACUUACAUAAAUUCAAUGGUAUUAAUACACCCUACCCUUAUCAGCACCUCUAAAACACUAAGCCAAUAGGUCCUUGAGAUUGACCCUUAUGAGCAACUCUGGAAAACUAAGCCAGCAGAUCAUGGAGAUUGACAAACUCACCAUGGGCAGCUCGCCAUCGAUGACUAUGUUGCCUACCACUGAAAAAAUAACAUCGGUUAAAUCCUAGAAUAAAUCUAGAAAAAUAGAAGAAGCGCUAGCGUCGAGUCAAUAACUUGAACCCUGGUGGGCUAUUUACCAGCUGAGCUAAUACUGAGUUCUCUACCCUGGUGGUUUUUGGGAGAUUUGCUUCCUACCUACCGGGACUAAUACUGAGUUCUCUACGUGGCCAGAUUUCUACCACCAGAAAUCUAAUAACUGCAGCCUUGUUAAAUUUAAUUAGCAUUCUUAUUCGUGAUAUUCUGAAUAUACACGCACACAUGACACAUAUCACACAUGGUUUCCACUCCCUUUCUUGGCGCUCUCCGCCGCCACGGACAGCGCAAUGGCCGUCUCUAGCCACAAAUUCAACAGUACGAUGCAAGUCUUUUGACAACUCUCCUGAGCUUAUAAAUGGUUGUAGUGCUAAAUUGCUAAAUGCCACAUGUGGAAUUGAAUCUUGGCACAAACUUUAAUCGUGGGAAACUCGCACGGUAUGAGUUUGGCACAAGUUGGGAUUCCCUGCGUCAAGUAAUUGCAGGGCUAAAAGUAGAGUCCCAAGUAUGUGUUUUGUCCUUUGCAAACGUUGGUUGUUGGCAUUACUAAAAAAUUAGCUUUCUAUAUAUAUAUACUCUAUUCGUCUCACAAAAAACACAAUUGUAUGAUUCAAAUUUGUCCAUAAGGAAUGUAAUUGCAGCUUCUACCCAUUUCUUUUAAACUUCUCAUUUUUUGGAGCAGUGAUGUCAUAGGGUGACCCCCGCUACUGAAAAUGACCAUGAUCUGGCUCUACAAAUGCUUCUUCAUAGGUGGGACAUGCAGAAAGUACGGUAAGCCCACCCCUUUUGUAGAAGAGGGUGACCUUUUGGACCACCCAGAGAAAUAAAUCGGGAUGCGCCUACAAAUCCUUUCUGUAGUAGUGAGAGAAAGAGAUUGCGGUUGAAACAACAAUCCUUUCAUGAAAUUACCGCCUCAUAAGUCAAAUUUUAGGACAACAAGACGGCUAGUCCAUAUUUGUACGAGUUGUGGUUACUCUGCAACUCAUAAUAUAUUUUUUCUAUGCACAAAGUAAAAGAAUAGAAAUAUAUAAUUACAUCGAGACUACUUAAAAAUACAACACAAUGUAAAGGUUAUUUGUUAACUUGCCUCAAGAUUACAUGUUCUCUAUUAGGUAACACCAAUAUAUAUACUGGUUCUAAAGAUUCAAUUUAUCAUUAGCUAGACACAUGGCGAUCAUGUGCAUUUAAAUCUAUAGUGUGACUUGGAGAAAAAAAAAGUAAUCUUCAUCCGUAUGGCCGUACAGUGACUCUCGCUCUUGACAGGUAUUAGUGUAAGUAGCAUAUAUAAAGAACCCUCAUGCACGCUUUGGAUCCCCAUCCCUGCUAGCAUAUAUUCAUUCAUAAACUCACGGGUAUUCUCUCAUGGUCAUGGUGCUCCCAAUGUUGCUGGUUUGUAUGGUAGUGACGGUAGUGAUCACCGUUCAUGUCAUCUGUGCCCUAGAUGAACACAAGCGAAAGAGAUUUUCCGGUGCAUCUCUUCCACUGCCCCCUGGCCCGGUCGCUCUCCCCAUCGUCGGGAAUGCCUUCAGCUUCAUCGGGCCGUUCGGCCACAACCCACACCGCAUACUCACGAGCCUCGCCAAAACCUAUGGGUCCAUAGUGUCCUUUCGGCCAGGCAUGGCAGGCAAUUUCGUGGUAGUGUCAUCCCCUGAAGCAGCACGUGAAGCUCUCAUCAAGAACGAUGCCGCGCUCGCUGCCCGGUUCGUGCCGGACAAUACACGCGCCUUAGGCCAUUGCUCGGAGUCAAUGUUCUUCCUCCCAACCUAUAGCCAUUUGUGGAAGCAGCACCGCAUCACAUUGGGUACCAGCCUCUCAACUGGCCGGGGCCUUGACACAACCCGCCCCAUUCGGGAUCGCCAUGCCUGUCGGCUCAGCGAGCACUUAAGGUUCUGCUCUGGCAUGCCAAUCAAAAUUGGAGAGGCCGUCCAAGGCACAGUGCUCGAUGUUAUGUCCAACAUCCUCUUCUCUAAGGACGGGACGCACUUGCGCGUGAAGGGGGGCCAGUUGUUCAAGGACCUCCUGGUGGAGGUCCUCGAGGACUGGACUAAGCCCAACGUUUCUGACGCUUUUCCCUUCUUCGCGUCACUUGACCUCCUUGGCUCACGCCGCCGAAUCUCCAGAGGUUUGGCUAAACUGUACAAGUUCUUUGAUGAAGAGUUCGUCGAACGUCGGUUAGGCAGCAGUGAGAACCACCACGAUUUGUUGGACUUCAUCCUCUCGCAGCAUGCCAAGUCGAAGCUCACGCGUUCAGAGAUCACCAAGUUCUUCACGGUCGGCUAUACAUAUGAUCUCUGAACAUAAAUAUAAUUGCUGUCUUUCUGCUUUCUGUACAUUUUCUUGGGUAACUGAUAUACUAAUUAACUUACAUUUUUUUAUAUGCAUUUCUGUUCUUAACCUAUCAAUAGGAUAUCUUUCUUGCCGCGAGCAACACAAGUAGGAUCACCGUGGAAUGGGCAAUGGCACUCCUACUUAAGCAUCCAGAAAAGAUGAAGAAGCUGCGUGCUGAGCUUGCAGCGAGCCUUGGGACCAAGGAGUUUGUCCAGGAGAGCGACUUGGACAAGCUCCCCUACAUCCAUGCUGUGGUGAAGGAGACACUACGACUGCAACCAUCAGCACCGCUGCUACCACGAAUGGUGUCCACGGACGGCAUGUCACUUGGCGGAUUCUCAGUACCAAUUGGUACCAACAUUCUGAUUAACCUUUGGGCCAUUGGAAGGGACCCAACGGUGUGGCCUCAGGCGGGAGAGUUUCUGCCUGAAAGGUUUCUGGGCAGCCGAUCACUGGACUUCCGGGGAUCAGAAGACUUCACAUAUAGGCCCUUUGGGGCAGGGCGAAGGAUGUGCCCAGGACUGGACUUCGCUGCGCAGUUGAUUCCACUUUUGCUAGCCUCGAUGUUGCACAAGAUCGACUGGAGCCUACCUGAUGGGAUCGUGCCUGAGGAUGUGGACCUCAGGGAUCGCUACAGCAUGGUUCUGGAGCUCGCUAAGCCCCUCAUUGCGGUGCCAGUGUCAACGGUGUGCCGUGCUCCGCCGUGGCUGAUGUAGCGUAACUUCAUAUCAGCCGCCGGUACACAAGUGGUUUUAGAGGUUUGUGUGGGUGAAUAUAGGGAAUUCAUACCCAAAUCCAAACCCAGCUUAAAGGUAUGGGUAUAUAUAUACACACACUAGCAAAUUUGCUCGUGCGUUGCCACAGAACGUAAACCUUGGACAAAAUACCCGUGCGUUGCUACGGUAAAAAAUCAAUUGUAUUUUUUCAAAUUAAUAAUAUUUUUUAUUUUCAUCACUAAAUUUUUAUUCCACUUAUUAGAUAUCUACACAUUUAAUAGAAAACUAAAAGUCCUCCAUCCAGGCCCUACCUCCUCUCCUCCCCUAGAUUCGGCCGGCGCCCUUAAAGGCUAGCUAAGCCAGCAAUUCAACAUUCGCAUCCCACUUUCAUUCUUAAAGGCUAGCUAUGCCAGCAAUUCAACAUUCACAUCUUUUGUGUAAGCAAUACUGUUUGCGUUGUCUCUGACAUGGGACAUGGCUGGUGCAAACAUGCAUUGCAAAGAGAGCUCUUGUUAUACCCCUAGUUUUCUCACACCAAAGAAGGGGUAUAUAUAUUUGUUUCUUUCGGGUAAGUCACCAGCAACAUGGGCUUCAAGCCCACAAACCAGCCCACUAAGCCAACUCUCUGCCCUCUGAAGCUGGAGUCACAAGGCUGGAGUCUGCUCGGACGUUCUUAUCCACGCGCUCAUGACCGGCCGUCGACCCGCGCCCCACCGCAGAGGCCAUAACCUAUAGCCAUGUAGCCCGCUUGUCAGCCACUAGCCAUGCACCACGUUCUCGUCGUCCAUAGUCCAUCCUCUCCAUGUGCCCCACAUGCACAUUUACCGCCACUAAACACCUCGCCCCCACCCCAUUCUCUGCUCCCUCCCAUGCGGGCACGUGGCUCGUCCGUUUCGCUCCCAUGCCACCGCACAGCAAAACCCCGGCCGACCUGCUUACUUCCCUGAGCAGCAGCAGCGGAAUCAGACCACCGGGCUCGGGACCUCGGGUACACCGAGGGAAAGAAUGUUGGAGGCCGCACGCAGUGGCUCACACCCGUGGUGCUGUUCGUGCUCGUGAACCUCAUCAUCGCCACGUCGCCGUCGCGUCCAAGCUGAUGUCGUCAGGGACAGGGACGGCGGCGCCCGGGGGGUCGACGAGGUGGGCGGCGGCAGGUGGAGGGCCCUCCUGCGUGUGCCAUCCCUCACCGUCGACUGCCUCCGCACGUCGUUCAACUUCUCCCGCCUCGGCGGCCUCGCCGCCGACCACUCGCCGCUCUUCGAAUACGCGGCCUCGGAGCUAGCCUUCCCCCAGCUACCGGCGAUGAGCUACCGGUGACGGGGGUCGCGGCGGCGCCGGGAAUGGUGGCCACGACGAUGAGCUCGAGCGCGAGAAGGUGGUGUGCAUCUAGAGGAGCCGGUCGGAGGCGGCCAUGGAGCUUGCGCCCAGCAGCUGGCGUCCGCGGGCGAGGAGGACGCGGAGGGCGGCGGCGGUCGAGGAGCCGGCGCUCGCGCACGACGUUCUCGUCACCCCCGCGUGGCGGCGGUGUCGAGGGAGGCUAGCGCCGUCGCCGUCGCCGGGCGCGGCAAGGUGCCAGCGGUGGAGGUAGACGCGCGCGCGAAUGACUUCAUCCGGCGGUUCCGGGAGCAGCUCCGGCUGGAGCGCCUCGACUCCAUCCUCCGCUACCAGGACACGCUUACGCACCACGAUCAAUAAAUCAAUUGUUAAACCCACCCGUCAAUGUUGGAUGAAACUAAAAGAGUGGAUAUGGGAAGAAAUGGGAUUGGAUUGUGCACGUGUGUUUAAAAUAAAUGUCAAGAACUCAGCUAUGGAAAUCAUGACCUGAGCUUGCUCUCAGAUUGAACCAAGUUGCACGCACCUCUAUUCCCGUGUGUACCCUUGUUUUACGAACGGUAUAUCUUACCGUCACCUAAUUGGAGUCCUUUUCAGUUAAUCCUUUUCUAGGAAAAAGAUACCCUGUUGAAACAUAUAAGAUAAUGUUUUGGUUUCAUGAAAAUUGAAAUUAAGGAGAGUCGCAGCUAUCUAUUCGCAGCUUACAUGAUGUCACUGUCCUCGUCAUCCUCGGCACUGGCAGAGCGUCGUUGGGGCCUUAGAGGACCACGGCCCCCUUGCUUGGUAAAAAAAAAAAUCAGAAGAGCAAAGUGCAAAUUUCCAGUCCAAGUGCAGUCCGUGGCUUCUUGACACGUAAUUCAGCGCACAAUCAAGAAAUCCCACAAGGCAUUAACCAUAUAGGCACAAACAAACAUUGAAAACAAUAGAAAAAAACAUUGAGCCAAUUCCAGCAACUAGCGGAUGAGACAACGACCUCAGCCGUCGCAAGACGGACGCUUCCUUCACAGUUGACUCAUUGAGGUUGUCAUCGUCGGCUGUCGCCACUCGCCAGGGCUGGCGCCUUGCAGCCUGGUGCUAGAACUUUCAUCCGGCCAUUUUUGUUUAAGCCAGUUCAAGUUAGGGCAAGGAGGAAAGGAAAGUAUGGUUGCUUUUCUUCCUUCUUUUGUUUAUCUUCUAAGUUCUUAACACAUUAGAUCCGUAGAAUAUGCAGGCUACUAUUGCCUAAUUAGCUGGUAAUUUGUUGUCAGUUGAGAUCUAUUGUUAUUUCUUUUGAGAAAAUUGAGAUGUUUCGCUAGUUUAUUUGGCCCUAAUCCCCAAAUUGCACAGUUUAUACGGUUUGGUGGUUUUAUAACUAAAUAGAGUUCUGCAAUUUGGUAGGUAGGUACAAAUGGGUAAAGAGAAGCCUAUUGAUUCAUUUUUCAACAGCAAAAGAGAUGAACCAAUUGUGGACUGUCGAGCAACCUCUGGUUCAAGCCAACCAAUUUCCCCCCUACAAUUUGCUUCACGCUCCGCCACUGAUCCUCGAUCCUCGGUGAGAAUUUUUAACCUCUUUGAAAAAGUCGGCGAUUGCGAAUCUCCACCUGCAUUUUUUGUUCUAAACCUUUUUAAACUUGUUUGUGAUUGCGAAUCCAAGGAGAUGUACCUGCAUAACAGAAGCUAUCUUUGCUGCUAGACAGAUCGAGCAGCGAGCUCACCCAUAACUAUUGAAUCCACAGUAGUGGUUGCCAGGACUUGCAGGCGACAUACCUGUACAGAUGAUUUGAAGUGCAAAACCACUCCUAAACUUGCUGUUAAUUCGAAUAUUAUUACCUUGCCCAUCUAGUAAAACAGAUGCAUCUGCGUAGGCAAAGUUGGACCGCAAAACUGGACAGCUCUCUGUGGUGUUGUUUAGAUGGACGCUGCCCCCUCCCGUUUGCAUGUUUUCUUCCCAGCACAGACGCUGUUUCUUGAAAUGGAUUCUGAAAUAUUGUGGCGAAAUGUCCUUUUCUAAGUGGGCCUAGACCCAUAAAUUCGCGAGCUCCGCCCCACUCACCACUGCCACACCGUAACUCCGCCUGUGCUGUCGUGGCCACUUGCUCGCCUCGUCGCUCUCGCGCGUCACAGUAGCAGCAGUUCUUGAGGCGGCACGCUGCCUGAAAGCUAUGCGAGCCCGUCAGCUCGUCAGACACGCUGCCUGCCUCCCGCUACGCUCCACCUCCCCAUCACCACGCUGCAAGCCGACGCCCGCAAGCUGCCGCUCGGCCACAGCGCCGCUGACACUACGGGAAAGCAUAAAGUCGCCGAGUGUAAUAACUUCGCCGAGUGCUUUUUUUCGGGCACUCGGCGAAGAACCGUGUUGCCGAGUGUAACACCAAAAACACUCGGCAAAAAUAAAACACUCGGCGAACAACCUGUUUGCCGAGUGCCCUCCAAAAAACACUCGGCAAACACCCAGGCGGCACUCGGCAAACUUUGACACUCGGCAAACUGACGCCCACGUGACUUCCCCGUGCCGACGGCGGCGCCCCUCCGUGACGGCCGUUAGUGUUUGCCGAGUGUCAAUAUAGGGCACUCGGCAAAGGCACUAGUUUGCCGAGUGCCAUGAUGGGACACUCGGCAAACUAUAGUCUUUGCCGAGUGUCUUGUUGGGACACUCGGCAAACCCUAUAGUUUGCCGAGUGCUAGGGUGUACACUCGGCAAACUAUAGCGUUUGCCGAGUGUUUUUUUACACACUCGGCAAACAUAAUUUUUUUCCCCUCCUCCACCCUCCAAACUUUUUACACUCCACAUGUAUGGCAUUUGGCACUGCAUGGUAGAAGAUGGACUAUUUUUUGACCUGUUUGCUAUAUUUAAUCAAUUAAUUUCAUUUAGAGUAAUUUUUUGAUUUAAGUCAAAUUUGAACUGCAGGUGGUUGGAAUAAUGGAAUAAUAUGAGUGAAAAAAUCAUAUUGAUGUUAGUGAGUCUAAAUUGAUGUCUCACCCAGAAAAUGAAAACAAAUUUCGAACAUGUUGCUAAGGAAACACGACUACGAACGUGUGGCCAAAUGAUUGUUUAAUUCUUAAAAAUACAAACGAAGUUUGAAAAUCAUGAGAUUUUGCAAGAUGCUUUGAUUUCGUAUGCAGAGGCCGUGGUAAAAAAUUGAUAAGGUUUCGCACAAGUUUUGACAUAUGAUGUUUACAAUUCGAAGCAUCUCCGGAGAGGUUUCAGAGAAGUUCAAAGGAUCCGGUAAGAUUUUGAGAUGAAUCGAUAAAUAUAAUUCACAUUGAGUCCAAAUUUUUUUUUAUAGGCUAUAGAGAACAUAGAUAGGUUCAUGUCAAAUUUUGGGAAAUUUUCAGAUCCGUUUGGUAAUUUUUAUUCAUUAAUUGGACGUAUAUGAAUUUAAUAGAUAUAAAUUAAAUAUGAGCUAUAAAUCCAUGAAAUAAUGGUACAAUAUUACUUAAAAAAUGAAAUACGCAAUGUUUAGUGAAUUGGACUAGGGUUACACAAAGUUUACGUCCUUUUAAUUACUAAAAGUGGUGUUGGACAUGCAAUAUAGGUAGGUGUUUGCCGAGUGCUACCUAGGGCACUCGGCAAAGGGAUGGUUUGCCGAGUGUCACAAAUAGGGCACUCGGCAAAGUCACAAAUAGGGCACUCGGGUCCACGUCGCAGUGUCUGGCAAUGUUUCGGGGGGAAAAACACCCUUUGCCGAGUGCCCCGGAUCUAGCACUCGGCACAGNNNNNNNNNNNNNNNNNNNNNNNNNNNNNNNNNNNNNNNNNNNNNNNNNNNNNNNNNNNNNNNNNNNNNNNNNNNNNNNNNNNNNNNNNNNNNNNNNNNNGACGAGGAAGAAGAGGAAGAGAUCUCCAGCAUCCGGGGGAUGACUCGGUCGAGGACGCGUGACCGUGGAGCAAGAGACCACGCAGCAACCAGCACCAUCACCCAGCACAGGCGCUGCUCAUGCACCAGCACGACGCCCGUACCGGUCGUCGACUUGAUGGAUGAUGAGCCCGAAGCAGAUGCCGAGCACGAGACAUGGACCAAAUGGGUGAAGAUAGAUCAUGGCCAAGGAGUGCAAAUGGCUCGACAUCCUCAGGUGGACUUGUCACCGCUUGGGGUACAGCAUGAGGCCACUCUACAAGUCCUCUCGGUUCACCCACCCUCGCUAUCCCACUUUUUACGAGGUGAAGGUUGUCCUUGGUGAGGAGCACGAAGGAGGAUGGUAGGUGAAGUUUAUUCACCAUGAUGUGACCAUGAGGAGGCCCAUGGAGUCCGACGCGCACUAGGCCCCCAGAAGGGCAGUUGAGGUCGGCUCCCACCCGCAGCCCGUGCCACUGGUCCACAGUUACCACCGGUCCCUUCCUUACGCAGCUAGUGGGGAAGCCAGCCCCUCCACGCCCACUAAUCAGCGGGUCGCCCCGCCCACCGACUUCCGCCGCCAGGCGCCGUCCGCCCCCCUGCCGCCCCGCACCGACCGCCCCACGCCCCCGGCCCCGACCCUCGGCCGCCCCGAGCCGUCGCCGCCAGGCCGCGCCCCUGCCGCCGUCCCGCGCCCGCUCCUCCGUCACCCCUCCGGUAAGUUUAUGUUGCCGCUACACAUCGUAAAUUAGAGUAUGCAUGAAAAUGGAAAUUAAAUGUGAAAAUACUAGAGNNNNNNNNNNNNNNNNNNNNNNNNNNNNNNNNNNNNNNNNNNNNNNNNNNNNNNNNNNNNNNNNNNNNNNNNNNNNNNNNNNNNNNNNNNNNNNNNNNNNNNNNNNNNNNNNNNNNNNNNNNNNNNNNNNNNNNGCUUACCAGGGAUCUAAUAAAAUGAUCACGUACACAUCCUCGGGUGGGAUUAGGACCUAUCUUUACCUAGUAGACAAUAUAGGAGCGUGUAUAUGCCAUGUGAAUUUUGUAUUACUUAUUUAAAUGGUAGAGGAUGGAGGAUCGUCAGUGGAUGUACACGGGUCGCACUAGUCAGAAUACGUUGACCAAUGAAUGGCUUGACAAGACGGAUGCUUUCUUGGAACGGGCGUUUGCAAGUGUCAAUGGAGCUCGAUCGACUUGGUGUCCGUGCAGCAAAUGUGGAAACAUGCGUCGGCAAACCAAGCUGGAGAUGGGCAAACAUCUGGUGAAGAACGGAUUUACGUCAGACUACACCAGGUGGAUCUACCAUGGUGAAUAUGACCGUGGGAGAGAGGAGGUCUUGAGACAACGAAUCGAGGAAUUUGAUGAUGAUGCCGGGGUGGGAGAUAUGUUGAAUGACUUUCAUGAAGCACACUUCGAAGAGGCACGUAGGGAGGAGGAUCCAGAGGCUACCGCUAAGGCUUAUUACGAAAUGUUGUCUGCGGCACAGCAACCCCUUCACGGCCAUACCAAGGUUUCUCAGCUAGAUGCCAUUGCACGCCUAAUGGCUGUGAAGUCUCAGUUUAGUUUGAGUCGAGACGCGUUUGAUAUUAUGUUGACAGUUUUUGGAAGCCUGCUCCCGGUUGGUCACAUCUUGCCAAAGAGCAUGUAUGAGGCACAGAAACUCCUUCGUGCACUUAAGAUGCCAUACGAGCAUAUACAUGCAUGCCCGAAGGGAUGCAUCUUAUUUAGGAAAGAGUAUGCGGAAGCAAAAUACUGUGUGAAGUGUGAAUCGUCUAGAUUUCUGGAGGUUGAUUCGGGUGACGGUCAGAAAAAGCAGCUCGCAAUUCCUGUGAAGGUUCUACGGUAUCUUCCUUUCAUACCGAGGAUCCAACGGCUUUUCAUGACUGAAGAAUCCGCAAAACAGAUGACAUGGCACAAAAAUGGCCGUCGCUAUAAUCCAGAGAAGCUGGUACACCCAUCCGAUGCUGAAGCCUGGAGAAGCUUUGAUGCGAUUUAUCCUGCAAAAGCUCUAGAGGCCCGUAACGUACGCGUUGCGUUGGCAACUGAUGGGUUCAAUCCCUAUGGAAUGGCGGCCGCCCCGUACACCUGUUGGCCCAUUUUCGUUAUCCCACUGAAUCUCCCACCCGGCGUCCUAUUUCAACGACAUAAUAUAUUCUUGUCGUUGAUAAUUCUAGAGCAUCCGGGAAAUAAUAUGAGUGUGUAUAUGGAGCCUCUGAUUGAUGAUUUGCUCCGUGCUUGGGAGGAAGGAGUAUGGACCUAUGACCGAUGCACAAAGACAAACUUCAAGAUGCAUGUUUGGUACCAGUACUCACUGCAUGACUUGCCGGCAUAUGGGAUUUUCUCCGGAUGGUGUGUUCACGGGAAGUUCCCUUGCCCAGUAUGUAAAGCAUCUUUGAAGUUUAUUUGGUUGUCGAAAGGGGGCAAAUAUUCAUCGUUUGACAAACAUCGACAAUUCCUCCCUCCUGACCAUCCAUUUAGACGAGACAUGAAGAACUUUACCAAAGAUGUUGUAGUUACAGCCCCCGCACCGCCGAUGAUGACAGGGGCCGCAGUUCGUGCUCAGUUAGACGCUCUUGAGUUCAAUAAUGAAGAAGGUGGUUUUUUAGGAUAUGGCGAGCAACAUGCUUGGACGCAGAAGUCGUGCUUGUGGAAGCUUCCAUAUUUUGAUGAUCUACUUGUUCCACAUAACAUUGAUGUAAUGCACACGGAAAAAAAUAUCGCCGAGGCAAUUUUUGGUACUAUAAUGGACAUUCCUGACAAGACAAAGGAUAAUGUUAAGGCUAGAGUGGAUCAAGCGACAUUGUGCAACAGACCACAGCUAAACAUGGCGCCUCCAAGAGCUGGCAAGUCAUGGAGGAAGCCUAAGGCCGAUUUCGUUCUGACGAGGGCUCAAAGGAGGGAGGUUCUAGAAUGGUUCCAAACAUUAAUGUUCCCUGAUGGCUAUGCAGCGAACUUGAAGAGGGGAGUGAAUUUAGCAACUAUGCGAAUCAACGGGCUCAAGAGUCAUGAUUACCAUAUAUGGCUUGAGCGCCUCCUUCCGGUGAUGGUUCGAGGCUAUGUCCCUGAGCAUGUGUGGCAGGUGCUAGCGGAGUUGAGCAAUUUCUUCCGCCGGCUUUGUGCGAAGGAGUUAUCUCGUACCGUGGUUGCAGAAAUGGAAACAAUGGCGCCUGUGUUGCUUUGUAAGUUGGAGAAGAUCUUUCCUCCAGGGUUCUUCAAUCCAAUGCAGCAUAUGAUUCUACACCUCCCAUAUGAAGCACGAAUGGGGGGGCCUGUGCAGGGUCGUUGGUGCUACUCAAUUGAGAGAUGUCAAAAGGUUCUUCGAACUAAAUGUAAGAAUAAGUGCAAAAUUGAAGCAUCCAUUGCAGAGGCAUACAUUCUGGAGGAGGUGUCAAACUUCACAUCGAAAUACUACGCUGAGAACCUUCCUAGUGUGCAUAAUCCACCUCCUCGUUACAAUGCUAGCGAAGAUGAAUUAAGCCUUAGCAUUUUCCGAGGGCAACUCGGAAGUGCAAGUGGUGCGACCCGCAAGACCCUUAAUCAUGAAGAGUGGCGCUCUAUCAUGCUAUAUGUGUUGACCAACCUAUCUGAAGUGGAGCCGUACAUGAUGUAAGUCACCGACAAACUUAUUUCGACGUAUUAAUGGUAUCUCUUGCCUAAACGUAUCUUUCUCCUUGGCAUAGGCAAUUUCAUCGUCAAUUCUGGCGUAAAUCAAGGCAACCGACCCCGCACGAAGCUGAGACUCUUCUUAAAGAGGGUGCGGGAAAUGGAAUGCCCGAUUUCAUUUCUUGGUUCAAACAGAAGGUAAAAUUUCAUUUCCGCGAACAUUCUAGAUACUCGUGCAUACGAUUAAUAUAACGAACCGCCCUGUUCGUACUUGCAGGGCCGAACCGAUGCGUCUAUGAAUGCCGAGUUGAGACAGGUUGCCAAUGGCUGUGACUAUAGGGUCAGGUCGUUUGCCGGUUAUGACGUCAACGGAUAUAGGUUUCACACAACAAGGCACGAGCAGAGUCGGCCCAAUCGAAGAACCACAAAUACCGGAGUUUUCACGCCAGGCUCCGAUGGAGUCGAGUACUACGGAAGAAUUGAAGAAAUAUACGAACUCACUUUUCAUGGGUGUAAACCUCUUAAUCCAGUUAUAUUCAAAUGUCAUUGGUUUGAUCCAUCUGUCGUGAGACGGGCCCCUAACCUUGGGCUAGUCGAAAUUCGACAGUCAUCCAGGUUACCAGGAGACGAUGUCUAUAUUGUGGCUCAACAGGCCACGCAAGUUUAUUAUUUGUCAUACCCGUGCCAAACCGACAGCCGUCUUAAGGGUUGGGAUGUUGUGUACAAGGUAUCACCACACGGUAAACUACCUGUACCAAACAAUGAAGAUUACAAUAUAGACCCCGACACGUACGAAGGAGAGUUAUUCCAACAAGAUGGGCUCGAAGGGAGUUUUGUGAUAGAUUUAACCGAAGCGAUCGGAAUGGAAGUAGACAACGAGAGGGUUGCUGCAGAAGACGGUGGAGACGAGGUUCAGAAUGUGAAGGACUUAGAAUUACUUCAACGAUUACAGUUAGAUAAUGACAGUGAUGACGACAUUUCUUCUUCGGAGCACGAGCUUGACUAUAUCGACACGCGUGAUAGUGAUGAUGAGACUUAUGAUCCAGCUAAUCCCGAUCAUGAUGAUUAUUUCUAAUACAUGUAUGAUUCGUAAUAAUUUAGCUAUAAUUACUUGUAAUUUGCAUAUAUUUCUAAUUAUGUUUUGUUUGUCUAUGCUGACUCGUGUACUCUUUUUAAUUGCAGGUCAUCAAGCAAUGGUGGGCGGUAUCAGGAAGCUCACGUCGAUUUGCGAGAGACUGGCCGCGGCAGGGACUGGUUCAGGGUCAGGGUCACGUUCAGUCUCGGGUCGAGGGAGGCGUCGAGGCAGGCCUCGACGUAGGGUUGAGGAGGAGGAGGAGGAGGAGGAGCAGGAGGUGGUCCAGAGGCCUCGAGGGAAAGGUAAAGCGGCGAGGCCCCCGUCGCCUGAACCUGAGGAGGAGGAGGAGGAGGAGGAGGAGGAGGAGGUACCUUCCGCACACUCCUCUGGGGACGAGGAGGCGGAGGAGGAGGAGCAGCAGGAGCAGGAGGGGGAUGGGGAGGCAGGGGAUACCCAGGCCAAGAUAUGGUUGCGAGGUCCCUCAUCCCUCCCGAAGCGGCCGAUACCUGAGCAUUUACGCCCGCUCAUUAAACCGGUUGGGAUCAAGUAAGUAACUUUAAAUAUUCUUGAAAUUGUUCUUAUGUUGUAAGUUACAAAAAAUAAUAAUUCAUAUUAAUUACUUGUGCAGGAGUUGGGUUAAGCUCAGCGGGGGUGACCACAACCGUAAGGCCAACGGGAUCCUUGGCCUUUUGUGCAGGGUUCACUUCCCUGGCUUGGUGGUGUACGCCGGACAGCUGCAGCCGGCCUACACGUGGGACCACUACGUCGCCGCCCCCGACGUCCCUGAUCGUCAACAAAGAAGAUUCCCCAACAUAGCGGAGCGGGUCAAGGCCGAGCUGUGGGUAAGUACUCCUCGUACUAAAUUGCUCAAUACAUCACUACUUUCGACAUUCUUGAAAUAAUAAUUGUUUACGCGUGUAUAUGCAGGACUUCUAUAGAUGCCAGGAGGGGUUCGAGGCCAAGGCGAAGGCCGUCUGUGAUGUAGCCGCCAAGAAGCUCGUGAGGGACAUGCAUUACGAGGCGCGCAUCCAGGCCAUCAUAGAGUUCAACGCUCAAUACAAUCAUACGAAGGUUAGAAAAGAGGAGGCAAGAACAAUGAACCUGACUAAGGAUCAAUUCAUGAGGGUAAGUAAAGAACGUUGAUGCUUACUAUUUAUGAUUAAUUAGGCUCAUUUUCUUUUUCAUACGUCACACGCUUGAUGAUGUAGGUGCCUCCGUGGUGGUGUCGUGCGCAUAUGCCGUGCUGGGAGAGGAUGGUCGACGUGUGGUUGGAGCCCGGGUGGUUGGAGACCCACCUUUCUUGCCGGCAGCGGCGUUUGCAGAUGCCGACUGCAUCACACCAUCAAGGCAGCCUAAGCCUUGAUGAAUAUAGAGAAAAAUGGGUACGCAACUUCAAUUCUUUAUUGUAACGUUUAGUUCUACGUAAUUUUUAAUAAUUUUGUAUUUUGCCGCAGUCGGCGUCACAUGAUGGCCGACCUUGCUCCCAGCUCAAGGCAUGGGUCCUCUCCAAAAAGGGCAAGGCGACGGCCGAUAUAGAUUUCAACCCAGACGACCCGUCCGAGGCGUACAGCCACCCUAGCAUAUACAGCCGCGUCAGCGAGUAUACAAAGAUGGCUAGGGAGGUUCACGGGCCAGACUUCGAUCCGAGCUCCGAGGACAUUGAUGGAGAAAUCGUGAUGAGGGUGGGAGGAGGCAAGAAGCAUGGCCGAUAUUGGAUUGGCGACGGCGUCAUCGACACGGCCUCUACUCCCACUCUCUCCCAGAUCCGAGCUAGGAGCACGGACUCGAGCCCGGCAGUACGCCCACGACCCACCGCUGCACACUUCCAGAUGGAGGCUCUACAGGUUCUUUCUCUUCCAUUCAUCGUUCGUUUGUUGUUGUACUUUAGCUUUGCAUUAUAACAUUGCAAUGAAAUAUUGUAGGCCCAGGUGGAAGAAUCAAGGAAGAAACAAGAGGAGAUGGCGGCGCAGAUGGAGGAAAUGCGGCGGAGGAUGGAGGAGGAAAACCGGAUUAGGAUGGAGCAGAUGUUCCAGUACAUGCAGAACUUUGCUACGAGCAUGGGACAGACUUUGCCUCCGCCACCGCCGAUGAUGUUCCCUCCGCCUCAGCCACCCACGACUACUCCUGUGAGUCACUUGACACAUUGUGUUUAAGAUUCAAUAGUUUAAAUUUGACAACUUUAGAUGUUACCUCAGAAUGUCCUAUCCUAUGUGCAGAAUCAAUCGGCGGCUUCGAAUAAUGAAGAUCAAGAUUUGUCGCAGUGGUCUCCUUGGCCUCCACGGAAGUAGACUUGAUUGUGAACAAUGUGGAAACUAAAUUGUGAGAAGAACUUGGAUUUAUGGAUUAUUUCGUGCUUAUGUUGAACUAUGCCUGUGGUGUUUAUGAAUUAUGCCUGUGGUUGUGAAUUAUUCAUGUGGUUGUUUAUUACAAAUGCCUGUGAUAUGUGUAUUGUGAAUUGAGAGGGGUCCGUUAUACGUGGCAAAAUUUCGAAAAAGGGGCGGUUCUGGUCACUUUGCCGAGUGUUACACUCGGCAAAGAUGGGCCUUUGCCGAGUGUCGUGACCAUAGCACUCGGCAAAGGGGCAUUUCCCAGGUGUAGGAAAGGUCCUUUGCCGAGUGCUAUGGUCAAGGCACUCGGCAAAGUGGGCGGCUUUGCCGAGUGCCCUAGCGCCGGCACUCGGCAAACAUAUCCGACUUUGCCGAGUGCCCGGGAGCCGGCACUCGGCAAAGGGACAGUGUUUGCCGAGUGCCGGGAGCCGGCACUCGGCAAAGGGACAGUGUUUGCCGAGUGCCAGGCGCGUGGCACUCGGCAAACUCGCCGUUACCCGACGCCGUCAGUCCGCGGUUCGCCGAGUCCAUCUAUUCGCCGAGUGUUUUUUGGCCGUCGGCAACAUGUUUGCCGAGUGUCCGAGUUUUGACACUCGGCAAACUAGGCUUUGCCGACACAAUAUUUGCCGUGUGCCCUUUGCCGAGUGUUACACUCGGCAAAGGCUUUGCCGAGUGUUUUCGUGCCUUUGCCGAGUGCCCCAGGCACUCGGCAAAAGUUCUGUCUCCCGUAGUGUGAUGCCGUGCGUUUGAGCAGCCUUUUUUUUGUUUUCUAGCUUUUUUUUAGAUUCUCACAAAUACGGAAAUAUUUCAAAAUCUGGAUCCAUAGCUUGACGUCAUCCACACUGUCCACCGUCGUGUUCUUCUCCGUUCUCCCUUUACUCCUCCCCACCGUCCGGCUCUUCGUGUCGUCGUCAGCCUCCCGCCGGUCCUCCCUGCCUUCCACCCGCCGCUGGCCCUCGCCGCAGGGGGCCGCGCCGGCCAGCAGGGUGCCACCUGCACUUGCCGCCAGGCGCUGCCGACCCACCAGCCGCCGCCUCCUAGCCACCGGGCGGAGUGGGCACAAUGUGCCGAUGACACCCCACUUCACCUCCGUGCCCUCUCUCGUUGGAAGGUAAAUUUCUUAUUAGUUUUAAUAGUGAGAUAUAUAGAAUAGGUAGGUAGAAUUGUUAAAUAGAAUUUAGAUAGAUAGAUAGAUAGAAUAGUUAGAUAGUUAGUUUGAAAGAUAAUUAGAUAGAAUUUUCAUCUUAUGUAAUUUUCUUUUUAGAUAUAUAUAGUUAGAUAGAUUAGUUAGACAGAUAGUUAGAUAGAAUUUUAUUCAUAUGUAAUUUUUUGACUUAGAUAGAUAGAAUAGUUAGAUAGAUAGUAAUAUAGUUAGUAUGAUAGUUAGUUAAAUAGUUAUAUACUAAGUUUAUAAACUUGAUGGACAACGUAGUGAGCAUAUAUCAUGAAGGUACCAUGGAAAGAGAUGAUUAUGGAUGUGUUAAGUUUGUUAACAUGCAAAGCAUGGUUGUGUUAUUAAUUGAGAAGCCCUCAUUUAGUGAGUUGGUUGCAAGUGCUCGGGAGGAGCUAUAUUGCCACGAAGAUGAUGACAUCACAGUGGAGGGCGUACUUCACCUAGUUUCCCCUUUCAACAUCCAAAGGAAGAUGAUCCCAAUUUGGUGUGCAGAUAAGUGGGAGAAUGAUGUGAGAUCGGUUAUGAAGCGCCAGUUCUAAAGUUUGGACGUGGUUGUGCGUCGGGUGUUAGUUGAUCCCAUCCGUCAUCGGUUUUCCCGACCAAUGGGUCAGCAUGCACACUUUGACCCUUUCAUCCCAGAACCUAUUAUGGAUGUGGAGGUUGCACGUACGGUUCCCGAUGCUGAAUCUGCCCCCAAUGAGGUAGUUGGAGAUGCUUGUCGGACACUUGAUGCUGUGGUAAAACCUCCUCAUGAGAUCCCUUUGACACAAAAUCGUCCGAGUAAGUGUCUUAUCGGCACGCUUCUUGGGAGCUAACCUCCUUCAUUACAUCAAUUUUUUUUCUUCCUUUCUCAUAUUUCUAUCAAUGUUUUAGGAGACAUUCCUGAAAAUGUGGAUGUGCCCCCAGUUGCUACUCAACUGCACUGUGGAGAAGGAUUACGUGGCUCUAAUAGUGUUGAAAUUAUGAAUGAUUCGGAUGCAUAUGAGAUGGGAAUGUAUCUUGAUUCUGAUAAUGAUCGCCCUAUUGGAGAGAUGACAGAGAGUGAUGUUGAGAUGUUCAGGCGUAUCUUUCCUGGCCUUCGUGAUCCAAGAGUUCACGAGUUCAGUGAUCUUUCUCAUUCUGAUCAUGCGUGUGUAGAGGGAAGUGAUGAUGAGCUCCUAGAAGCUCCUGAGGCUGGACCUAGCAUAGUGAUUGAGGAGGGUAGGGUAUUCAAGGAUCUCCCCACAUUGAAGAGGUGGUUACAGGCGUUUGCAGUGAUACAGAAGAGACCUUAUAAGGUCUUGCAUUCAUAUGCAGAGCACCGUUACACAGUUGUGUGUGACAAGUAACAGUGCCCAUGGACGAUUUGUGCAAGGAAGAAAAAGAUCACCGAGAAGUGAAAGAUCACAAAAGUUGUUGGGCCACACAAUUGUGCUAACACUAGAACAUCGAGAAGUGGAAGAUCACUGGAUAGAAUGGUAAGUCAAGUACCUUACUUUCCCAUGUUAAAUUACUUAGUGAUUUACUGGUUUACUUUUUAUGGACUUUGUGGACUCUUGUUAUGAACUAUUUUGGACUUUCAUUAUGGACUAUUGUGCAUAUAGACAUUCAUUAAUGAAGUUUUGUGUGUAUGAACUAUUGUGGACUUUCAUUGUGAAUUAUUAUGUGUAUGAACUAUUGUGGACUUUUAUUAUGAACUAUUGUAGAUUUUCAUUAUGAAUGUGGCAUAUGUUUGUAUGUUUGAACAUGUUGUAUUCAGGUAAAAUAUUCAUCUCAUAAUUGUGUAUGAAUUACAUCCAAAAAUACGGGAAAUUCUGCCGAAAUUUCACAAAAAUAUAGGAUUGCAUUUCGCUUACAAAAAUUCUCCACCAUGUAAGCUUAUGUGCAUUAGGCAUGUGCUCACAUAUUUCUCGCAAAGAAAACGACAUCGCACAUACUACUAGGGUGUCCAUACUUAAAGUGCAUUACAUGACAACAUAAUGAAAAGUCCAACAGUAGACAACAUGUUUCAUAAAUAAACUAUCAGACUACAAGUAAUGGAGACUACUGAGUGCAACGAGUCCACUUUCCCUUCCUCAAUCGCUGCUUUCGCUCGGCGCGCAUGCUCAAGCUUCUUCUCCCUCUCCUACCUAUCGAUAGCAACACACCUCCUUUCCUCCUCUUCCUUGUGCUCCUUUUAUGCAGCCUCCUCUCUGAGUCUCUUCUCCAUCAUCUCCUUCCUCUCUGCUUCCAACCGCAAUAUUUCUUGUAUCUCCUCCUUGUCUUCAGGCUUGAUCUCGGUGUUGAUCCACUGCUCAAAAUCACAGAGCGGUGCAGGGGUCUACAAAAAAUGCAAUUGUUAUAAAAUAAAAAAAAUCAUGUAAAAUAAUUAUAACCCAACAACAAUUCCUCACAAUCUUGUUAAUGCAGUGUUGACGAAGUGUAGGCUCAAACUUAAAAUUAGAACACAUUUAGUACCUCUACCUAUACGUGUCAUCUGCAUCGGACUUGGCUACCUUGCAAGGAUCGCUGCAAAAGCACAUGGGUAUUGGAACACCACUAGGCAGAGGCAAUGGGUCAAAGGCAUUUCCGGUCAUCCGGGCAUAACUACAAUUUAGUCAUUUUCGUUGUAAAAACCGAAAGCAGUUAACAUUAAACCUACACCUAGGGUUUCCAUUUGAUCCACAAGAAUGAAUCCAUAACAUAACUACGUGCGCUGACCUUACCUUUGUUUCCUAGCUUUUCCACGCCUUGGCAUCCUAUGGUUGCACGAAACCCUAUGUUCAAAAAUCUGACUAAUAUAUAGCGAAUCGAUGUGAAAAAAAACUUGGAGGGAGUGGAUAUCUUGCUCUCGAAGAUCCAUGGAUCAAAUAAAAGUUUCUAAGAUUUAAUAUGCCGAUUCGUGGUGUAGGGCGAAGGGGGGAGAGAAAAAACCUGAGAGGGAGGAGAAAGAGGAGGAAGAAGCUUCGGGCAAGAAGAAAGGGUGCGGCCUUAUGGUAGCAGGUUUGGCUCCAGGCUGGCUGGCACAAGGCCACCACUAUGUCAGCUGCCCCGUCAGCAGCUGUUGAGUGACCUAGGUGUUGGGAUAGCCGGCGCCGAGAUGCCUAAGCUUGGCGCCAGCGUGGAUGGCGCCAAGUUAUGGGUCCAGAUUUUGAAAUGUUUCCGCCAGAUGCGUAUUUGUAAGAAUCUUUCAGAAAAAAGGCUAAAAACAAAAAAGUUAGAUGUUUGAGCCGCUCCACAGCCCUUACCAUCACCGACUAUAAAAGGCAGGGUCGAGCGCCUCUCCGCAACCGAACUUGCCGAGCCGCCAGCUCCGCUGCUCAACUUCUUGCAAUUCUGCCUGCAAUUUAUUUAUGGAGUGAUCGAGAAAUUGAGCGAGUUUGGAGGCUAGUGGUUGAUACGUUUUUUGCAUCGAAUUGACAUUGAAUUAGUUUUCUUUGAACUGCCAUUUCAAAUGUUUUUUCUAUAGUUGCAUGUGAAACACGUCUAUUGCCGCUAAUCAAUCUGUCGACGCUUUUUUGGGCCAACACAUGAAUGUACGCGAUUGUGCGGCGCGUGGAGGGGCUCACUGUAGCACGUCGAUGCAUGCCGGUUUGACCACUUACGGUCUGACCGGUUGUUAGGCCACCUAGUAGUAGAUUGGAAAAUUUAGGGAAAAAGAAUAAAGGAAAAGACAAUAAAUAGUAGCUUGGUUUUUUUCGAUUAGGUUGGAUGCCCUCAAUCGGCCGAAUCCCUUUAUAUUUCUAAGGAGGGAAGGUCUUUAUAUUUAUAGGAAGGGAAGGUCUUACCCAUGAGGGAGUCAAAAUCCUAAUAAAAAUCGUGCUAAAUUAAAAGUUCUACUCGGUUUACACUGAGCCAGAUAGGUCAGACCAGCCUGGGCAACCUGUCGGACCAGUCUGCCCGGGUGUAUAUCUUGCGAAGGUCGUAUCUCUCUCAUCCGAACUUCAAAUCGGACGUUCUAUAUAAGAAUCUUGAUCUACUCAACAAGAUACAGGAAAUGGUAGAGUCCAAUCUUCAUUUGGAGCACUUUGAUCCAACCAGUCCGACUGGUGGCAUCAGGACUGGUGGCAUCAGCUGGUCUGACCUGUCUGUACGGGGGUGCUGAUCUUUCCGAGGGCAUAACUCUCAGGUCCGAAAUCCAAAUCGGACGUUCCAUAUAUGCAUUUUGAUCGCCUUGAUGAGAGAUAUGUCCUGGUGAAGUCCAAUUUGCUUUUUGAGAACUUUCCCAAACCGGUUUGACCGCUUGGAAGACCGGUCUAAACAUGUCUGAUCAGAUCUAUCCAGACCUGCCACUUUUCGGCAUCAACACGAGUUUUCCAGUAGUGACAACACAACAACUGUAUUACCCACGGCAUGAAAAUAACACAUAACAAGAAGCUAUGUACCACUAAGCAACACAAUCAAUACUCUUGCAAAGGGGGCGAAACACCAAAGGAAAUGGCGAUGAAAUUGAAACCCCGCCAACAGAGCUUUGCUUGAGCACGUACAGCUCUUUAUUACAGAAACAGUAUAGGAUACGAUCGAUGUGCCAUCAAGCAUAAAGCAGCAACACUUAUUUCUUUUCUCAAAGCAAGCAAGAACAGAACUGGUCAUCAAAGAAGUUGACGGGAUUCAUUCAUUCAGAUGGCCGCCGCGGUCGGUGUGCAGCGGCGCUUGCAGAAGUUAGUGAGGACGUCGACGCACCGGUAGACAGGCGCCUCGGUGGUGCUGGUGUACUUGACGCAGUUCAUGCACGCUGGGUGGCAACCCUGGAACGAGAUGUCCAGGCAACUGCAAUCUGGUGGAUUCUUCCUGUUGCAGAAGCCGCACUGGUUGCAGCACGGCCAGGAGCUCGCGUUCGCGGCGUCGUCAGCGACCGCCGCUCCUCCCUCCUCCCCGCUCCCUGCGGCCACCAAAGAUUAGUCGACGCAUCCAGUUGAGUUGAGUUGAGUGUCAAACUGUUAAUUUCUCACCUUUGCUGAGGAGUGGCAGAGUUGCGAGGACGGCGAGGACAGCCAGUGUGACGAGCAACACCUGAGGUCUCAUGCUUGUUUCUCUUGGUAUGUAGGAAUACAGGGUGUUGCCAGGUUUGUUGUGGUUGGACUUCCUUCCUACUGAUGGGUGAUGGUUAUCUGUAUGAGGCUAGAGGCCUUAUUAUAAGAGGAGGGGGUGCCAUGACAGCUGUGUGCCUGCCAAGUUAAGGCUAGCUUGGCACGGCUCUUGAACAAUGGCUUUAGCUCUAGCUUAUCUAAUGAUCUUGUAUGUUGGAGAAACAAUCUUUUAAGAUAGAUGGAAGAGGUCAAAUAUCCAAAAUACCCUUAUUUAUUUCCUUUCUUUUCUCUUUUCUUUUAAUUUCUUUUUCUUUCCCGGUCAUUUUUCUUCCUUUCUCAUUUUUUCCUUCACCAUUUAUUUUUCUUCCUUUCUUAUUUCCUCUUCCUUCUAUCCUUAUCUUCCUUUCCUCAGCUCCUGCAGAACGCCGCCCCUGCCUCUCAUGACCAUGGCCAUCACCCGCAGCUCUUCCGGCUCGACGUCCCUGCCUCCCCACUCCUCCAACUCGACGCCCUAUCUCCCCUAGCCCACUCCCUCUCCUCAGCCCGAGCGCCCAACAACCCCUUCCUCCCAGCACGUCCGGCCUCGCUUAGCAGUUUGUGCGGCACGCCUGCAGCGUCGCUUGUGCAUCCAACGUGCUCGCCCCGUCCCGCCGUGCUCCACCCACCGCCGGUCAGGUCAGCACCGGCGUUACUCCGUCCGUGCCACUGCACCAUCCGCCACCGCCCACCAACACAGUGGUUUCAAGAAAUUUCAAACAAUUUAAAUAUUUGAUAAAUGAUUUCAAAGUUGUUUCAAACUUUUACAAGUGAACAUAAAUGUUAUUUAGUGAAUGUAAAAAAUAUAAUUUCAUACAUAACACAGAUAUUUUGACUAGUUAGUUCACAUGUCCCUAUAGGUUGAAACACCUCAUGAGUUAUAGGGUGAUCAUGACUUGGAUAUCCAUUUGAGAAAAACGUACUGUUACAAUAUCUCAAAAUUAUGUUAAUAUUUUUUAAUCCAUGUUGGUUCACUGCUGAAGUGGUUACAUGCAAAAUAUCAUGAAAAACAUUCCCCCUUAUAUUUGAUGUUUUUGGAGCGUUCCCGAGCUAAUCUCGGUCAAGCUCCAAAUGGAAGGUUGACUAAGAUAGAAGAUGCCCGCGGUCUUAAAUGGGUACUUGCGUUGCCCGCCAGCACAGAGGCUAGUAUGCUUACGAGUUCUCCCCCGCAGGUCCAAGGAAGAUUUGUGCUGGUGGGUGCCAAUCAAACCCACCAGCACACUAAUUUACCUGUGUGAACACAAAUUAAAUCUGGCGUAGUGUUUUCUUAGUAUCUUUUGCUGUGGUGAGGCAUGUGAGUACUGCUGGCACGAUCAUCAGCUUGUCCUGGGCUGCUGCUAAGCAUGCACCACGAGCCAAAGGUUUUCGGGAUGCUCAGCUCAUAAGGAAUUGACUGAAAGUGACUGUUCGUUGUGUGAGCUAGCUGUCUCCACUGGUGGCUUCUGAAUUAUUGGUCCUAUAUACAUGCACCACGCGCAACAUAAGGGAAAAAAAGUCUGCAACAUGUGCGGCACUGGAUAAUUGAGCUAGCAAUAACAGUGUUGUACGCUUGUCUAUGAGGGAUGCAUGGUGCCUAACAAUCACAAUGAUCUAUACUGACUACUCCCUCCGUUCCAAAUUAUAAGUCAUUCCAAGAAUCUUGGAGAGUCAAAGCAUCUCAAGUUUGACCAAAAUUAUAGAAAAAAUUAUAAAGAUUCAUAACAUUAAAUAGUUAUACUAUGAAACUAUAAUUGAUGAAGAAUCUAAUGAUACUUUGUUGACAUCACAAAUGUUAUUAUAUUAUCAUAUAAAUUUAGUCAAACUUGAGAUACUUUGACUCUCCAAGAUUCUUAAAAUGACUUAUAAUUUGGGAUGAAGGGAGUACAUCAUAGCUUGUCUGCUUGCCUAGUGCGCGUGAACCAUGAGGGCAGGACUAGUGGCUGCACACUACUCCACGAGGGUAGGACUGGUGGCUGUGCAUCGACAGAAUUCACUAUUCGACACUAAAAAAACUAAUCGUGACACUAAACAAAUUUUGGUUCCCGUUUGAUACUGAGUUCAAUUUUCAUUCUUUAUAUAACAUUCUGUUGGAUUUUUCAUAUGAGAACCAUUAAAUGCCCGAUGAAAAGACGAUUUUGCCCUUGUGAGCCCCACCACCCUUCUCCGAUCUACUCACCUUCUCCAUCCGCUCUAUUGUACCUCCCCCACUGCUCCAUCCAUCCUCCUUAUUUAUUUCCAAGAUACCCUUAUUUAUUUCCUUUCUUUUCUCUUUUCUUUUAAUUUCUUUUUCUUUCCCGGUCAUUUUUCUUCCUUUCUCAUUUUUUCCUUCACCAUUUAUUUUUCUUCCUUUCUUAUUUCCUCUUCCUUCUGUCCUUAUCUUCCUUUCCUCAGCUCCUGCAGAACGCCGCCCCUGCCUCUCAUGACCAUGGCCAUCACCCGCAGCUCUUCCGGCUCGACGUCCCUGCCUCCCCACUCCUCCAACUCGACGCCCUAUCUCCCCUAGACCACUCCUUCUCCUCAGGCCCGAGCGCCCAACAACCCCUUCCUCCCGGCACGUCCGGCCUCGCACCUCCGGUCCACUUAGCAGUUUGUGCGGCAUGCCUGCAGCGUCGCUUGUGCAUCCAACGUGCUCGCCCCGUCCCGCCGUGCUCCACCCACUGUCGGUCAGGUCAGCACUGGCGUUACUCCGGCCGUGCCACUGCACCGUCCACCACCGCCCACCAACACAGUGGUUUCAAGAAAUUUCAAACAAUUUAAAUAUUUGAUAAAUGAUUUCAAAGUUGUUUCAAACUUUUACAAGUGAACAUAAAUGUUAUUUAGUGAAUGUAAAAAAUAUAAUUUCAUACAUAACACAGAUAUUUUGACUAGUUAGUUCACAUGUCCCUAUAGGUUGAAACACCUCAUGAGUUAUAGGGUGAUCAUGACUUGGAUAUCCAUUUGGGAAAACGUACUGUUACAAUAUCUCAAAAUUAUGUUAAUAUUUUUUAAUCCAUGUUGGUUCACUGCUGAAGUGGUUACAUGCAAAAUAUCAUGAAAAACAUUCCCCCUUAUAUUUGAUGGUUUUGGAGCGUUUCCCGAGCUCCUCUCGGUCAAGCUCCAAAUGGAAGGUUGACUAAGUUAGAAGAUGCCCGCGGUCUUAAAUGGGUACAUGCGUUGCCCGCCAGCACAGAGGCUACUAUGCUGACGAGUGGUCCCCCGCAGGUCCAAGGAAGAUUUGUGCUGGCGGGUACCAAUCAAACCCGCUAGCACGCUAAUUUACCAAUGUGAACACAAAUUAAAUCUGGCGUAGUGUUUUCUUAGUGUCUUUUGCUGUGGUGAGGCAUGUGAGUACUGCUGGCACGAUCAUCAGCUUGUCCUGGGCUGCUGCUAAGCAUGCACCACGAGCCAAAGGUUUUCUGGAUGCUCUGAAAGUGACUGUUCGUUGUGUGAGCUAGCUGUCUCCACUGGCGGCUUCAGAAUUAUUGGUCCUAUACACAUGCACCACGCGCAACAUAAGGGAAAAAAAGUCUGCAACAUGUGCGGCACUGGAUAAUUGAGCUAGCAAUAACAGUGUUGUACGCUUGUCUACGAGGGAUGCAUGGUGCCUGACAAUCACAAUGAUCUAUACUGACUACUCCCUCCGUUCCAAAUUAUAAGUCAUUCCAAGAAUCUUGGAGAGUCAAAGCAUCUCAAGUUUAACCAAAAUUAUAGAGAAAAUUAUAAAGAUUCAUAACAUUAAAUAGGUAUACUAUGAAACUAUAAUUGAUGAAGAAUCUAAUGAUACUUAGUUGACAUCAUAAAUAUAAUUAUAUUAUCAUAUAAAUUUGGUCAAACUUGAGAUACUUUGACUCUUCAAGAUUCUUGGAAUGACUUAUAAUUUGGGAUGAAGGGAGUACAUCAUAGCUUGUCUGCUUGCCUAGUGCGCAUGAACCAUGAGGGCAGGACUAGUGGACGCACACUACUCCACGAGGGCAGGACCGGUGGCCGUGCACCGACAGCAUUCACUAUUCGACACUAAAAAAUCUAAUCGUGACACUAAACAAAUUUUUGUUCCCAUUUGAUACUGAGUUCAAUUUUCAUUCUUUAUAUAACAUAUGAGAACCAUUAAAUGCUUGAUGAAAACACGGUUUUGCCCUUGUGAGCCCCACCACCCUUCUCCGAUCUACUUACCUUCUCCAUCCGCUCUAUUGUACCUCCCCCACUGCUCCAUCCAUCCUCAUGUCCAGGUGAGAGCUUAGGCACCAGGAGCUCACUACAGUUCUAUUUGUGUGGUUAUUGUCAUCGAGGAUGGUCGGGACAGUGGAGCUCCAAGGGAGGGGGGUCAUGGCAGGCUGAUGGCUCGAGUCACCAAGGAAAGGAUGAUUCCCGGCGGGGUUGAGCUCGUCCUAGCCAACAAGCAGGUCGGGGAGGUCGAGCGCAAGGUGAGGGAGGUUUGGGUGCGACGGAUUGGGUUUUGGCAGAGGUGGUGAGAAUUUGGCUGGCGAUGAGGUUCGGUGGCUGGUGGCAGUCGCAAGACAUGGAAUUCCCAGCACUAAGUAGUUUGUGAUUGGGCUGGAACUAGCCUGGUGUCGGGGAUACAUCCCCAAUACCCGCAAGGAAGGAAGAAGUCAGACUCCUACUAGGAUUCCCUUGUAAUCCGACUAGGACUCAUACCGUGUACUCCUACUAGGACUCCUCCUUGUAAUCCGACUAGUACUCUGCCCCCUGGAGUAUAUAAAGGAGGGUAAGGGUACCUAGCUCGGUAGGUCACACCUCAACACCCAAGCGUAGGGCGCAGUAUACAAAUACCCCCAAACAGGACGUAGGGUAUUACGCUACUCCGGCGGCCCGAACCUAUCUAAAUCCGUGUCUUGUGUCCUCGCUUUUACCUUCAAGUUCCAGGUCCGGCGAUCCCCCACUACACAUUCUGCUACCUCGGGUACCCCUUGGUAGACGGCCGAUAUAAAUCACCGACAUUGGCGCCCACCGUGGGGCAGCUCGUCGAGAUCAUCAGGCGAGCUUGAAGGACCUCAUCUUCAAGCCGGCGUUCGCUUUCAAAGCGGGCACAACCUUCGUCUUCGACUCCUGACUUUGCAUCACCGACGGCACUGGGUCCUUCCAAUGCUGCAUCAUCGACAACCAGGAGAAGAAGCGCCUCGACGGGAACUCUCUUCCACAAGAAGCAGAAAAUCUCAUUGAGAAAAUCGACAAAUUAAACCUUGGAUCAAGGUUCGACUGCAAACUCGUACUCCAACGGCGACUUCGGGUUCGACCAUGAUUCGAACUCGAACUCCGACGGCGACUACGGGUCUGACUACAACGCGGAGUCCGACAGCGACUCCAGGUCUGGCUACGACUAUGAGUCCGAUGACGACUCCGGGUUCGAUCGCAACACGGAGUCUGACGGCGACUCCAGCUUCAACUCCGACUCAAAGUCUAACAGCGACUCUGAGUUCGACUACAACUCAAAAGUCCGACUACAUUGCGAGCCCUCCGACGACUACAGGCGGCUCGUCGAUGAUUUCUUGGACUAUGUUGCGGGCACGCCGACGACCACGGUCGACUUGCCGACGACUCUGUUGACUACGGGCAGCUCGUCGACGACUUCAACUACGUUGCAAGCUCGCCGACGACUACGGGCGGCUCGGCAAUGACUUUGACUACUUUCCUCGACUACUUCGCUCGGCAACACAUUGAUGACUACUUCGUCAUGACGCUCGCCGACGACUUCUCCGAGUACGUCACGGCGCUUGCCGACUACUACGGGCAGCUCGCCGACGACUACUCCGACCACAUCGCGACGCUCGCUGACGACUACUACUCGUCUCGACUACAAGGCUAGUCGAGGGCGGAUUACAACUCGUCUUGACUAAAAAAUUAGUUGGGGCAAACUUCACAUCAUCGACAACUAGUCAGAAUCUCCUCCGACUAGUCGAUUUCGUUAACAACCAUUACGGCUUCAUCAACGACCAUCACGGCUUCGUCAAACAAUCAUCCACGAAUCAAGCUAAGUCACUUUUCUAAAUUAUUUUCCGGCUUACUUUCCGCUUGCGCGCAACACGCGCUCUACUCGCUGGAAACUCUCGCGCACAACAUGCGCUCUAUUCGCCGGAGGGCAGCAAACUCUUUCGCGCUACCUCGCUCUCUUUUUAUCGCAACAGUGACUAUUCCUUUUUGUCUUCUCUUAUGGUCACUACUCUUCUCGAGCAGAACAUGCCUUAACUCGUGAAAGCCUCAGGCGCAUCUGUCACGCCUAAGCCUAUACGUGUAUACGAGACAAAGGUCUCACACACGCAGUGGCAACGGCUACCCAGAGACUGAGAGUCUAAGCAUAACAGGCUAACUACUCAGGAAGAGUAUGACUAAAACAAGAGCUUGACUCGCAAUCAUGCAGUCUCUUUCUUGUCGCAGCAGCGACUACUCUCACUUUUGUCUUCUCUUAAGGUCACUACUCUUCUCGAGCAGAACACGCCUUAACUCGUGAAAGCCUCAGGCGCAUCUGUCACGCCUAAGCCCAUACGCGUAUACGAGACAACGAUCUCACACACGCAGUGGCAACAGCUACCCAGAGACUGAGAGCCUAAUCGUAACAGGCUAACUACUCGGGAAGAAUAUGACCGAAAUAAGAGCAUGACACAACAUUCAUAUUGAUCACUGAAUAAAUUUCAGCAGUUUCAAAAUCCUACAAAAAUGCUACAUAAUGUAUGCAUCUUUUCUUUCAGAUCGAGCUUCAGUGACACUAAGCAUGCCUCCAAUGGCACAGGCUAGUUCCCGAACUCGGGGGCUAAGCACCAAUCAGUACUCGGAAUAUCUCCAGUGGCUCAGCUAGCUCCCAGGCUCGGGGGCUGGAUGCCGCAAAACCACUCGACGUGGCUCCAACGACUUACCUGGCGCACAAGCUCGGGGGCUGGACGCCGCAAGACUACUCGAAUGAUGACCUGAGUGAAGAUUCAAGACCCUCGGGUUGAUUAUUCAAUCAAUCAAAGGCUCGGGGGCUGAUAAGCUACACCCAACAAUUGAUUUUUUCAAGUCAAAAGAGGAAGAUUCAAGAUUUUGACCCUCAGCCUGAUUCUGCGAUUCAACCUAAGGCUCGGGGGCUACUCCAUAUGGAGUGUGACUUUCACCGUCCUCCAUACAUGAAGACUUCAAUAUCAUGUUGAUCAAGACUUUGAGCACACCAUAGCCUCAUGGUGGCUUUGAGAAACAUUGAAAGAUUCAGUCUGACAAAGUACUCGAAGAGCACCAAAACUACCCGGCGAAUAUCUCAAGACUACUCGAAGACUGCUGCAUUCGACUAUGAAGCGCUCGGAGGCUUGUCAGGAAUACAUCCCCACUACCCGCAAGGAAGGAAGAAGUCAUACUCCUACUAGGAUUCCCCUGUAAUCCGACUAGGACUCAUACCGUGUACUCCUACUAGGACUCCUCCUUGUAAUCCGACUAGUACUCUGCCCCCUGGAGUAUAUAAAGGAGGGCAGGGGUACCUAGCUCCGUAGGUCACACCUCAACACCCAAGCGCAGGGCGCAGUAUACAAAUACCCCCAAACAGGACGUAGGGUAUUACGCUACUCCGGCGGCCCGAACCUGUCUAAAUCCGUGUCUUGUGUCCUCGCUUUUACCUUCAAGUUCCAGGUUCGACGAUCUCCCACUACACAUUAUGCUACCUCGAGUACCCCUUGGUAGACGGCCGGUAUAAAUCACCGACACCUGGGAGGGAGAUUGGAAUUUGGAGAAUUCUUGUGUGAGACCACGGGGCACCGUCUCAUACACCAGCCUUGCCGUGCUGAAAUCAGCGAGCUUCACGCCGUAGCCUUUGGUGUCGCAGCAGUCGAGGAGCACGUUCCGGCCCUUGACAUUCUUGUGCACGACGGCCACCCUCCUGAGCCCACACACCGAGCUCACUGUAACACCCAAAAAUUCCAUCAUAAACACAAUAUAAGCAACAUGUGGUCUAGCUCUUUAUUUUCUAAGAACUAAAUAAAAUACUAAUAUUAAAUUAUGGCCUUUAAAAAAUUAAAGAACACUUGAAAUAACUUUUUAGAGACAAGUGCUUGUUAGGGUUCUUCGUUUGCUUCCCUUUUUGUUUGCGUUUGCAAAAUUUUACAUGAUGUCACUGUCCUCGUCAUCCUCGGCACUGGCAGAGCGUCGUUGGGGCAUAGAGGACCAUGGCCCCCUUGCUUGGUAAAAAAAAAAAUCAGAAGAGCAAAGUGCAAAGGCCCAGUCCAAGUGCAGUCCGUGGCUUGUUGACACGUAAUUAAUAAAUCAAUAAAUCCCACAAGGCAUUAACCACAUAGGCACAAACAAACAUUGAAAACAAUAGAAAAAAAUAUUGAGCCAAUUCCAGCAACUAGCGGAUGAGACAACGACCUCAGCCGUCACCCCUUCGCAAGAUGGACACUUCCUUCACAGUUGACUCAUUGAGGUUGUCAUCGUCGGCCGUCGCCACUUGCCAGGGCUGGCGCCUUGCAGCCUGGUGCUAGAACUUUCAUCCUGAAGGUAUGGUUGCUUUUCUUCCUUCUUUUGUUUAUCUUCUAAGUUCUUAACACAUUAGAUCCGUAGAGUAUGCAGGCUACUAUUGCCUAAUUAGCUGGUAAUUUGUUGUCAAUUGAGAUCUAUUAUUAUUUCUUUUGAGAAAAUUGAGAUGUUUCGCUAGUUUAUUUGGCCCUAAUCCCCAAAUUGCAGAGUUUAUAUGAUUUUGUGGUUUUAUAACUAAAUACAGUUCUGCAAUUUGGUAGGUAGGUACAAAUAGGUAAAGAGAAGCCUAUUGAUUCAUUUUUCAAAAGCAAAAGAGAUGAACCAAUUGUGGACUGUCGAGCAGCCUCUGGUUCAAGCCAACCAAUUUCCCACCUAAAAUUUGCUUCACGCUCCGCCACGGAUCCUCGAUCCUCGGUGAGAAUUUUUAACCUCUUUGAAAAAGUCGGCGAUUGCGAAUCUCCACCUGCAUUUUUGAAAUGGAUUCUGAAAUAUUGUGGCGAAAUGUCCUUUUCUAAGUGGGCCUAGACCCAUAAAUUCGCGAGCUCCGCCCCACUCACCACUGCCACACCAUAACUCCGCCUGUGCUGUCGUGGCCACUUGCUCGCCUCGUCGCUCUCGCGCGUCACAGUAGCAGCAGUUCUUGAGGCGGUACGCUGCCUGCAAGCUAUGCGAGCCCGUCAGCUCGUCAGGCACAGUGCCUGCCUGCCGCUACGCUCCACCUCCCCACCACCACGCUGCAAGCCGACGCCCGCAAGCUGCCGCUCGGCCACAGCGCCGCCGCUGAUGCCGUGCCUUUGAGCAGCCUUUUAUUUGUUUUUUAGCUUUUUUUUUUUUGAAGAUUCUCACACAUGUGGAAAUAUUUCAAAAUCUGGAUCCAUAGCUUGACGUCAUCCACACUGGCACCAAGCUUACACGUCUUGGCACCAGCCGUUCUGGUGCCUAGGUCGUUGCGCAGCUGUUGAUGGGGCAGCUGACGUGACGGUGGCUUGGCGCCUGGCUGUUUAACACACGGCCUCCGCCUCUAACUUCUCCCACCGGCUGCCGCCUCCUAGCCACCGGGUGGAGUGGGCGCAGUGCGCCGAUGACACCCCACUUCGCCUCCGCGCCCUUUCUCGUUGGAAGGUAAAUUUCUUAUUAGUUUUAAUAGUGAGAUAUAUAGAAUAGGUAGGUAGAAUUGUUAAAUAGAAUUUAGAUAGAUAGAUAGAACAGUUAGAUAGUUAGUUUGAAAGAUAAUUAGAUAGAAUUUUCAUCUUAUGUAAUUUUCUUUUUAGAUAUGUAUAGUUAGAUAGAUGGUUAGAUAGAUAGUUAGAUAGAAUUUUAUUCAUAUGUAAUUUUUUUACUUAGAUAGAUAGAAUAGUUAGAUAGAUAGUAAUAUAGUUAGUAUGAUAGUUAGUUAAAUAGUUAUAUACUAAAUUACAUAGUAACUCGACAUAGUUAGUAGUAUUUAGUAGUUUGUAGUUAAUAGAUAGUAUCUAUUUAGUUAGUUGGUACGUAAUGAAGAUUUUAUACUUAGAAUGCUUCAUUUAUAUUGGACUAAAUGAAUUGUUCUGUUUAUAACCUUGAUGGACAACGUAGUGAGCAUAUAUCAUGAAGGUACCGUGGAAAGAGAUGACUAUGGAUGUGUUAAGUUUGUUAACAUGCAAAGCAUGGUUGUGUUAUUAAUUGAGAAGCCCUCAUUUAGUGAGUUGGUUGCAAGUGCUCGGGAGGAGCUAUAUUGCCAUGAAGAUGAUGACAUCACAGUGGAGGGCGUACUUCACCUAGGUUCCCCUUUCAACAUCCAAAGGAAGAUGAUCCCAAUUUGGUGCGCAGAUAAGUGGGAGAAUGAUGUGAGAUCGGUUAUGAAGCGCCAGUUCUAAAGUUUGGACGUGGUUGUGCGUCGGGUGUUAGUUGAUCCCAUCCGUCAUCGGUUUUCCCGACCAAUGGGUCAGCAUGCACACUUCGACCCUUUCGUCCCAGAACCUAUUAUGGAUGUGGAGGUUGCACAUAUGGUUCCCGAUGCUGAAUCUGCCCCCAAUGAGGUAGUUGGAGCUGCUUGUCGGACACUUGAUGCUGUGGUAAAUCCUCCUCAUGAGAUCCCUUUGACACAAAAUCAUCCGAGUAAGUGUCUUAUCGGCACGCUUCUUGGGAGCUAACCUCCUUCAUUACAUCAAUUUUUUUCUUCCUUUCUCAUAUUUCUACCAAUGUUUUAGGAGACAUUCCUAAAAAUGUGGAUGUGCCCCCAGUUGCUACUCAACUGCACUAUGGAGAUGGAUUACGUGGCUCUAAUAGUGUUGGAAUUAUGAAUGAUUCGGAUGCAUAUGAGAUGGGAAUGUAUCUUGAUUCUGAUAAUGAUCGCCCUGUUGGAGAGAUGACAGAGAGUGAUGUUGAGAUGUUCAGGCGUUGCUUUCCUGACCGUCGUGAUCCAAGAGUUCACGAGUUCAGUGAUCUUUCUCAUUCUAAUCAUGCGUGUGCAGAGGGAAGUGAUGAUGAGCUCCUAGAAGCUCCUGAGGCUGGACCUAGCAUAGUGAUUGAGGAGGGUAGCGCAUUGAUGAGGUGGUUACAGGCAUUUGCAGUGAUAAAGAAGAGACCUUACAAGGUCUUGCAUUCAUAUGCAGAGCACCGUUACACAGUUGUGUGUGACAAGUAACAGUGCCCAUGGAUGAUUUGUGCAAGGAAGAAAAAGAUCACCGAGAAGUGAAAGAUCACAAAAGUUGUCAGGCCACACAAUUGUGCUAACACUAGAACAUUGAGAAGUGGAAGAUCACUGGAUAGAAUGGUAAGUCAAGUACCUUACUUUCCCAUGUUAAAUUACUUAGUGAUUUACUGGUUUACUUAUUAUGGACUUUGUGGACUCUUGUUAUGAACUAUUUUGGACUUUCAUUACGGACUUCGUGGACUUUCAUUAUGGACUUUGUGGACGUUCAUUAUGAACUAUUGUGCAUAUAGACAUUCAUUAUGAAAUUUUGUGUGUAUGAACUAUUGUGGACUUUCAUUAUGAAUUUUGUGGACGUUUAUUAUGAACUAUUGUGUAUAUGGACUUUCAUUGUGAAUUAUUAUGUGUAUGAACUAUUGUGGACUUUUAUUACGAACUAUUGUAGAUUUUCAUUAUGAAUGUGGCAUCUGUUUGAACAUGUUGUAUUCAGGUAGAAUAUUCAUCUCAUAAUUGUGUAUGAAUUACAUCCAAAAAUAGGGGAAAUUCUGCUGAAAUUUCACAAAAAUAUAGAAUUGCAUUUCGCUAACCAAAAUUCUUCGGCAUGUAAGCUUAUGUGCAUUAGGCAUGUGCUCACAUAUUUCUCGCAAAGAAAAUGACAUCGCACAUACUACUAUGGUGCCCAUACUUAAAGUGCAUUACAUGACAACACAAUGAAAAGUCCAACAAUAGACAACAUGUUUCAUAAAUAAACUAUCAGACUACAAGUAAUGGAGACUACUGAGUGCAACGAGUCCACUUUCCCUUCCUCAAUCGUAGCUUUCGCUUGGUGUGCAUGCUCAAGCUUCUUCUCCCUCUCCUACCUAUCCGCAGCAACACGCCUCCUUUCUUCCUCUUCCUUGUGCUCCUUUUAUGCGGCCUCCUUUCUGAGCCUCUUCUCCAUCAUCUCCUUCCUCUCUGCCUCCAACCGCAAUAUUUCCUGCAUCUCCUCCUUGUCUUCAGGCUUGAUCUCGGUGUUGAUCCAGUGCUCAAAAUCACAGAGCGGUGCAGGGGUCUACAACAAAUGCAAUUGUUAUAAAAUAAAAAAAAUCAUGUAAAAUAAUUAUAACCCAACAAUAAUUCCUCACCAUCUUGUUAAUGCGGCGUUGACGAAGUGUAGGCUCAAACUUAAAAUUAGAACACAUCCAGUACCUCUACCUAUACGUGUCAUCUGCAUCGGACUUGGCUACCCUGCAAGGAUCGCUGCAAAAGCACAUGGGUACUGGAACACCACUAGGCAGAGGUAAUGGGUCGAAGCUAUUUCGGGUCAUACGGGCAUAACUACAAUUUAGUCAUUUUCAUUCUAAGAACCGAAAGCGGUUAACAUUAAACCUACACCUAGGGUUUCCCAUUUGAUCCACAAGAAUGAAUCCAUAACAUAACUACGUGCGCUGAGGUUACCAUAGUUUCGUAGCUUUUCCACGCCUUGGCAUCCUAUGGUUGCACGAAACGCUAUGUUCAAAAAUCCGACUAAUAUAUAGCGAAUCGAUGUGAAAAAAACUAGGAGGGAGUGGAUAUCUUGCUCUCGAAGAUCCAUGGAUCAAAUCGAAGUUUCUAAGAUUUAAUAUGCCGAUUCGUGGUGUAAGGUGAAGUGGGGAGAGAAAAAACCUGAGAGGGAGGAGAAAGAGGAGGAAGAAGCUUCAGGCAAGAAGAAAGGGUGCGGCCUUAUGUUAGCAGGUUUGGCUCCAGGCUAGCUGGCACGAGGCCACCACUACAUCAGCUGCCCCAUCAGCAGCUGUUGAGCGACCUAGGCGCCGGGAUAGCCGGCGUCGAGAUGCGUAAGCUUGGCACCAGCGUGGAUGGCGCCAAGGUAUGGGUCCAGAUUUUGAAAUGUUUCCGUCAGAGGCGUAUUUGUAGAGGCGUAUUUGUAAGAAUCUUUCAGAAAAAAGGCUAACAAAAAAGUCAGAUGUUUGAGCCGCUCCACAGCCCUUACCAUCACCGACUAUAAAAGGCAGGGUCGAGCGCCUCUCCGCAACCGAACUUGCCGAGCCGCCAGCUCCGCUGCUCAACUUCUUGCAAUUCUGCCUGCAAUUUAUUUAUGGAGUGAUCGAGAAAUUGAGCGAGUUUGGAGGCUAGUGGUUGAUACGUUUUUUGCAUCGAAUUGACAUUGAAUUAGUUUUCUUUGAACUGCCAUUUCAAAUGUUUUUUCUAUAGUUGCAUGUGAAACACAUCUAUUGCCGCUAAUCAAUCUGUCGACGCUUUUUUGGGCCAACACAUGAAUGUACGCGAUUGUGCGGCGCGUGGAGGGGCUCACUGUAGCACGUCGAUGCAUGCCGGUUUGACCACUUACGGUCUGACCGGUUGUUAGGCCACCUAGUAGUAGAUUGGAAAAUUUAGGGAAAAAGAAUAAAGGAAAAGACAAUAAAUAGUAGCUUGGUUUUUUUCGAUUAGGUUGGAUGCCCUCAAUCGGUCGAAUCCCUUUAUAUUUCUAAGGAGGGAAGGUCUUUAUAUUUAUAGGAAGGGAAGGUCUUACCCAUGAGGGAGUCAAAAUCCUAACAAAAAUCGUGCUAAAUUAAAAGUUCUACUCGGUUUACACUGAGCCAGAUAGGUCAGACCAGCCUGGGCAACCUGUCGGACCAGUCUGCCCGGGUGUAUAUCUUGCGAAGGUCGUAUCUCUCUCAUCCGAACUUCAAAUCGGACGUUCUAUAUAAGAAUCUUGAUCUACUCAACAAGAUACAGGAAAUGGUAGAGUCCAAUCUUCAUUUGGAGCACUUUGAUCCAACCAGUCCGACUGGUGGCAUCAGGACUGGUGGCAUCAGCCGGUCUGACCUGUCUGUACGGGGGUGCUGAUCUUUCCGAGGGCAUAACUCUCAGGUCCGAAAUCCAAAUCGGACAUUCCAUAUAUGCAUUUUGAUCGCCUUGAUGAGAGAUAUGUCCUGGUGAAGUCCAAUUUGCUUUUUGAGAACUUUCCCAAACCGGUUUGACCGCUUGGAAGACCGGUCUAAACAUGUCUGAUCAGAUCUAUCCAGACCUGCCACUUUUCGGCAUCAACACGAGUUUUCCAGUAGUGACAACACAACAACUGUAUUACCCACGGCAUGAAAAUAACACAUAACAAGAAGCUAUGUACCACUAAGCAACACAAUCAAUACUCUUGCAAAGGGGGCGAAAUACCAAAGGAAAUGGCGAUGAAAUUGAAACCCCGCCAACAGAGCUUUGCUUGAGCACGUACAGCUCUUUAUUACAGAAACAGUAUAGGAUACGAUCGAUGUGCCAUCAAGCAUAAAGCAGCAACACUUAUUUCUUUUCUCAAAGCAAGCAAGAACAGAACUGGUCAUCAAAGAAGUUGACGGGAUUCAUUCAUUCAGAUGGCCGCCGCGGUCGGUGUGCAGCGGCGCUUGCAGAAGUUAGUGAGGACGUCGACGCACCGGUAGACAGGCGCCUCGGUGGUGCUGGUGUACUUGACGCAGUUCAUGCACGCUGGGUGGCAACCCUGGAACGAGAUGUCCAGGCAACUGCAAUCUGGUGGAUUCUUCCUGUUGCAGAAGCCGCACUGGUUGCAGCACGGCCAGGAGCUCGCGUUCGCGGCGUCGUCAGCGACCGCCGCUCCUCCCUCCUCCCCGCUCCCUGCGGCCACCAAAGAUUAGUCGACGCAUCCAGUUGAGUUGAGUUGAGUGUCAAACUGUUAAUUUCUCACCUUUGCUGAGGAGUGGCAGAGUUGCGAGGACGGCGAGGACAGCCAGUGUGACGAGCAACACCUGAGGUCUCAUGCUUGUUUCUCUUGGUAUGUAGGAAUACAGGGUGUUGCCAGGUUUGUUGUGGUUGGACUUCCUUCCUACUGAUGGGUGAUGGUUAUCUGUAUGAGGCUAGAGGCCUUAUUAUAAGAGGAGGGGGUGCCAUGACAGCUGUGUGCCUGCCAAGUUAAGGCUAGCUUGGCACGGCUCUUGAACAAUGGCUUUAGCUCUAGCUUAUCUAAUGAUCUUGUAUGUUGGAGAAACAAUCUUUUAAGAUAGAUGGAAGAGGUCAAAUAUCCAAAAUACCCUUAUUUAUUUCCUUUCUUUUCUCUUUUCUUUUAAUUUCUUUUUCUUUCCUGGUCAUUUUUCUUCCUUUCUCAUUUUUUCCUUCACCAUUUAUUUUUCUUCCUUUCUUAUUUCCUCUUCCUUCUAUCCUUAUCUUCCUUUCCUCAGCUCCUGCAGAACGCCGCCCCUGCCUCUCAUGACCAUGGCCAUCACCCGCAGCUCUUCCGGCUCGACGUCCCUGCCUCCCCACUCCUCCAACUCGACGCCCUAUCUCCCCUAGCCCACUCCCUCUCCUCAGCCCGAGCGCCCAACAACCCCUUCCUCCCAGCACGUCCGGCCUCGCUUAGCAGUUUGUGCGGCACGCCUGCAGCGUCGCUUGUGCAUCCAACGUGCUCGCCCCGUCCCGCCGUGCUCCACCCACCGCCGGUCAGGUCAGCACCGGCGUUACUCCGUCCGUGCCACUGCACCAUCCGCCACCGCCCACCAACACAGUGGUUUCAAGAAAUUUCAAACAAUUUAAAUAUUUGAUAAAUGAUUUCAAUGUUGUUUCAAACUUUUACAAGUGAACAUAAAUGUUAUUUAGUGAAUGUAAAAAAUAUAAUUUCAUACAUAACACAGAUAUUUUGACUAGUUAGUUCACAUGUCCCUAUAGGUUGAAACACCUCAUGAGUUAUAGGGUGAUCAUGACUUGGAUAUCCAUUUGAGAAAAACGUACUGUUACAAUAUCUCAAAAUUAUGUUAAUAUUUUUUAAUCCAUGUUGGUUCACUGCUGAAGUGGUUACAUGCAAAAUAUCAUGAAAAACAUUCCCCCUUAUAUUUGAUGUUUUUGGAGCGUUCCCGAGCUAAUCUCGGUCAAGCUCCAAAUGGAAGGUUGACUAAGAUAGAAGAUGCCCGCGGUCUUAAAUGGGUACUUGCGUUGCCCGCCAGCACAGAGGCUAGUAUGCUUACGAGUUCUCCCCCGCAGGCCCAAGGAAGAUUUGUGCUGGUGGGUGCCAAUCAAACCCACCAGCACACUAAUUUACCUGUGUGAACACAAAUUAAAUCUGGCGUAGUGUUUUCUUAGUAUCUUUUGCUGUGGUGAGGCAUGUGAGUACUGCUGGCACGAUCAUCAGCUUGUCCUGGGCUGCUGCUAAGCAUGCACCACGAGCCAAAGGUUUUCGGGAUGCUCAGCUCAUAAGGAAUUGACUGAAAGUGACUGUUCGUUGUGUGAGCUAGCUGUCUCCACUGGUGGCUUCUGAAUUAUUGGUCCUAUAUACAUGCACCACGCGCAACAUAAGGGAAAAAAAGUCUGCAACAUGUGCGGCACUGGAUAAUUGAGCUAGCAAUAACAGUGUUGUACGCUUGUCUAUGAGGGAUGCAUGGUGCCUAACAAUCACAAUGAUCUAUACUGACUACUCCCUCCGUUCCAAAUUAUAAGUCAUUCCAAGAAUCUUGGAGAGUCAAAGCAUCUCAAGUUUGACCAAAAUUAUAGAAAAAAUUAUAAAGAUUCAUAACAUUAAAUAGUUAUACUAUGAAACUAUAAUUGAUGAAGAAUCUAAUGAUACUUUGUUGACAUCACAAAUGUUAUUAUAUUAUCAUAUAAAUUUAGUCAAACUUGAGAUACUUUGACUCUCCAAGAUUCUUGAAAUGACUUAUAAUUUGGGAUGAAGGGAGUACAUCAUAGCUUGUCUGCUUGCCUAGUGCGCGUGAACCAUGAGGGCAGGACUAGUGGCUGCACACUACUCCACGAGGGUAGGACUGGUGGCUGUGCACCGACAGAAUUCACUAUUCGACACUAAAAAAACUAAUCGUGACACUAAAUAAAUUUUGGUUCCCGUUUGAUACUGAGUUCAAUUUUCAUUCUUUAUAUAACAUUCUGUUGGAUUUUUCAUACGAGAACCAUUAAAUGCCCGAUGAAAAGACGAUUUUGCCCUUGUGAGCCCCACCACCCUUCUCCGAUCUACUCACCUUCUCCAUCCGCUCUAUUGUACCUCCCCCACUGCUCCAUCCAUCCUCCUGUCCAGGUGAGAGCUUAGGCACCAGGAGCUCACUACAGUUCUAUUUGUGUGGUUAUUGGCAUCGAGGAUGGUCGGGACGGUGGAGCUCCAAGGGAGGGGGGUCAUGGCGGGCUGACGGCUCGAGUCGCCAAGGAAAGGACGAUUCCCGGCGGGGUUGAGCUCAUCCUAGCCAACAAGCAGGUCGGGGAGGUCGAGCGCAAGGUGAGGGAGGUUCGGGUGCGAGGGAUUGGGUUUUGGCGAAGGUGGUGAGAAUUUGGUCGGCGAUGAGGUUUGGUGGCUGGUGGCAGUCGCGAGACAUGGAAUUCCCGGCACUAAGUAGUUUGUGAUUGGGCUAGAACUAGCCUGGGAGGGAGAUUGGAAUUUGUAGAAUUCUUGUGUGAGACCACGGGGCGCUGUCUCAGACACCAGCCUUGCCGCACUGAAAUCGGCGAGCUUCACGACGUAGCCUUUGGUGUCGCAGCAGUUGAGGAGCACAUUCCGACCCUUGACAUUCUUGUGCACGACGGCCACCCUCCUGAGCCCACACGCCGUGCUCACUGUAACACCCAAAAAUUCCAUCAUAAACACAAUAUAAGCAACAUGUGGUCUAGCUCUUUCUUUUCUAAGAAUUAAAUAAAAUACUAAUAUUAAAUUAUGGCCUUUAAUAAAUUAAAAAACACUUGAAAUAACUUUUUUGAGACAAGUGCUUGUUAGGGUUCUUCGUUUGCUUCCCUUUUUGUUUGCGUUUGCAAAAUUUUAAAUCAAAAAUCUUAUCAAUCUUCUUUCUCUCUUUCUGUAAAACUCAGCAGGCCGGCCCACCUUUCCACUUUCUUUCCCUCCCGGCCCGCUCUCUUUUUCCUUCUCCAGCCGGCCCACCUCCUCAUUUCUUUGCGCAGGCCCAAGCUGAUCCGCCGGCCCAUCAGCAUCUCCCCAGCCCAACCCCCCCUCUCCUCCCACCGAUAGGUGGGGCCCACCUGUCAGGCGCGUCCUCAACCUCCAGCUGCACCGCAACUCCAGCACUGCCAGCAGCGCCUGCUCGCCUCCCAUCGCCACUCCAUCUCCUGCGUCCCUCCACUUGCUGGAACUACAUCGCCUUCCCACGCGUGUGCGCUGCUAGCGCCCUCUCCUCUCCUAACUCCAGUUACAGGCGUCCCAUUUUCCACUCGCGAUUAAUGGCCAUCGGAGCUCGUUUCAUCUACCCAAGCGCCGUCUCAACUCCUCCUCACGGCCUAUAAGUAGCGCCUACUCCCUCUCCCCGGCUCCAUUCUCCCAUUCUCGCCACCACCAACGCUACCCGCACCAGAGCGCCAGAGCGCCACCGCAUCUCACAGCACCGCCACCGUCCAAAUUCCUCCGCCGCUGGGUACAACGCCGGCCUUUCUCGCCCGCCACAGCCGCAGGUAUGGCCUCCCUCGCUUUCCCCUCGCUCACCUCCGUCGCCUGCGCCACCCGCUUUGCUCACCGCCGCGCCUGAGCUCGCCGGCGAGCCACCGGUCAUGCGAGCCACCGGUCAUGUGCCUAUGCGCGUGCGCGAGAAAGGAAAGAGGAGGAGGAUAAGGCUAUUUUGCAAUCUAGUCCCUAAACUCUCUGAUAUUCUCUUGCUUGAUUCAUGUGUCUAGUAAGGCUUGCAAAGAAUCCCCUGCAAUCCUUAGAACCUUUCUUUUUAACCUGAGCUCUACAAUCUUGCAGAUCUAACCCUAUACUUUUCUAUAUUUCUUAGUUGUUCACUUAGUCUUGUGAAACUUCCUUGGUAGCCCCUAAAGUAUAUAGUUAAUUCCGUUUAAGCCCCUAAAACUUGUUUACUACAUAUCUUCAUCAUUUCAACUCCGAUUUCAGCGAUUCUCAGCUAGGCACCAUACCACACUUUCGAGGUGUAAUUGCAAAGGGACGUUACGAGGCCUUUACAAAGAUUCCCUAAUAAGAAGUAGUCCGCUAAGGUUUCAUGAUCAGUGCAAUGUAUAACAGUCCCCUAGUGGGUAUAGUGUCUUAGCAAAGCCCACUUCCUAAGAGAGCGAGUGCUAUACACCAACUACUGUCUCUCCCUCUUGCCCUUUCGGUAAGACCGCUCCAAAAUAGAGUUUCUAAUUAUUCAGCCAAGACCAGAGCUAUUUAGUCUUGUGGUAGCACUGUUUUCCUGGGUGGUUCUCCAUGUUUCAAUUAACAUUAUUAUGAUAUUAUUAACAAAGCAUAGGUAGAAGGUUGGUUAGGGACACUUGCCUUUUCUCCAACGAAAAGUUACUCCUACUGCUCUUUAGCUUUUUGCUUUCUUGAAACUCUUACUCUUCAAAACUUCGAAACAACGAUCCUUCUACUCGGAGCAAACAUCAGCACAAACAUACAAGCAACAAACAAGUACAACUAAGAACAAUACACCAAAACAAAAGACAGGCUUUAAAAGAGCAUACUAAAGGACAUGGCUUGAUUCUAGGAUUACGCAGAUGCAGGAACGCUUACAACGUAACUAUGGUUGAAAAGAUAAAACUAUCGAAAGAUUUGAAUUUUAAAAGAAAGGUGAGAGUUACAAACUUCAUUUAUUUUAGUUGAGAAAAAUAAUGUAAAGAUAUUUCAGAGAAAUAUCCUUAGUUAGAAUUAAUCAAGUCAUAUUUAUAUUUUCAUAAGAAAAGACGGUGUAAAGCUUAGCCCAAAUUUAUUUAUAAAUAUUUAAGUACAAUUUAUGCAAAUUAGACAUUUAAUUUAAAAAUAAGAUACAUGUAGACAUAUAAGCGUAUAGCUUUACAUUUCGAGUUCAACUAAGUAGAUUAAAUUAAAAACACAUUUAUAUUUAUAUUAGCUAAAUUAACAUUUAAUUAUGAAACUCGAGAUAUAACCUAUGUAGCUUUUAUUUAGAAAACAAAUUGAAUAAACAUUAAUCAAAUUGAAUUUAAUUUAUGAAACGUCGAGGUAUAACUCUAAGUGGCUUUUAAUUGCAAGAAUUAUUUAGAUAUGCAUUAAUCAAUUUAACUUUAGUUUAUGAAAAACCGAUAUAUAACCUAAUUGGCUUUUAUUUAGAAGAGGGUAUGAAGUAAGCAUUAACCAAAUUGAUGUUUAUUAUCAAAAGCGGUGUAUAACUCUAAGUAGAUUUUAUUUAGAGAAGACGCAUGUUUAUGUGGCAUUAAUCAAAUUAAUAUCAAAUUUAUUUUUUUAAAGACAUGCAUGAUCGCAAACAUCACUACUAACACGUCAUUUAUGUUAUUAUGAAUCUAACGCAACUUGAACGAGGUUAAACGGAUCUAAAACGUGAAGUAUAGGAGCUAAACAAGGUUGCAAGGGUCUAAAUGUAAUUAACCGUAGACUUGGAGGGUUAGUUGAGAAGAUUACCGAGACACAGGGAACAGGACUCAUGAAAAGCUGAAAACACUAGGUUAGAUCUGCAAAAGGUCAAGGUUUGGAUUAGAUUGAAAGGAUCUCAAAGUUACAGGGGAUUUUCUACAAGGUUUGCAAGACACAAGUAAUAGGAACAGAAAUUAACAGAUUCUCCAGGGGCUAGAUCGAAAAGCAGCGCUUCAUCUUCUUCCUCACGCCACAAGCAUGGCGCAGCUCCAGGCCGGUGGUUUGCCGGCGUUCCGGCGCGGCGGAGGCCUGGGCGGGUGGUGCAGGUGGCGAUGGCCAGGCUAGGGGCCAAGGGCACGGCUGUACACCUCGGAAGUGUGGUAUGGUGCCUAGCUUGCACCGUAUGGUUGGGUCCAAAGUUCUUUGAACUUUUACGCGACUUGUGGGUAAAGAUGUGCCACCUCUACAGAGUGUAAAACUGAUCGAUCAGCCGUGCUCACGGUCAAGAGCGGCCUGGACCGUCACAUGAUUAAUUAAACUUGAAGAUGGACUUAAAUCAUUAUUCUGGUUAUUUCUAGUGGCCCUGCUGAGUACCAACCAUAAGUGUACUCACCCUUGCUUACUGCUGCUCAGAAGAAGAAGGUACGCAACCCCCAGUCGAUUGCCUGUGAAGUUUGGAGCCUCCAUUUCCAGUAUUUAAGCUGUGUAUCUCUGAUACACUCACCCUCACGCGACCGUCUCUGCAUGACUGUUAGUUUUAGGAGUUUGUUUUAAGUCUUUUUUUUUCUCAUGUUUGGUGUACUAUUUUAUUUAUUGUUUAUUUUGCUUGUGUCAUCGUGUGGACGACAUGUCAUUCAAGGAGAUUUAGCAGCAGCAGCCGUUCGACGAAGAGUUCCCUCAGUUUUUCAAGGAAGGCAAGUGGUCAUCUUCCCCUGCAUAUUCUUUUUUGUCCCAAUAAUAGCAUGCUAAAUCACUUUACUAUUUUCUUGUAUGUGUAUAAUUUGAUGGGAAUACCUAUUAAGGACUUACCUAGUUUUUAAUCCUGAUCCUUGAACAAUGGUUUUAAUCAUGUUGGGUAGAAUUGCUUAGUUGCUUAAUUUUGGGAUGGUAAUAAUUUUGAGAAUAUUAAUCAUGACUUUAUUAAUGCUAUACCUAUGUUAUUACAAGAUCACUUGAUUUAAUCGGAACAUGGAGAACCACCUAGGAAAACAGUGCAACCACAAGUACUAUCAUGACUCUUGUCUUAGCUAAUUAAUUAGAGACUCUAGUCUGGGGUAAUCUUACGGAAGGGCAAGAGGGGUGGCGGAUGAUGGGGUAUAACCCGCUUCUCAAACUGAUCUACUCUAUGGAAGCUUCGCAGUCUUGAGAGGAGCUUAUGCUCUACUACCGAUCCAGAAAUCUUAGCGGGUUACCACUUACUAGGGGAUCUUUGUAAAGGCCUCAUAGCGUCCCUAUGCAAUCACACCUCAGAAGUGUGGUAUUGUGCUUGGCCAGCAUAGCAUGGUUGGGUUUACAGUUCUUUUGAACUUUUAUGCUACUUGUGGGUAAAGAUGUGCAACCGCUGUAGAGUGUAAAACUAAUAUAUCAGCCGUACUCACGGUUAAAAUGCGGCUUGGACCCUCACAUGAUAAUUGAACUUAAAGAUGAGAAUAAAUCAUGGUUCCUUUAUCGUUGGGUUUUUUAAAUGCUUUAUGCUUAAGUGGGUUGGUAUAAACUUACACCUAAAAAUUAGGUUCUUGCUAUGCAUUCAAUUUUGUCCAAAAAUCGGGUGUGACAAAAGUGGUAUCACAGCUGUGUUGACUGUAGGAUAUAAGCCUAGAUAAAAAUGGUCUAAAUAAGGACUCAUUUUCUUAGCAAGCCAUGUCUUCUCAAAAAUAUCUUAUUUUUCACAGAAAAAUCUAUUUUAUUUUUGUUCUUUGCCACAAAAAGUUGUCUCUUGUUGGCUUUGUUUUGAGUAUCUUUUCUUUCUUUGUCAGAUGGCUAAGACCAGGUUGACCGCUCAUAAAAGCACUAGAGGAUACUAGGUUGGCCUUGCCCCUGCUUAGCCAGCUGCUCUGAUUCAGCAUGUAGAGGAGGUUGAAGAAGAUUUGGAGGAGGUCUACAAGCUGCCCCAGCUUCAUACAGUCCUGCAUCAAUUGCCCCUACAUCAGAUGCUCCAGCACUAGCUGAUCUAGCUCCACCACCUGCUACCGAUGGUGGAGACCCGGACGACUCUGGGAAUGACAGCAAUAGUGAGGAUAAAGAAGAUGACGAUGACGACUACAACAAAAACAAUGACCACAAUAGCAACAAAGACCACAACAACAACCAUGAUAACAAUAGUGGUAGAGAUGGAAAUCAGAAUGGUGGACCGCAGAAUGUGACACCAGCUUGUGACUACCACACUUUGGAGGAUGAGUCUGGAUACUUUCCCACACUGCUCUGGGAAGUACUAUAGAGUUUGGGAAGCACCAUGAAGCCCCUCUACGACACUCAUCGUGUCUCCCACUCCACCAUGGAUGACUACUACGCCAGUCAGGUCCACAUAAGGGAACGGUUGGCGACUUCCAGAGUAUUGAGGACUUGCUCAGCACACGACUCCACUACGGCCCACGCCACCUAUGCCUCAGCCAUCAGCGACGCCGCCAGGAGAGCUCUGUCUUCCCUCUGCUUCACCCAUCUCCAGGAGUUGAGCAACACCAUCUACCGUAACCUGCCUCGCCGAGCUAGUGGCACUGAGGACACAGCUGUACAGUUGGGAGAAGCAGGAGAAGACUGCAUCAACAUCCUUGCUCGAGUCACCACUGCUCUCAACACCAACCUCGACGGAGCUAUUGCAGAGCUUGCCAAGACCAAUGAUAAGCUGCAAGAUGCUCACGCCAGGAUUGUGUAGCUUGAGGCACAGCUUGCCGAACAAGAGCCACCUGAGGAGGCAGCCGAGUUCCACUACCCCACCAUUUCACCACCCCGCAAGAGGCUUCGCUAUGGCGCGUCUGGCUCCAUCACCGGUCUUUUAGACUAGGUUGUGCUUUUAGGUUGCCUUCCAAAGUCUUUCUGUUAGAGCUGUUACUGUGAGGACGUGCGAUGUAAUAACGUUUGCUGGUUGAAAACAUGUUUGAUUUGGACCUUUGUAUUUUCUAGGAUAUUUUGUGAAGUGAUGGCCACAAAUGCAUCAUUACAGAAAAUAAAGUUUAUUAGUUUAUUGGGUCUAAAUCUUGGUUCUUUGCCCCUAUAUCUACCUUAUCAAAUCAUGACUCUUAUCCGAGAUUUAUUUGUCUAAUACUCAGAUGGUAAACACCAGGUCAGGAGGAGGACAAGACAUUCCAAGUGAGAGGCAUGCUCACAUAAUUAAUCAGCAGAAUCAAGCACCACCUCCACCACCAAGUUCGACAAUGGAACAAUUUUUGGCUGCUUAGAUGCAACUACUGCAGAACCUCACUACUACUAUUUAGAAUCUACAAGCUUAGCAGAAUCAACAACCACCACAAGCACCUCAGGCACCGAGAGAUAAGCAUAGGGAAUUCAUGAGCCACCACCCUCCUCCUUACUCUCACUCAGUGGAUUCAUUGGAUGCUGAUGACUAGAUGAAGGUCAUUAGUAAGAAGCUAGAUAUUACACAGUGCAACGAUCAUGAGAAGGUUUUGUAUGCUGCAGGAUGCUUGGAAGGAGUUGAAGCCAACUAGUGGGAUGCCUAUACUACUGCCCACGCCAAUGUUAAUGCUAUUACUUGGGAAGAGUUCACGAACAACUUUCGCACACACCCCAUUCUAGCUGGUGUGAUGAACCUCAAGUAGAAGGAGUUUCGAUCAGCGAGUAUUGGGACAAGUUCACAUAGCUGUCUUGUUACACGCCAAAUGAGGUGGACACCAAUGAGAAGAGACAUGAAAGUUUCCUGGAUGGACUGAUAGGGCCACUUAACUAUCAACUGCAGAGUCACACGUUCCCUAAUUUUUAGACACUACUAGACAAAGCCAUUGGUUUAGAGAACAAACAUAAGGAGCUCGGGGAACAAAAGCGGAAGUUUCAGUCGCAAGGUCAAUCUAGCAGGAACACCCACCCUUGCUUCAACUUAUCGCAGGGAUCACAAUUUCAUUCAGGAGGACAAGGUUGAAGCUAUCAACAGAAUCAGCAAUUCCAAAGUACCACUCAACAACCAUAGCGAUUCAAUCAACAAGCAUAGUACACCUCAAACCCACAGCAAAACCGAGCAAACAAUACCACAGGAGCACCCGUGUGUAACAAUCCAAUUACCCUGGUUCGACCCAAUGGAUGCUUCAAGUGUGAUGAAGUGGGACAUUAUGCCAAUAACUGCCCCAAGCAUGGAAUGCAGACCCCUCAGAAGACCAAUGGUUAGAAGUCUGGUCAGCAACAGUUGCAAGCGCGUAAUGGAAAUCCAAACUCUCAGGGCAACAAGGGCUAGCAGAACUUCAUGCAUGGUAGGGCGAACCACGUGAGAAUUGAGACAACUGAAGAAGCUCCAGAUGUUGUUUUUAGUAUGUUCCUCAUGAAUUCCGAACCUGCGUCAGUUUUAUUUAAUUCUGGAGCAUCACACUCAUUUAUAACCAAUCAAUUUGUGGCAAAACAUAACAUACCUAUGCAACCUAUGAAGAAAACUUUGCUAGUUAGCUCACUAGGUGGUGAUAUAAGAACAAGUCAAAUAUGCUCGCAAGUCAAUAUGAAAAUCAUGUGGGUAGAUUUCAUAGCCCACCUAGUGGUCCUAAACUCCAAAGGUAUUAAUGUGAUUCUUGGAAUGAACCGGUUAGGAGUAUAUGAUGGAAUUAUCCUAUAUGCCAAGAAGUCAGUGCUUUUAACUACCCCUCAGGGGACAAAAUUGAGUUUGUGGCUACUACCUCAUCUGAAGAAAAGGGUAUAGUCAAUCAAAUAAAAGGAAAAUCUUUGGAGGUGUUGACGCAAAAUCCUGAAGGUGGUGGACCCUGCAUCACCACAUGAGGACCUGGGAGAUCUGCUUAACUCCAGUGCAGAAUCCAAAUCGGCGCGCAUGGUGUGCGCGGGCAUGCCAUUCAGUUUGACCAUUCAACUGACAAGGUGGAGAUAAUUCUCUCGAAGUUCGAUGGAGUCGGCCGAUCGGGCCGAUUUAAUAUAAUUUACAAUAACCAUUAGCCAUACGGACGAUAGGAAACACAAUGCUGUUGAGUUGUUGCUCCACCAUAGCUAGAGCCACAAGCCGAUGAGAUCAAAACUAACAUCACCACCAAUAUUUUUAGGUGAAACCAUAGCGAUGCGCCCGGUAGUUGCAGUCUAGAAAUAUUUAGCAAGACGUUAAUCUGAACCCCGCCAGCUGAUGAAUCCAAUCACAAUGGAACUUACUCCCAACAGCACUCGAAGGGGUAACCAAGAUUAAGAUGCAACAGGCUAUUAAAUGAUCUAUCGUCUAUGAUGAACCGAUCUAAAGCUAAUUAAAGCAAACUGAACAGCAAGACGAAAGAAUAGAUAAAUAUCAGCCGAUGCAAGCUUAAUCAAGGCGUGAUAACUGGUGAAUACCGUAGAUCGAGACAGAAGCGAUGCGCCGUAAGUUAAAGAUCCAAGAUACUUGAUAAUUGGUAAAUGAAACUAGACAAAACCACAGCGAUGCGCCCGGUGGUUAAAGCCUAGAACACCUGGUGAUGGAACUUGCAGCUCGCCGGAGAUCGAGGUCGAUGCAGCCCAGCUUGCUAGAAGGAACUCGUCGAGAAUCUACAUUACUCCUACUCCUAGGGCAAUGGCGUGAAGCUGAAAGGUAAAGGUAAAUAUGUUGUAUUAUUGAUCGUGUGAUGAUUCCUUACAAUGGCCACGUCCCUUUAUAUUUAUAGGGCGGACGUUACAUAAUUGGCAUCUAACCACGCACAAGGCAAGUCACGUACACAAUCUUUUCUAAUAAAAAACUCUAUCUCUAACUAACCCAACUCUAUCUCUAAAAUAUUUAAUUCUAUGAAACAACCUCCCGUACAUGCACAGAUCGGCCGCAUGUAUAAUUAUUCUGGAAGCCUCACACGCAUGGCAUGCAAAGUGCACCAGAAUCCAUGUUGUAUAUUCUAAUCAUUUUUAUCCAUACGUGCUGGCCUUUCCUUUAUAUCAUCCUUGCCUCUCCUUGCCGAUCAAUCCAAUGAAGCCGAUUUGGACUCCGUGCCCAUAUACACGCAUGCUACCUUUUUAUUGUUGUACGUGACUCCAAUUAUCUUGUACUCCGAAUUUAUAGGAUUGGUCAAAAUCCGGUGUCAACAGGAGGAUAUCAAGGUUGUAUGCGAAUACCCCAAAAUGUUUCCCAAGGAUUUACCAGGUACGUCGCUUGACUGAGAUAUUGAGUUCUCCAUUGAUCUUUUACCUGGCACUUCACCAAUAUCUGAAAGACCUUAAACAAUACAUGUUAAGGAUUUGGUUGAGUUAAAGAAACAAAUAGAAGAAUUAUUAAGUAAAGGUUUUAUCUGUCCUAAUUCUUCACCUUGGGGAGCACCUGUAUUUUUUGUUGAUAAAAAGGAUGGCACCAUAAGAAUGUGUGUGGAUUAUAGAGCUCUUAAUGAUGUGACCAUUAAGAAUAAAUAUCCACUCCCUAGGAUUGAAGAUCUGUUUGAUCAGAUGAGAGGUGCAAAAGUCUUUUCCAAAAUCGAUCUAUAAUCAGACUAUCACUAGUUCAAGAUCCCAGCAGAAGAUAUACCUAAAAUGGCGUUUACAUCCAGAUACAACCUAUAUGAGUACACUAUGAUGUCUUUUGGAUUGACCAACGCUCUAGCAUAUUUCAUGUACUUGAUGAACAAGGUGUUUAUGGACUACCUAGAUAAGUUUGUGGUAGUGUUCAUCAAUGAUAUAUUGGUAUUUUCUUGAAAUGAAGAAGAGCAUGAGGAGAACUUAAGAUUAGUGUUACAGAAGCUUCAGGAGAAUCAAUUAUAUGCCAAAUUGAGUAAGUGUGAGUUCUGGUUGAAAGAAGUUUCCUUCCUUGGACAUGUUAUCACCGAUGGAGGAAUCACAGUAGACUCAAGCAAAGUUCAAGAUGUGCUGAAUUGGAAUCCUUCCAAGAAUGUGUCUGAAAUCAGAAGUUUUCUUGGAUUAGUAGGUUAUUACUGCAUGUUUAUUGAAGGUUUCUUGAAGAUCGUCAAACCCCUCACUUCAUUGUUAGAAAAGGGAAAAGAGUUUAAAUGGGAUGACAAGAAGUGAGUUUUGAAGAGCUGAAGAAGAAGUUGACUACAAACCCUAUACUGAUAAUGUCUGAUAUACACAAAGGCUUUGAUGUUUAUUGUGGUGCUUCACGUCUAGGUAUUGGAUGUGUACUAAUGCAAGAAGGUAGAGUAGUAGGUUAUGCCUCAAGACAGUUGAGAAACCACGAGAAAAAUUAUCCAAGUAAUGACUUGGAACUAGCUGUCGUUGUGCAUGGAUUUGGAGAUAUUACAUGAUCGGGAACAAGUGUCAGAUCUUCACUGACCACAAAAGCCUAAAGUACAUAUUCACUUAGAGGGGUCUUAAUUUAAGGCAACACAGAUGGUUAGAGUUGAUAAAGGACUAUGACUUGGAUAUUCAGUAUCAUCCCGGCAAAGCAAAUGUCAUAGCGUACGCCCUAAGUUGAAAAGGUCAAGCUAAUGUGACUAUAGUACUGUUGAUAUCUCAAGAGUUAUGUUGGGAAAUAGAGCGACUCAAUUUGGGAAUCAUUGCCCAUACUGAAUCCAUGACCAUGGAAAUUGAACCUACACUGGAACGAGAGAUAAGAAAAGGGCAAUUGACGAAUGCUAAAAUCUAGGUAACCAAGAUCCAAAUUGGUUUAGGAAAGCCCCCCAACUUCACUAAAGAUGAUCAAGGAAUGGUUUGGUUCAGGAAAAGGAUCUAUGUACCAGAGAUCGACCAUCUUCGUGAAUGCAUAUUGAAGGAAGCACACGAUUCGGCUUAUUCUAUUCACCCUUGUAGUACUAGAUGUAUCAAGAGACGUAGCAACCCACGUUGCUUUGUGUGAUGUAUGUUAGCAAGUGAAAGCAGAGCACCAAAGACCAGCAGGUUUACUUCAGCCAUUGAAAGUACCUGAGUGGAAAUGGGAAGAGAUCGGAAUGGAUUUUAUUGUUGGGUUACCCCACACUCGGGAUGGCUAUGAUUCCAUAUGGGUUGUUGUGGACAGAUUAACUAAGGUUGCUCAUUUCAUUCCAGUUAAAAUAACCUAUAGUGGACCAAAUUUGCAGAGUUGUAUAUGUCAAUGAUUGUAUGUUUACAUGGUGUUCCUGUUGCGUUCCAAUCUCUUGCGAGGUUAAGAAACAACACAAUAGGUAGUAAAUGAACUGCUCUCUAUUAAAUGAAGUGUCUGAAUCUCGUUACAUGAGGGGACGACCCCCUUUUAUACUGUCCAGAGGAUACCUACAAUUUACAAUUUUACCCUCUCUCACCCACUACAUCCUCAGUAUAUUCUGUACACAUUUGUCAUCUCAUGAAGUCACGUGUUUUGUCCUCCCAACAAUCCCAUAAAUCACACUCUCACAGGGUAUCGUAAUUGGUGUUGUCCUGUCGGUCAAGUCGCCUUCCCCCUUAGCUUCGCGUCUAUGCCCUAAUUCGUUCGCCACUCCUUAAUGAUGCUCCCAUAGCAAGUUGGCUUCAGUCUCUCGUGUUAUACUGACUUCGGGCCCACAAGUCCCCUGGCGAGGUUGAUGCUGCUCCUGCGGGCACCGAAGACAACGGACGGGCAAUGAGUCAGAAAAACAAAGGUUAGCUCAUAUUACCUUCACCUUUGAUUUUGGUUUGUCCCGAAGCUGGGUAAUCACGGCCCCGACCGAAGCUGAGCCCUUGGCGUGAAGUUGCAAAGUCCGCUGAGCCCUGGUGCAUAGAAAAUAGAGGUUAACCCACCUUGCCUUCGCCCCCGAUUUCGGUUUGUCCCGAAGCUGUAAAGUUCACCGAAUCUUGUCGCAUCUUUCGGGAGAGAGAUGACCUUGAGGGGGGCUGUUUUGGGCGAUUCCCCAACAGUUCCAAAGAAGAUAGUAUCUGAUCGAGGUACUCAAUUCAUGUCACGUUUCUAGUAGAAGCUACAUGAAUCAAUGGAUAGAAAGCUUAAUUUCAGUUUGGUGUAUCAUUCACAAAUGGAUGGUUAGACUAAAAGAAUCAAUCAAAUAUUAGAAGAUAUGUUAAGAGAUUAUGCUUUAAAGCAUAGAGGUAGUUGGGAUAAAAGUUUACCAUACGUAGAAUUAUCUUAUAACAACAAUUAUCAAGCCAGUCUUAAGAUGGCCCCGUUUGAAGUGUUAUACGGAAGAAAGUGCAGAACACCAUUGUUCUGGAGUCAGACUAGAGAAAGCCAAGUCUUUGUACCGGAAAUUCUUAAAGAAGCUGAAAGACAAGUUCAAAUAAUUUGAUAUAAUCUCAAGACUGCAUAGUCACAACAGAAGAGUUAUGCUGAUACUCGGAGGAGAGAAUUGACAUGUGAUGUUGGAGAUUACAUGUAUCUCAAGGUAUCACCUAUUAGUGGUCUUCGUCGAUUCAAGGUUAAAGGGAAGCUAUCACCUUGUUACAUUGGUCCUUUUCAAAUUUUGGAAAGAAAAGGAGAAGUGGCAUAUCAGUUAGACUUACCUGCUCAGCUAUCAGAUGUUCAUGACAUGUUCCACGUAUCUCAGUUGAAGAAGUAUCUAAGAGUACCUGAAGAACAAUUACCAUUGAAAGAACUCAAUGUGAAGGAUGAUUUGACUUAUUUAGAGUACCUUGCCAAAAUACCAGAAAUAUCUCAGAGGGUCACUCAGAGCAAGGUAACCAGAAUGUGCAAAGUAUAGUGGAGUCAUCAGUCAGAAGAUGAAGCUACUUGGGAAAGAGAAGAUGAGCUUAUCGAAUAAUUCCCUCAGUUGUUUUCCAAUCUCUCUGAAUCUCGAGGACGAGAUUUUCUUUAAGGGGGUAGGAUUUGUAACACCCAAAAGUUUCAUCAUAAACACAAUGUAAGAAACAUGUGGUCUAACUCUUUCUUUUCUAAGGACUAAAUAAAAUACUAUUAUUAUAUUAUAGCCUUUAAUAAAUUAAAGAACAAUUGAAAUAAUUGUUUAGAGACAAGUGCUUGUUAGGGUUGUUUGUUUGCUUCGGUUUUUGUUUGCAUUUGUAAAAUUUUAAAUCAAAAAUCUUAUCAAUCUUAUUUAUCUCUUUUUGUCCAACUCAGCAGGCCAGCCCACCUUUCCUCUUUCUUUCCCUCCCGGCCCGCUCUCUCUUUCCUUCUCCAGCCAGCCCACCUCCUCAUUUCUUUGCACCGACCCAAGCUGAUCCACCGGCCCCUCAAGCAUCUCCCCAGCCCAACUCCCCCUCUCUUCCCACCGACAGGCAGGGCCCGCCUAUCAGGCGCGUCCUCAACCUCCAGUUGUACCGCAACUCCAAUGCCUGCUCACCUCCUGUCGCCGCUCGAGCUCCUAUGCCCCUCCGCGUGCUUGCACCACGUCCAUCCUUCCUCGCAUUGAGCCCCUUCUUCUCUCCUUCUCUCUGUGCAGGUGCAGGAGGGCGAUCCCCAUCUAGACUGGCCAUGUGGAAGUAGGACCACCACCAUGUGUAGUUGGUCCCCCGUGUAUGCAUCAAUGCUGCACCUAUUGACUGUGACCUGGCACCCCGACAGUGAGCCAUGUGAUUUUCGCAUCUCAAAGGCAUGGUUUAUCCUCCCUCUUCCUGCUGCUGCUCAUCCUCCCUUGACCCUUCACCAAACUACUUGUUGCAAUCGGAAGAAAGAUCAAUCGAGUUGAAGAGAUGGAAGCUAGUCACCAUUGAGUGAUGUUAUGAUCCGUCCCUCUAUCAUAACCGUUGGAACCCAGCUGGUGCGAAAGCUAAUUACCUGAAGCAAUUGGUAGAAACGGAUAGUACUGGUUCGUUCACUUAUUUCUUUGCUCAAACUUAAUUUCUGCUUAAUGUUUGUGCCUUGUGGUGAGACUAUAUUAGCUGCUUAUUCUGCUGGUUGCAUGCAGAAUAGUUAAAUCAAGGCACAUGUCUUCAAUUUCUGAGCUAGUGCUGCGUGUCCGUGACGCAGAAGCACUGCCUCAGAUAGAUUAUCUUUGGGUGGCGCAGAAACUGGAACUAUCUUUGGGUGGCGCAGAAGCCGCACCUCUGUCACAACUGAGCAUAUCUGGCUGCAACUUUUUCUUCGUAUCAAGCCAGUCACAGCUAACACCUGGGGUCUGGAAAUGGUUUGAACAUCUUGCAAAUUUCAUAAUUGAAAAAUGUGAUGUGCUCAUCUACUGGCCAGAAGAAGUGUUCCAAAGCUUGGUAUCUUUGAAGAACUUAUGGAUUCUGUCCUGCAACAAGCUAAUAGGGCCCACAAAAGCGAAAGGUGGCGAACCUACACAAACAACAGAUCAAAUCUACACAAACAACAGAUCUAAAAAUAAGAGGAUGUGAUAGCCUGGUAACACUUCCAAAUCUACCACCGUCCCUCAAACAUUUUUUUAACUGCUGUGAGAAGCUGUGAGAAUCAUCAGCAGCUGUGAGAAGCUCUGCUCUGUGUCAGGAGACCUGUGUGCACUCGAGGAACUACAUAUUUUUAACUGCAAUAAGUUACAGUCAGUCAAUUCAUUGGGAGACCACCCAUCAUUAGAAACACUGUUUCUUUCUGGCUGCCGAUGCCUUGCAUCUUUAGGAUGUGAUGGUGGUCGUGGGAGUUACUCUGCUCUUCAGAGCCGUAAGAUCGAAUACUGCCCAGCCAUAGACAUGAAGCAGUUUUACUAACGCCAUCAAACAGCUGCUUGACAGCUUUGUAUAGGAAGACGUAUCACACGUUCAUUCAAGCAGCUCUGAUGAAGGUACGACCUUUCACUUUCCUCUUAUUCAAUUUGUUUCCUUCAGAUUUCCCUGCUUUGCAUGCCCUCCUAUUUUGUUGAUGAACUGGUUAAUAGAUGGGUUUGUGGGGUGGGAUUUUGGGGUUUCAUCUUCAUUCCGCGGUCCUUUCUCACUGAUGUAACCCCACAUAUUGUUGGUUUAUACGGCUGUUGGUUUUCAGUCUUGGAUGCAGUUGACGUGCAUAGAGAAAUUCUAGAAAUAUGUGAUAUCCCUUGGUGUUGAGAUCAGCUGAUGCGGAAUCACUGAAACGAGAUCCUGAUCGGUCUCAGUUUUGGAGAGCAAUUUCUGGUGAAUGGAAGCAGUCCCAAGGCUUGAAGAACUCAUGGAGUCGUACCGUACCAUUCUCCGCUGCCAGGGCCUAAACUAGGUACGUGGAAGGCGCACUGUGUUUUGUCAACAACACAAUUCCUUUAUAUAAGUUGGGAUAGUAAAAAACCAUGCCUUCGUCUGUGUUAAUCAAAUCUCAUUUAGCACAUAUAUGGUGGACGUGUUGUUAACUUGUUACCCCCAUGCUUUUCAUUUUUUCGGUGCAGACAUCAACCAUUUGUUCUUAAAUUAAAGCAUAAAGGAGGGCACUCACUUGUACACAUAUUCUUAAGUACUGGAACGACUGCCAUCUGUAUACUCAGCUUCAUUGCAAGUCUCUGCUAACGAUGACAGGCCUGCAGUGGAUGACAAAAACGACUAAGUUUGUUUUCACGGCACUACUAGCUGCUGGUAAUUCUCUCGUCACUAAUGCACACUACUCCCUUCUGUCAUCCAUCAAAGCUGUGGACAAUAUGAUGUCACUCUUAUUUUUUUUAAAAUGAAACCGGCAGGAGAGCUGCCCCACUAUAUUAAAAAGAAGGGACGCUCGAAGGGCCAGAGAAGUGUACACCCUUGACAAGGAAGAAAAAACUACACACACUGAAAAGAGAAACGGUGCACAAAAACACCCUCAAGAAAGCUGCAAUAAACAUGCCAGGGGUGCUUAGCCCCGACCGCCACCCAAGAAGUGGCCUCCCCUUUUAUUUUUGAGAAAACUUGCUAUGAAGAGGACUCUUUGUGAUUGAAAAUUCUUGCAUUCCUUUCAAUCCAAAGUUCCAACAGACCAAAAUGAUUAGGCUCCAUUCGUUCAAAAAAAAAUUUAUUCGUUCAAAAAAAAAUGAUUAGGCUCCUUAGCCCACUCCUAUCGACGCUUGGUGUCCUUGCCUGCGCUGUCCACCACGCGUGCACCAAAGUGCACGGCUCCCAGUUACUAGCAUUAAGACCUUCAUCUACCCAUGCAGCGAUCGCAUCCCAAAUGCGCCUGGUAAACCGGCAGUCUGUUAGGAGAUGCAUUCCAGACUCUUGAACCGUGCGACACAACGCGCAUGUGUCAUUGUGAGGGUAAUUUCAUUUUGCUAACCUAUCUGACGACGUCCAUAUCCUAUUUGGAUUGCCAACCAACUGAAGAAUUUGCACUUCGGGAGCACCACGGCUUCCACAUGAUCGCUUUAAAGUUUGUGAAGGUGGAGCCGAUAAAUUGUGCUUGGUAGGCCGAACUCACAGUGUAUUUAUUAUUCUCUGUCAUUUUCCAUACAAUGUUGUUUAGGUUGUCUGGUAUGAGUUGAACCUGGGCUACUGCUGUCCACAAAUUGCAAAACUCCAUAAAAUACCCCAAUGCUAAAUUUACACUCGACCGGACGUUCCCAUCCUCGUGGUCGACGCGCACCGGUCCUCUCAUCAGUCCAUCAUGUGGGCCCCACUCCACUUUCUUUUCCCCUCGCACGCGCUCUCUCUCCCCUCUCCAUUCCCCUUCUCAUCCUUCUCUUUCUCGAUUUCUUCAUGAGAUCCACCGGAGCGACUCUGCAUGUGGAGCUGUUCCACCCAACGUUGAGCACAGUAGCAACAGGCCUGGUGGCGGGCAGGGGAAGCAGCGAGGCUCCGCCCUGCAGCACACAGUAGCGCUCGAGAUCAUCCCGCGAGGAGCGGGGGAAGGAGCACUAGGACCAUCGAGGGCACCGCCGUGGUCUUGACGAUGAGUGGCUGAUGGAUCUUGGCGAGCUCCGCCGUGGCCGCGGUCGACAGCGAUCUAUUCAUUUUUUUCCUUCCUUUUUUCUCUUCUACCUUUUGUCUCAAAAUCUUUUGUCUGUAUAAAGUUUUUGCUUCCAUUUUUUUUUAUUUCUUUGCAUCGUGAAUUUUUUCUCCAUUUUUUUGCUUCAAAACUUUGUCAAAAAAAUUUCUUUUUCAAUACUUUUUCCAAAAUUUUGUCUCAAUUUUUAUUUUCUGAGUUUUGUUUUCACAAUUUUGUCUUUUAAAAUUUUUUGUCCAAAUUUUGUUUCAAAAUUUUUGUUCGCAAACUUUGGUUUCCAAGUUUUCUAAAAAAAGUUAUCCCCAAACUUUUGUUUUCGAACUUUUUUAUAAAAAAUUCUCAUUUUUUGUUUAAUGAAACAGGAAUCACACGUGGGAAGCCGUUCUGACGUGUGGUUGGAAAUCGACCGCACAGAAGGCUCCCACUGGUCACAUGUAAACUUGCGUCCCCCAUAAAAUAAAUCUGUGUGAGGCUCGAGGUUGAAGGCCUAAUAAGGGCAGCCACAAGACUAUGCUUGAUAGUAGAGAGAAGUUUUGGUUGCCAUUAUAGCCGUCGAUGCUGAGUUAGAGCCCCAAUGCUUGGUUAGUAAAAUAUUGUUCCAUAGCAGGGAACAGGCGUUGCUGGGCAAAGAGAAGUGCAGGAGAACCAAAAGGAAACAGGUACAACUAGCUAAAGAAGCCAGCAGCAGUAGCGGAGGGAGGAGGGGGGGGCACGGGGGCCUGGCACCCCCCACCCUCUGCGGCAUCCGCCCCUGCCCCUGGUGGCCUGGGCCUCUCCUGGCAGGCAGGCACCCCCUGAUGGCCUGUGUGCCUAUCGGCCUGUCACCAGUCACCCCUGGCGAGCGGCCUGCCCGGCUGGCCUAAUAAAAAAUUAGAAGCACCUCCCAGGAGUCCUGGCCCUGGAAUAGUCCGCCCCUGGUAGCAGAUUAGCAAAUAGGCACAUCAGGUCAAAUCAUAUUCCGCUCCUGGUAGCAGUUUUUUGUUCCUAGCUCGCGCCGCUAGUCGAAUCGUAUUCUGCCACCACCAGUCAAAAAAGCAAAUAGGCACAUCAGGUCAUCCGUCAUCAGGACAUGAGCACGAAGCACCAGAGUACGAGGACAAGGAUGAAUGGAUCACUGACAUGACUCGCUGUUGUUUUCUUCGCCAGGCGUCAGAUUGUUGCUGUCCGCAGGUAAUCCAUAAUCAUAAAUCAUCCAAUGAUAUUCUCUUAUCUAAUUAACAGUCACUAGUAAUUCUAAAUUUCCCCCUCUAAUUUAAGUAUUGAUGAUAUUAUUACAGCGUACGAUCUUGCUGCUAGUCGAAGAGCUAAAUUUAAGUUGAUAGAUAUGUAAUUUUAUUUUAGUUAAGACUUGUGAACUAUGCUAUUAUUAUAUCAUUAUAUGCGACUAAAAUCAGCUCACGUGGCUAUCAGUUCUACGUUGCUUUGUCCAUUGCUCCCCUUACCUCAAAUCCUAGCUCUGCCCCUAGCCAGCAGAGAGUAUUUAUGUAAGGUUUCUUAAUUUAUGGGAACCAAAGCACACUCAAACCAUAUUCCAGAAUCUUAUUACAUGCAGAACCUGAAGUAAGGGAGAUUGAAACAUAUGGCACGCAUGCAUGCCUUUAAUUACACUAAUACCAGAAAUUAAAAUACACUGCUGCCACAAGUAGUAUAUAUAUUAAGGUAGCUGGUGUCACGCCAACAUCUGACGCAUGGUAAUGACGGGGAGGACCUGGACGUAGUACUCGAUCCUGUAGGCAACCUUGAGUAUGAGAUCGGGUUGCUGCCAAUUGUAGCCGCCGUCGACGCCGCAGAGGAAGGUCUGCGCGAUCCUGGUAUUGUUCUUGUGCUGCUGGUUGUGCAACACGAUCUUGUACGCAUCUCGGAGAUGUUCUUUCAGACUGCUCACCAUCGACCUGGUGUUCUGGUCCCGCGACAGCUUCCAGGACUGGGGCUGCUGCAUCAGGUCGGCUAUCUGCUGUACGAAUUGUACCAGCUGCUGGAUCUCCCCCCUGUUCUGCCUCAGCGCCUUCGCCUCCUGCACGAUAGAAAGUGCGAGGCGCACGACCUCGUCAUGGUCGCCGGUUCGAGCCCCCUGCUGGUCUCCGCGUCCUCCUGGACCUACCGACAACGCGCUGCUCCUCACUGCAUUCACGUCCCUGCGCAUGCAUGCCGAUCAUCUCUGGUUAAAUUUUUCGUUAUUUACGUACUCCAUAUAGGAAGUACUAUAUGAAUGUUUUAUAUAUCAGCACACGAUGAAUACCCGUCCGUGAUGUCCCUGAUUAUCAACUCCAUCACACUUUUAGCGUCGGAUGACAUAUUGUCCAUGUUAGUCAAGUUCCUGAUAUGAUAGAUGACUUCAGCUCCUCUUUUUCGCUCUGAGAGUGGUCAGAGUACAAAAAAUCCAAAGCUUCCAUGCAUGUUAAAUAUUCAAUAAGACAUGCAUAUAGUAUGAAUAUAGUCAUAAUGAUCAUGUCAUGCAUGAGCUUGGUCAAAAACUAUUAAUAUAUCGCAAAAUCAGGCAACAAUGUUAAUCUACCGCUCCCUCCAUUCUCUUUAGAUAUUAAUCCUUUUCGAACACUAGUACAGUCUAGUAUUGUGCACCCUAAAAGAGUCCAACGUGAUGUAACAUGGUGCUGUCUAUAAGUCAUAGUUUAUGUUUUGAACUUUACUACCUUUUGUUUUUUUAGAUAAUGGAUAAAUAUCCGGCUUCACCCUCCUCUUUCGACGAGGCGGAUCAGUCCACAAUUAUUACAAAACGUAGCUUGUUGCUACAUCCACACUAUGGUUUCGACCAAUCAAACCGACUCAAAGAAAUGAAUUCUGGAAUCAAAAGGUAGCUUGUCACUACCUUUUAUUUAUGUUGCAUUGUUCAUUGCCACAAAUUAUUUGCAAAUAUGAAUCUUAUAAUGCUAAACUUUUAUGGUACAAUCUACGUACAGUUUCUUUCUCAAGUUUUGUAGUUGUUUGCCGUUGAGUAAUAUGUAAUUCCGAUGGAUUCAAGAGUCUAGCUAGCUAGAUUUUGGUACCUGUGGAAGGCGCUUGCAAGCACCAUUUCGAAGCAGCUUCUCAAGCACGUUCAUGAAGAAGCGCUCCUUAUUGAUGCUUACAAUGAGGAUCAUGUUGGCAAUGUGGAACGACUCCAGGAUUUUGGAUAUCCGUGCAUCAACGGCGACGAUCUUGUUGGCUUUCUUUUUGGUUUUGAAGACAAGCGACCAAGUCCUCUUCUCCCUGCAGGACUCAACGAGCGCCUUCCCGUCGUUGAGCGCAUCUUCAAGAUGUUUCAGCGUGCUGUAGGUCACUGGGUCCGGCAUCCACUGGCUUUUCAGCUCCGUCAGGAGGAGGUUAAUCAUUUGCACGUGGUCUUUUAGCAGAGUACAUUUCUCCCUGUUGCGCUGAGCCGCCUCCGCCAGCCGAUUGAUCUGUUCCACGAUGCUCAUCAACGACGAAAUAAGCCCAAUUGCUUCGGCCACCCCAACCAUCUCGAUCGAUUGCGCUGCGCCUGUAUGCUUGCAACGUCAGAUUUGCACGUAUAUGAGUAUACAUGUCUACCCUCCGCCAUCCAAAAACAAUUGGAUGCCGACAAGUGGUAUUGACAAGUCUAUGUACAACACGUGAUGUCAUGUUAAAUUUUAGGUAAUUUUAGCUUUUCUAGAUUCAUAGAUAGUAUUAUGUAUCUAGACAUCCGCUAUGUCUAGGUGCGUAACAAAAACUAUGCAUCUAGAAAAUUCAAAAUGACCUACAAUUUGGGACGAAGGGAGUACACCCUAAUAAAAAGAUUAAUGGUGGAGCCCGAAGCCCAAUUUAUCGUAUAAAAAUAAUACUUGUAAAUAUAUAAAUUUAUUAUAAAAUAUAAAAACUCGAUUGACUAUCUUCUUAAUUAAUGGAGAAAUAUAGGCUGUGAAUUUUCAAAAGGAAAAGGAAAAAGUGUAUUUUUCAUCCUUCAAGUAUUGCAAAAGUGUAACAUUCAUCCUUGAUGUUUCAUUUGGUACAAAUCAAGCCCUGAACUAACUAAAUCGGUUCCAUGUAUCAUCCCCACCUUAGUUUAAUAAUUGUCUAGUGUCAUAUAACAUCGGUUAGACCAUGUAAUCAUCUUCAUAAUUAGUGUUUAGCCAUGUAUAAUAUUUAGUCAAUUGAUUCAAUAGUUUGGUGUGAAUCGGUUCUAUUAAUUUUUCUGAUAAAAUAGUUAUGUGGUAGUCAAUUUAGAGGAUUUAGUUUUCUUUGGGGCUUUAUAUCUUCGACUCAAUAUAUCACAUCACUAAGCAGUGAUUCUGAUGGUACGGAAUAUCCCUAGGAUGUAGUGGUUAGGCAUGGGUAUAACAGGUAUACGGAAAUGUAACUUUACAACACUAUAUAAGGAGGGGAACAGCCCACUAUAAUGGACACUAUUCAUUGAUAAGACAGCGAGUGAUAUCUUGUUUCCUUCGUGUUCGACUGUUACUUCUUCCCAUUUAUUGUGACCUCGCCUGCCCGUGAGGUUAGGUCCUAACACUCCCCUUCACUCCCGUUGUUGGCCGUGCCCGGUGCCAUCUUGAAGCCGAUGCUGCUCAAGCCUAGUGAGCGAGUGAAGGCCGGAGGUGGUUGGCGUGGGCCACGGAGGCCCUCGGGCGGCUACCGGGAGGAAGGCAUGGCGACAGGCCACCUGGGAGUGGCACGGUGGUGCAUAAGUGGCGUCGUACUUAGGAGUGGCAUGGUGGUGUGCGGCGUGGGUGUUGGCAGCAGCACGUCAAGGAUGCAGCUCUGUGUGGCUUGGAGGCAUUGUGGUAGCGCAACCAAGGGUGGUUCGCGCGAGUCUUGCUAGCGACACCAUGGUGGUAAAGCCAUGGAGGUGUGGUUGGGCAGCAACUAGCACGAGACUAUAUAUAUGUUAAUGCAAAUGAAAACUGUAUAAAUGUUCAUGCAAGUGUCAUAUAUGUGUGUGUGUUCAUUCAAAAAGUCGUAAGGCAGCAACUAGCACGAGACUAUAUAUAUGUUCAUGCAAAAGGUCGUAGGGCAGCAACUAGCACGAGACUAUGUAUAUGUUAAUGCAAGUGAAAAUUGUAUAAAUGUUCAUGCAAGUGUCAUAUAUAUAUAUAUAUAUAUAUAUAUAUAUAUAUAUAUAUAUGUGUGUGUGUGUGUGUGUGUGUGUGUGUGUGUGUGUGUUCAUUCAAAAAGUCGUAGGGCAGGCACUAGCACGAUACUAUAUAUAUGUUCAUGCAAGUAGUGUCUCAUUAAUCAUAGCGACGUAACGCCAAAACACAUCAACCAGUUGCAUGCGUAUAUCUAGGCGUUUUUGACCUGGUGUCACUACUACAUACAUAGUUCAGCUAUAACCAACGCUUUUAGAAAGAGUGAUAAUUUCGGCACCGUUACAAAGACCGCAAAAGACCUCUUUCAGAAAGAGCUUAUAAUGUUGCCAUGAUGCACCCACAAACGUCGAUCGCAAAGUCAGGACAGCAAGACAAUUAAGCAAGGAAUCAAAUACUCCUUGGCAUCAUCAACACCCGAAUCACCCUACUAGCUAGCUAGCUACUUGUACAUUCAGAAUUCAGAGCAGCCCUGAACUAUCCUGCUGGGGAAAAGGGGAUAGCCGAGAGACGCUUGCUACCGGCCAGACUCCAAUCUCAGGCCACCGACUGGAUCAAAGCUACCGUACCCUUGAUAAGAAUCCUAAUGAGUUGGAGAGAGAGAGAGAGAGAGACGGAGCCCAAGAACUCACCUUUCUGCAGGGGUCUGUAGCCUCUGGACGCUUCCUCCUCGUCCUAUACUCUUCCGAGCCCAGGCCUCUCCUUCCCCUUUGUUUCUUCCUCGAACCCCUGCAGUUCUUGGAAGUUAUAUUAUGCCGCACUCGCUUCGCAAGAACCCCUGCAGUUGAAUUUUAUGUUAGAAUAUUGUAUGGGCGAAUCAAAGAUGAUAUGACCAGUUCGUUCAAAAAAAAAGAUGAUAUGACCAAGGCAUAUAUAAUAAUCUCUAAUUAAAGGACUCAAGCUGUUUCGCGUACCAUAAUUAUUCUCGGAAUUUAUAUCAAAAGAAACUCUUAAUUUUAAUUCUUCACACAAACUAUUUUAAUAGAAAUAUUCUAGAGAAUACACAAACUAUAGCACAUAUUUACCGUAGCAUCACAUAACCAAGCCAUCACAUAUUUCACUACUUCAGCAGACUGAAUAUAUAUAGAAACUCCAUGUACAAGCAAGAGUGCGUUGCACGUAGGCAAAGGCAGACACUUCUCCAAAUUUUGGUCCCAGCAGAACCAAAAGAUUAAUUAGAGCCACGCGCUUAGGACACAAAAGGUGUCUUUCCCUAUCAACUUGAUCUUUUGUACUACUUAAAUGGUCCAUGACGAUGAAACUCGAUGCUUGAAAUAGGAGAGCCCUCAUGAUUACACACAUGAGUUCUUUCUGUUGGAACAUGAAGAUGUGAGUGUACUGAAUUCGAUCUAAUGAUCUGCAUGAGGUGUUCUGUCAAAGCAUAUAAUCAUUCACCUACAACGCUUCCAAGUUCUGUCUUUCUGAGUAUAUAAAAACCAUGGUAUGUAUGAAUCUAACUCUGUCCAUACGUCUGGUAGUUCAGUCCCUGCUAUUUUUACUAACCUUGUCCUCUAGGUAGAAGUACGGUGGACUUUCAGCGUUGGGUCCUGCAGAGCGAUGGACUUUUCGGUAUGGUGCAGUGUGCUCCUUUCUUGACUUAUGCUAACAGUCUAACACAAAGUUAUGAUUAGGAGAUUGACGACCGUGUGUGUGAUCUGAGGCUGACAACGGCAUGGUGGAGAAGUUCUAGUAGCUACACGGCUUGCAGCGGACUGUGGCGGCCAGUCCUGCAUGGCAGCGACUGGUUUGGCGUGGGGCAUCAUCAGAAACGAUGGCGCUGGCGAUAAGGGCUACUUGCCGGCUUUUUCUGCUAGGUGGUAGUGGUGCAGAGUGGUGGUGGUGCGCAAUGAAGCUUCCAUAUGGCAGUCGUGUGUACAUGUGACUAUGUGAGUCCCCUCCUUUAUGCUUUUCCAGAAAAAAUGAAAAGCAUAAAGAGGGCACUCACAUGCCUCCUUGAUGAAGCUAGCAGCGUUGGGAUGGGUCUCAUGAUUCUUUCGAUUGUUAACAUGGAUCUCAUGGUUCUUUCGAUUGUUGGGAUGGGUGGGAUGGGCAAUGCCACCUUUAAUUUGUGCAACUCAUUUAUAAUGACCUUGCAAUCGUGAAGCAUUUUGAGCUUCAGAGGUGGUGCUCUGUGUCAGAUUAGAAAAAAUCAUUGCAAGGAUGCAUAUUAGUGAUGGAAACUUAUAGAAUGUUUAUCAUUCAACUAACUCAGAUUUUUAUUUGUUCGGUCUGCCUACGCGUCACCUGAGUGAAACAUUAGCCUUCCUCACUCGAACCUCACUCGAACAUCCGAUCCGACACCUUUCCUUCAUCUUCUAUCUUCUAGUGAAGUAUAUAUCUAGGCACGUAGCAAAAAUUAUGUAUCUAGAAAAAAUGACCUACAAUUUGAAACGGAGGGAUUACGUUGGAACAUCAACCAAACAAAUGGACAAACCCUUUAAAUUAUUUGGCCUCCAAGAAUGCCAUACGACCUGAAUGAAUAACUGAAAGCUAACAGUGCUUGUUGUACAUACCAGCUGAGCUGCUUGACUUAGCUAUGUUUAUUCGGUCUGUUCGUGACCCGCGCGUGAUCUAGAGUAUUCGUGUGUUGGCUAGAAAAAGCACCAACACUAUAUUUAUUUGCAAACAGGUUUUAAAUGCAAUACAAUAAUUCAGAAAUCUAGACAUCCUGAGCCAUGCGAGGGAUAAGAAGAAGCUUCUCCUUCCUGUGCACAUCCAACCCAUACGACUCUGCCAUGUCGAUGCCUGCCGACCCCGGCGGAAGCUCCCAGUUGAAGUGGUAGAUGAGGUUAGCAAGGAUGAUCUCGAAGGAGGCGGUGGUGAAGUUCACACCCGGGCACAUCCUUCGCCCGGACCCAAACGGCAGGAAACGGAAGUCGUUCCCCAGGAAGUCGGAGGCAGCAUCCACGGCUUCCUCCAUGAACCGCUCCGGCAUGAACUCCUCUGCACUCUCCCAGGUGGUGGCGUCCCUGCCGAGAGCCCACGCGUUGACGAUCACACGCGUCCCAGAGGGUAUGGUGUAGCCCUCCACGUCGCAUUCGGCCAUGGCCAGGUGGGGUAUCAGAAGAGCCCCCGGCACGUGCAGCCGCAUCGACUCUCUCAUCACGGCCUUGAGGUAGCUCAUGCCGCUGCUCAGGUCGUGUUCGGUGACCAGUUCCUUCUUCUUCCCCUUGGAUGCUGCACACCCCCUCACCUCGGCUUGAAGCUUGGUCAUCGCCUUGGGAUUACGCAUCAGCUCGGCCAUGGCGUAGUCUAGGGCUAUGUAGGUUGUGUCCGUCCCGGCUUCAAACAUGUCCUACAUGAACAUAUCGAUCAGUCAUAUGUACCUCUCGUGAGAAAUAAAGUGGAGCAUAUAUGCCUUGUUUACCGAGAGCAAUUAUUUUGCUGAGUGUUUCUCUGGCGGCACUUGGCAAACGUAUUGUUUACCGAGUGUCCGAUGGAAUGCACUCAGCAAAAACCACCAGACACACGGCAUAUCUACUAUUUGAUAAAUUAAACAUACCAUCAGUAUCGCCUUGACGUUGUCUGUGGUCAGGCCGUACUCUUGUUGAACGGCAAGCAGCACGUCGAUGAAGUCCUCCUCGUCCUCACCAUCGACGACCGUCUUGCUCUUGUGCUUGUCGAUGAGGCUGUCCAAGAGGUCAUCCCAUAUCUUCCUGUGCUUCACGGCCUUGGCCGACACCAUGUCGAACCUCGCCAAGCUCGGGAAGUAGUCGUCCAGGUUGAAUCCCCCCAGGAGCUUGGCGUUCGUCUCCAGCAGCUCCCGGAACAGCUGGUUCCGGCCUUGUUCCCUGGGGAGCCUGCCCGUCACGGCCUGGCACACGAUGUCGUUGGCGAAGAAGCUGAAGAGCUCGCUGACGUCGACCGCCAUGCCCAUGGUGGCGGCGGCCGUCACCUUUGCCAAAACCAGCUGGACCUCGUGCUCGCGGGCGGCGCGGUUGGACCGGACCUUCGCCGCGGUAAGGAGGUGGGUGGUGAUCACCUUCUUGGCCUGGCGCCAGUACUCACCGUAGGGGGCGAAGCCGACGUCGGUGCAGCCGUAGAACAGGACGUCGGCCACCGCGGAGCGCGGCCGGGAGGCGAAGACGUGGUCGUGCGUGCGCAGGACGGCCUUGGCGGCGCCGGGGGAGGAGACGACGAGCGUUGGCACGGCGCCGAGGCGGAGGAGCAGCACGUCGGGGCCAUGCCUCUUUGCGAGGUCGCGGAGGGAGUGGUGGGGAAGGGAUCCGAUGAGGUGGAGGUGGCCGAUGAUCGGGAGCUUGAACGGAGGCGAUGGGAGCUUGCUGAGCAGCUUCUCGGACCUGGACUUUGGCGUAGCCAGGCGAACGGCGACGACGAAGAGGAGGAAGACGAGGGCUAGGGACUGUGGAGAUGCGUGCUCGAAGAGGUGCUCUAGCACUGGAGCCAUGGCGGCUGCUGUGCUCGAUCAACAGCUAGCUUGUGGUACUGUGCCCGUUGCAAUUUCUAUAGCGCUCUGAAGUUGGCAUUCAUUCAUGAUGCAUCGGACGAAGUGAAAGAACAGUAAUUGUGGACUUAUGGUGUGUUUAGUUGACAUAUAUUUAAUUAGUUUCUAAGUACUAAUUGCACAUGGAGUAACACAAGUGAAGCUUUAAAAAAAAAUAGAAUGGAUACGGAGGGAUAAUUCAUCGGUAUCCAUGAAUUGACAAAGCACAUCUCUCAAAGCACAUCUCUCAUCCAUGAAUGGAUAUGGAGUAACAACAUAAAUAAUUCAUGGAUAUAUACGAAGGGAUUCGAUCCAUCGGUAUCCAUGAAUUGACAAAGCACAUCUCUCAAAAACCCACAAGUUCUUGAGUGCAACUGCAUUAUUUAAGAUCCCAUGCAUGUGCUAUUUUCGUUGUCCGUAUCCAUCAGAUGCACACAUCCAAAAGUGCAAACGUUGACAAAAACCCGGCCACAAGUUCUUGAUUUGCAACCCCAUGUGCUAACUGGAAGGCCACUAUUAUUUUUUUUUGUAAUUUCCGCACCAGCCUGUUGAAUGUUUGACAAAACAACGGCACCUGUUUUUGUAAUUUCCGCCACCGUGCCUCCCUCCUCUCCGCCGCGGGUCACCACCGCGCCUCCCUCCUCUCCCACGCAGGUCACCGCCGCGCCUCUCCCGUAGGCCGCUGCUGCACCUCCCUCCUCUCCCCUAUAGGCUCCACCGUAUCCAGUGCCGUGCCUCCCUCCUCGGUUAGUUUUUCUUUUUAUAAUCCGAUAAUCUUAAUUUUGAUGCACUAAAAUGAUUUUUAAAUAAUUUCAUGAAUUAAAGAUGAUGUUUGUGGAAUAAUCUAUCUUAUUGCAAUUUUGAUAUAUGACAAAGUGGAAUGAAAAAUGUUCUGUUGAUAUAUACAUGAGAUCUAAAACAAGAAUUGUAAAUUUCUUCCAUUAUUUUGUUGCCUAUCUUUUAUUCUUAGAAGUAUGGACAAUCUUUUAUUCUUAGCAUUUCGUAAAUUAUGAUGUUUUAUGGCGUAAUGAUUAUUGAGUAGAUGUUUGUGGGAUAAUCUAACUUAUUACAAUUAUAUUUGGAUAGUUUGGGUUAACGCGCAAGUUGUCAUUCUUUCCGCCAUGAUGUUGGCGGCCGUGGUGGUGGUGGCGGCCGUGGAAGUGACAGUGGACGCUACAUUUUUGUGGAGCCACCAUUAGCUCAUCCUCCAUGAAUUCACUUUCCUUUUCACGCCAUUGACUUGCCUACCGGUGAUCGAAGUAAAGGAGUAAUUCUCAACAUAGUAAUAUUAUUUCCUUCUUAUAAUUGAUAUUUUUACUACACAUGAAUAAUUCAUAAAUUUACUUACAUACAAUGUAGCUUAUCAACCCUAUUAGAUGGCUCAAAGAAAUUGGCUCAAAGAUGUUGUCGAAGCUCUAGGUGGCACUUCUCCUUCAGUGCAAUUUGAGGCCUACCUACAACAGCUUAAGGAUCAUGGGUACUAUGUGCUAGUCUUAUCAUAUUUUUGAAUAAAGGCACUUUAGGUGGGAGAAAGCAAUGUGACAAUAACUACCGAGAGACUUUGUUAGCCGAAUGAAAAUGACAUGGUUUGGAACAUAUCUAAUAAAUCUUUUAUCUCUAGUUAUGUUACAUUUUUUAACUUUCAUCGUGUUAUUCUCAUUUUUAUGUUAUCUUUGGUCAAACCAUUGCAGCAAUAAGCUUUCAUGCGAUUCUGGGAUCAACUCUUGGAUGUGUUGAAUUAUAGUUACAUAAAUGGAAAUCCGAUACGCCCCAGAGAUUCCAAGCUCCAGAUUCAUCUCACUUUCUAAAGGGUAUAUGAGUUUACCUCCCUGUUGUUCGAGAUUUAUGGUAGUGCAUGUGACUGUUCAUGUGAAGCGAUAGAAAGUGCACUAAUCCAUGUUGUAGUUCAUAUUGAUGAAGUUAAAGGCUUUAGGAUUGGAGACUUAAACUAUGUUGAAUAUCUAAGGAAGCGAAGCGGAGUAUGAAAUAUGUAGCGAGCACUGCCUUGGUCGGCAUUGUCGCGGUCCUUGCGCAGCUGCUAGCACUAGUCUCUUGCUGCAUCUGCGUUAGCAACGGAUUGUUGUUGGGCGUUGACUUGCUCCUGCUGGCACCGUGCUGCACGGUUUUGAUUCUUGGCAUUACGGCCUUCUUCCUAAGAUUCCAUUUUGCCAUCAUGUGGUGGCUCAUCAGCGGAGACCAUGAAAGCUUCAUGAUCGGGCGUGAAGGAGUUGCUCUCAUCAUCGCUUCCAUAAGGAUUUGGUGUCAGGACGAUGCGGGGCACCUACAAUUCAUCAUAGUUUGGAAACUGGGUGGAUUUGGGCAGGUCUCUAGAUUGCAUCUGGAAAACCUAGUCAAGCUUACCGGAGUACUCGACGGCCGAGUUCCGUAGACUGAAAGGGAUGGGGAACGGACCCUACGCCAACCUUGUUGAGCAUAGUGCCACCUCAGAUAACUCUAUGCACUCAGCAAUAGUGCUGCUGAUGCGAUCUAGCUCCACGAUCAGAUUGUUGGGCAUGCGUGGGCGGGCGCCGACGAGUAGAUCUGGAACCUUCUUGGACAAAGAGAGAGUUCGCCGCCUUGCUAGGAGAGUGGCAUGACGAUCCUUGGGUGGAGAAUUUUUUUUGCUGCAACAGAUCCGACGGAAGCCAAGCUGGUUGUGGACGCUGAUUCGAUGGAAGACGCCAAGUCAACAGAACAAGCGGUCGGAUCGAAAUCUGCCAGCAUGGACCUGAAGUGAAUCUAGAUUGGGUUGUUGAGGAUGUCCUUCAUGCUCUCGGAGAAAACAACAUCGGGAUGGGAUGCCAUCAAGGUCGCAAAAAGGACCUCACAACCCCCUACCUGGUACACCAACUGUUCGAUUUAGUAGCCCGACAGUCCACAAGGUGGUUACCUAAGUAGUUAAUUUGUAGGCGAGGGUGAUUGCGAAACCAUGAACUCGAAGGUAAUUGCGAGAACAUGAAGGGGAUACGAGGGUUUUUAGACAGCUUCUGGCCUCUAGAGAGAGUAAUACCCUACGUCUUGUAUGCUUGGUAGUUUGUAUUGAUUAGUGGUUCGAUGCGAUUCGAUUGGAUUGCCCUCGGGACUACAAUUUAGUUUAAAUCUAAUCUACUUGGUAUUAACAUGGAAGGUAAUCUGAGUUGGACUACAAAACGUGUUCCAUGAUAUCCAGAUAGAUUUGGACUGUCUCAUUGCCUUCAAGUAACUUCAUGUCCUCAGCCCGCACGCUCUGGUCGGGCAGGCCCACUUGUCAGGUCCAGCCAGUAUCCUAGUCGGUGGGGACCCAUGGGGUACCCAUAUCCCUUAGAUGUACUCGGUACCAUUUUCACAUGGAUUUGAAGUUGUUCUCUCUAAUACCUUAAAUAUUGAUGUAAGAACUUGUGAGACUGGUUAUAUAUAUAUAUAUAUAAAUAUAUAUAUAUAUACAUAUAUCUAUAUAUAUUUCAUUGCAUAUACAUUGUUCUAUGAUUGUCUGAUCUGAAUGGGUUGAUACUAGUGAGACUUGGAUUUAAAUGGGUUGAUACAUGGGAGAACCACUUUUAAAAAUUUGGUGUGAAAAUGGCACUGAAUUUGGGGUUUGCUGAGUGUCAAAAAAUAAGGGGUUUGCCGAGUGUCAAAAAAUUACACUCGGCAGGGGGGGUGUUGCCGAGUGUAAAAAACCAACACUCUGCGAACAUUAAAAACCAAAAAAACCACCCCCUCCACGCCCCUAAAAUCACGCGCACCUGGCCCCCUCCGCCUUCCCCAUCCCAACCCCUCUGCGUUCCCCACUCCCUCUACCUCCCCCGCUCCCUCUCCCACGCCUGCCGCCAGGGGCCGCCCCCCGCCCCACGCGCGCGCCGCCAGCCACGCCCCCCAGCCCCGCCGGCCGCCGGCCCCUCCCCUCCCCUUCUUCUUCCCUGGUGCCAGCCCUCCCCCUCCCCUUCUUCUUUCCCGACGCCGACCCUCCCCCUCCCCUCCCUCACCCUCCUCCCACCCUCCCUCGCCAAAUCCGGCGCCCCCUUCCCGGAUCCGGCGGCGUAGUGGAAUGGGUGGUGGUGGCACAGCAUGUGGCGGUGUUGGCUUGGUGGUGGCAGUGGUGGAGCCGGUGGAAGAGGUGGCGUUGGUGGCGGCGGCCUUCGGGGUGGCGGAUUCGCCGCCUCCUCGCCGGAUCCGGCGGAUCCACCGUGCCCCUCCCCAGAUCCACUGCGCCCCUCCUCGCAGAGCCGUCUGAAAGCGUGGUGAAGGCGGUGGUCGGUGGUGGCGUGGUGAAGGUGGCGUCGGGGAGUGGCAUGGUGAAGGCGGCGUCCUUGAGUGACUUUUUCACCAAGCCAGCGGGGAACAUGGGGGCUUCGGCCAGCAGCAUCAAGCCGGCGGCAAAGGUGGAUGGCAAGGCCAAGCAAGCGGCGGCGAGCAGCUUCGAGCCGGUGGCGAGGUCGGAGGGCAAGACCAAGCAUGCGGCGGAAAGCAGCUCUGAGACGGCGGCGAAGGUGGAGGGCAAGCACGUGGCGUAGGUUGUGCAGGCGGCAGCGAAGACCGAUGGCGGCCAGCGGAUACUGGCCGCUGGUGUUUUUUUUCGAAAAAAUGGUUUGCGGAGUGUUUUCUGGGCACUCGGCAAAGUGCCCGACAGAAAAUACUCGGAAAACACUUUGCCGGAAGAAUUUUUACCGCUUUGCCGAGGGUUCGCCAAGUAUUUUAGGGGCUUUGCAGAGCUUCUGUUCCCCGUAGUGGAAGCAUUUCUUUUUUCUUUGGUUAUACUCUUGUGUUAGUUAUCCUCAUCCCCUCGUGUUAUGGAACCCGUUUGUAAGUGUUGCGUUCUCUCUGUCUCUCCACAGCUUUUCAGUUGUCUCUUUUACUAUUGUUUUUAUUCCUUUUUUCCUUUCUACUAGGUCCCGUUUGGUUUCCUCAACUUAUUUUUAGCACCCGUCACAUCCGUUUGGUUUCCUCAACUUAUUUUUAGCACCCGUCACAUCAAAUGUUUAGAUACUAAUUAAUUAGGAGUAUUAAACGUUGACUGUUUACAAAACCUAUUACACAGAUGGAGGCUAAAUGACAAGACGAAUCUAUUAAGCCUAAUUAGUUCAUGAUUUGACAAUGUGCUGCUGCAGUAACAUGAUAAUCCUCUUGCCAUCUUUUUGGUGAAAAAAAUGUGGUACGCUGCUUGAUGAAGCUAGAAACUGGAUCUCAUGGUUCUUUCGGUUGUUGGGAUGGGUGGGAUGGGCAAGACCACCUUUAAUUUGUGCAACUCAUUUAUAUGACCAUGCAAUUGUGAAGCAUUUUGAGCUUCAGAGGUGGCGCUGUGUGUCAGAUUAGAAAAACAUUUGCAAGGGUGCAGAUUAGUGAUGGAAACGUAUAGAAUGCUUAUCAUUCAACUAGAGUGUCUAUAGCUCACCCAAGUGAAACAAAGAUCCUCCUCACACGAUUUUUUGUGCCAGUGUAUCAAAAAUCAGCGGCUCAGAUCCCUCCUCAAUGUCUACCUUAUCUCCUCCCCCACCCCUUCGCUACCCGCCGCCUAAACCCUCCCCGACCCCUCCGGCGCGGGCGGGCUAGGAUCCGCCAGAGCUCCGUGCCGACCGGCCCCAAGCCCGCCGGCGCAGACCGCCUCCUGCCCCUCUCGCCGCCACCUCCCACCGCCGCCUCCCACCAUCGGCACCCCCGCUCUGGCACCGCCCAACCGCUAUCUUCCGCCGCCUGGCUGGCAGCGCCCAAGCCGCCACGCCUCGCCGCCGGCAGCCCUCCCUCUAAGGCCAGCAGUGAGGAGCCCCACCCCGGCAACCCCUAUACCCCUAAUCCCGAAACCCUAACCUCGAACCCCUAACCUUGCCGGAAUCUUGCUGGAGUUGGAGAAGAAAGGGGGAUGGGGUAAAGAAAAAUUGGGUGACGAGAGGCUUUAUUUCAAUCGGGUGAGAUUUAGCUUUCCCUUUCAACUAACUCACAUUUUUUUGGGUCUGUCUAUGCGUCACCUGAGUGAAACAUGAGCCUUCCUCACUCGAUUUUUUUAGCUGUCAGAUGAACAUCCGACGCCUUUCCUUACUAGGUGAAACAUGAGCCUUCCUCACUCAAUUUUUUUAGCUGUCAGAUGAACAUCCGACGCCUUUCCUUCAUAUUCUAGUAAGUAUAUGUCUAGGCGUAUAGCAAAAAUUAUGUAUCUAAAAAAAAUAACCUACAAUUUGAGAUAAAGGGAUUACAUUCGAUCAUCAACCAAACAAAUGGACAAAACCGUUUAUUUGGCCUACAAGAAUGCCAUACGACCUGAAUAAUUGAAGCUAACAAGGCACUUUAUUGUUGUACAUAGCAGCUGAGCUUGACUGUCGGGCGUACAUCCUCGGGCCCACGAGUACACCUUGUACAGCCCAUCCAAGGACGUACUUGGACCUGAUCAGGACAUAGAGGCUACGUCACAGGGUAACGUAGCCUACACGGACUCCUGAAGACUAGUCGCAGUGUAUAAGGAAACUGCUCUGCCUAGUCAGAGUAGGACUCUAUAAUCGUACUCGACUAGGAUUCCACCCUGUAACCCUGCUCUUCCAGAUAUAUAAGGGUGGGCAGGGACCCCCUCCAAAACAAUCCCAUACCAACGCAAUAUACUCGAUCAUACAUACCACACAGGAUGUAGGGUAUUACGCGAUCUAGCGUCCCAAACCUGUCUAAAUCGUGUGCCUUGCGUCACCAUCGUCUCCUUGAUUCUCGAUAUCCCCACCGCACAAAAUACCUCCUAGGGGCCUCCCUAGACGGGUUGCCAGUCUAAAACAUCGACAACUAGCACACCAGGUAGGGGAGUUGCCAAGUUUAUCCACGCGAGAUCGAUGGCAUCAAUCAUCAUCAAGCCGGCGUUCACUUUCGAAGCGGGCACAACUUUCAUCUUCGGCUCCUAGCUUUGCAUCGCUGACGACGCUGGAUCCUUCCAAUACUGCAUCAUCAACAACCGGGAGAAGAAGCAUCUCGACAAAAAUUCUCUUCGACAAAAAGUAGACGAUCUCGUCGAGAAAAUCAACAGUUUUGAUCUAUUCAAACAUCCAGUUCGACUACAGCUCGAACUCGAUCAUGGCUCGGACUAGUCCACGUAAGCUAGCAAAGAAGUCACUGCGCAGAUCGGUUUCAACUCCAAAUCAAUUUCCAUUUGGACUCCAUAAUACAGCCAUGGUCCAUCAAGCACUCCUUACUCGAAUCAAAUCUGGACUAGAGUCAGAGGAGGACUACGACUAUGACUUGGAUACACCAGAAGAGUACACCAGCAACUAUCGCGGCUUCAUUGACGAUGACUUCAACUACUCAUCUCGACGACUUCGACGGGCGGCUCCCUGACGACUUCUUCGGCUACGUCGUGGCGCCCGCCGAUGAUGACCUCGUCAUGAAGCUCGCCGACAACUACUCCAACUACAUCACGGCAGUCAGCGAUGACUACUCCAACUAGGUCGUGAUGUCCGUCAGUGAUUUCUCUGACUACGUCGCGACGCUCGACGACGACAACUUCGAUAGGCGAUUCGCCAGCGGCUACUUUGACUAUGCCAUGACGCCCGCCGAUGAUGACUCUGAUUACUUUGUCGGGCAGCUCGGCGACGACUACUCUGGCUACAUUGUGACACUCCCCGACAACUUCUUCGACUACAUCGUAGCACCCGCCACCGACUACUCUAACUUCAACGGGUGACACGCCGAAAACUUCUCCAACUACGUCACGACACUCACCGUCAACUACUCUGACCGCAUCGAGCCACCGCCGACUACAUCAACCUCGCGGGGGCGCUUGGCAACUCACCGACGACUACUUGGCUCGGCGACACACCAACGACUACUUUGUCGUGACGCUUGCCAACGACUCCUAUGGCGUUGUGACGCUCACCGACGACUACAUCGAUGAGCAACUCGUCGACAGCUACUUCGACUACUCGUCUCGACUAGAAAACUAGUCGAGGGCGGGCCUCCCACCAUCGACAACUAGUUGGAAUCGACUCCGACUAGUCGGCUUCAUCAAACAACUGUCGCGGUUUCAUCGACGACCGCCACAGUUUCAUCACAAUCGGCCACGAAUCAAGCUAAGUCACUUAUCUUACUACUUCCUAGGUUGCUUUCCUCUCGCGCACAACACACACUCUAUUUGCCGGAGGGUAGCAAACGCUUGCACACAACAUGCGCUCUACUCGCUGGAGGGCAGCAAACUCUUGCGCACUCGCACUCUCUUUUUGUCGUAGCAGUGACUACUCUUUUUUGUCUUCUCUUAAGGUCACUAAUCUUCUCGAGCAGAACAUGCCUUAACUCGUGAAAGUGUCAGGUGCACCUGUGACACCAAAUGCUAGCACACAUACACGAGACCACGCUCUCAGCUAUGCACAUACACGUAUAUGAGACAACGCACUCACACACGUAGUGCCUAUGGCUAAACGGGGACGGAGAGCCUAAAACGUAACAGGCUAACUGCUCAAGAAGAAUAUGACCGAAACAAGAGCUUGACACACAACUUUCAUAUUAAUCGCUGAAUAACUAUAAGUAGUUUCAAUAUUUUACAAAAAUGCUACAUAAUGUACGCAUCUUUUCUUUCAGGUCAAACUUUGGCGAUGACGCUCAUCAUGUCGCUAAGCGUGCAUUCAACGGCACAUACUACUUGCCGAACUCGGGGGCUAAGCACCAAUCACUACUCGAAAUAUCUCCAAUGGCUCAGCUAGCUCCAAAGAUCGAGGGCUGAACGCCGCAAUAACUACUCGAUGUGGCUCCUACGGCUCGCCCAGCACAUAAGCUCGGGGGUUGGAUGCUGCAAAAAUUACUAGGAUGAUGACUUGUGCAUAGAUUCAAGAUCCUUGAGUUGAUUAUUCAAUCAAUUCAAGGCUCGGGGGCUGCAUAUACCGUUACCCAUCAAACAAAGAUUUCUUUUUCUCAAGACAAGGAGAAGACGAAGCAAAAUUACAAGUAUGACCCUCAUCUUGAUUCUUCGGUUCAACCUAAGGUUCGGGGGCUACUCCACAUGGAGUGCGAUUGUCAUCGCACUUCCAUAUAAAGAUUCAAGCCAAGUCUACACGAAGCAACUUCAAGAGAAGCGAAGAAUACCUUGCAGCCAUGUGACAGUACUCGGGCACUCGAAGUUUGGUCUGUUGGAGGUAUGCCCUAGAGGCAAUCAUAGAGAUGAUGAUAUCUGAUUGUAUCCAUGAUUUGUAUAUUGUGUUCAUUGAAUAUCCAUUAAAGGCUACUUGAAUUGAUCUGCAAUUAUGUGAAUUGUAUGUAGAACUCUUUACUUGUAUGGUUAUUCUAAAAGUUGUCCCUAGUCGGAGUUCAUGUGUGGACACACAUGAAUAUUAGACUGGUACAUGUAUUAGUUGAUGACUAUGUUUCACAAGUCAUGGACAUGGAAAUGUCAAACUAAUAAUGUAGGCAUAUGUAGAGACAUGUGCUAGGACUGACCCAACGAGAGAAGUAGUUCUCUCUUUACACAACAUGUACGCUUUAUCCUUAGACCUGAGAUUGUCGCAUGUACUCAAGAUGUGGUUUGACUUACUUAGGGGCUAUCAAACGCUACACCGUAACAGGGUAGUUAAAAAGGUAGCGUUCGGGUUGGUCAGGAAGCAUGCUGUGAGGCAUGGUCAAUCAAGAUGGGAUUUGCCCCUCUCUGAUUGAGAGUGAUAUCUCUGGAGCCCUCGAGUGAUCAGAUUCGAAAAUGCAUGGCCAUGCUACGUACGGUUAAGAGUUAACCUACAAAGGGAUUUCAAAUCAUAGUAUCGAGAAAGAGCGGUCGGUUUGAAGCUAGACCAAAUAUCGUGAGGCAAAGGGAAUAUCAUGUACAUGAUGUUGUGACGGUUCGUCUGAUAUGAUCUUCGUGUGCGUAUAGGAGUUGGCACGUCUUGCUAGAGGCUGCUACCGACUAUUGGGCCGAGUAGGAAUACUCGGGCCAUGUCUAUACGUAUCCGAACCUAAAGGGUCACACACUUAAGGGGCUAGAAGCCCAAUUUGGAUAUGAUCCGAGUUGGAUCAGGUUUAGAAGUACUAAUGGGCCUCAGACCUAGAGGCCCGUCAGGAACCUCUAUAAAUAGAGGGGUGGGGCGCCCUAGGGUUUCAUCCCUUUGGCCGAAACACAUCUGCCGUGCCUCCCACACCCUCGCCCUGUUGCAACUUGCGAACCUAGCAGUCUGGCUUGCGACUCUUCCUCCCUGCACGUGUGGAUACCUUGGAGGUGUUGCACCUGUAGCACUUGGACGAGCCGCGACGAGCCACGACGAGCCGCCGACGAGCCAUGGCACGAGGACGACCUUGCUGCACGUGGACGAGCUACUGAGGAGCUGCUCGAUGUCGACAUGAUCGACUACGUGUUUGACUACGCUGAUCGACUUCGCUGCCCCAACGCGAUUUUACAUCUUCCGCACCAGUGCGUCGAGUGGUAAUCCCGUGAUCCAUAUACGACAGUUUUCCUGGUUUACGCGGUAGAAAAUUUUUGUUUUGCGCUAGCGUAGCCUACCUCGUAGCCCCACAUGGUCACCACGAGGAAGCGCUCAAAAAACACAGGCUACAAGUACUCGGAGCUCUUCCACUCGACUACAAAGUAUUCGGGGGCUUGUCGGGUGUACUCGGACGUGAUCAGGACUUGGAGGCUACGUCACAGGGUAACAUAGCCUACACUGACUCUUGAAGACUAGUCGCGGUGCAUAAGGAAAUAGCUCUGCCCUGUCGGAGUAAGACUCUGUAAUCGUACUCGACUAGGAUUCCAUCCUGUAACCCUGCUCCCCCAGAUAUACAAGGGAGGGCAGGGACCCCCUCCAAAACAAUCCCAUACCAACGCAAUAUACUUGAUCAUACAUACCACACAGUACGUAGGUUAUUACGCAAUCUAGUGGCCCAAACCGCACAAAAGACCUCCUAGGGGGCUCCCUAGGCAGGUUGCCGGUCUACAACACCGACAUUGACUUAGUUAUAUUUAUUUGCAAACAGGUGUGAAAUGCCAUACAAUAAUUUCAACCCCAGAAAGCUACCAGUUGAAGUGGUAGAUGAGGUUGGCAAGAAUGAAUUCAAAGUGGCGGUGGUGAAGUUUAUACCCGGGCACAUCCUUCCCCUAGAAGUCGGAAGAAGCAUCCACGGCUUCUUCCAUGAACUUCUCGGGCAUGAACUCCUCUGCACUCUCCCAGUAGGUGGUGGCCCUGCCUAGAGCCCAUGUGUUGACGAUUACACAUGUCCCAGAGCGGUGGGACGGAGUGGUCGGAUCCGGGUGGCGUGGAGUGGAGCAGAGCUGGCGGUGUGGGCGGAGCAAACUAGGGGAGGGAGGCGGAGCCGAUGGGGCCGCAGGCGACGAUCGGGGGGCUCGCGGGGGCAGCGGUCGGCUGGCGUGGUGCGUUUUUUUUCGAAAUUUUUUUAGAACUGGGACUAAACGGGACCCCUUUUGUCUCAAAAAAUAUAAUUAGUCCUGGUUGGUCAUUGGAGAGAUAUGCUCCUUCCCGAUUGGGACUAAGAGCAACUCCAAGAGACUGUUAAUUUUACCCCAAUACCUUUUUUAGGGAAAAAGAAAAAAAAUAACUCCAACGGUCCACCAAAUAUUCGGGGCGUCCCCAUCUUCCCCAAUCCGCUCCCAUGGUCUUUCCCUUGGGCGUCGUCAGGAUCUGCAAAGUCCCGCCGUUAGCGUCGUCAGGGGACCAUGCACCGGAUCUCAGUGGCCAUGGCGAGAUCUCACUAGGGCACGGGCACGGGCAAGGGAUGCAUCAUCAUCGCUACCACCAGUUCGGCGUUGAGGGGAAGCUGCUGGACGGUGGCGGCGCCGCUGCCGCGGCACAGCAGCUCGACGCCAGGGUUUUUUCUCCAGUCCCGUCGUGGAUAACGGUGAGUGCCAUUGGUGCUGCUCUCCCGUCUUUGUUUGUCUCCACCCGCAACAACACCAAACUACAAAAACGUUGCUCUUUACUCUCUUCAAACUACACAUGAUUCUUGAUGAGCUAGCUAUCUGGACUAGAUUAAUCUAUGUCGUUGUGUCAUUGGCAUUUCGAACUUCCUACGAAUCUCGCUUUUGGAAUUCUCUCCUAGAUUUCUGUCUGACAGGAAAUAACAUCAUCAUUUUCUUUAUUUCGACCUGUCUGAUAUCGAUUCGAGUGUAGAAGGAGGUAUGUUCGGUAGGUCCAAUUACGAUGAUGUGGCAAAUAUUAAUUGAGGAGUAUUUUUAACGUUCUGCUGUGGCCUGAGGGAAAAUUUUUAGCAUAGCUCCCAAUAUCUUAUUUUCGGGAAAAAUUUUUUGGGAACUUUUGAAGUUGCUCUAAUAGUCAAUUUUCUACCACUGGUUGCAUAGAGGGGGAGGAGGCGAGGGUUUUAGGUGAGGACGAUGAGGUGGCGCCCCCCUCCCUUUCUCCGAUUCCUCCAAUCUGUUGUGCGAUGCUUUAACUGUCUCUAUAAAAUUGAUAUGGUUAGAUAUGUCAUAUUCUGUGGGUGGCACCUCACGAUCAGAAUGUGUGCCUCUAUAUAUGUUGUGCCAAUGCAGUCCAUUCGAGGUAGUACCAUAGCCUGACUGAACUACUGAAAAUGAAAAGCCUACCAGACUCCUUCUGCAACAGCACAGUCUACCCCUAUGUUUACAACCUGACUUCCUCCUACAUCGACCAGAACAAUGAGGCCACCAUGGUGACCACCACCUUGGCCAUGUUCAUGCUGGCCGUGUUCUUCUUCAACCUCAACCUCUUCAGCCGCUUCUCCGACGUGAGCGCGAUUCUCAACCCUAGCGUCCGCCUCUUCCUCUCCACCUCCCUGUCCCUCUUCCUGCCGGUCAUGUCCUACCUCUUCUCCGAGGCCAAGAACCAAGGUGCAACGACCAUGGCUGCUACUACUAGCAGUAGCUCCAGUUAUGGCGAGCUCGGCGACGAGCUGUCGCUUCGAGCUAGGACGAUCCUCAUGUGGAUGCUUCUUGUGGAGCUCCUCCGCAAGAAGGUGGAGGCCGUCCUGGUCAGCGUGGGCAUGCAGUGGUACUCAGGCGCCAUCGAUCGCUUCGCCCGCAUCGUUUGGCUCGGCUACCUCGUCUUCUACAAUGUCAAAAGCCCCGGCAAGAAGGCGAUCUAUGGCACCUUAUGGGUCCUCACUGCUGCCAAGUUCCUGCAAAGGGUCGUCGUCAAGAUGGUGCUGGAGCGUUCCUUCGCCUACGGAAGGAACACCCAGCUGCUCAACUCAUACAUGGCCCAGAUCAUCCAACAAGAGCAAGAGCAAGAGCAAGAGGAGCACUCGGGAUCAUCGUCGUCGGCGGAGCUGUUGAAGAAGUGCGAGUACACCGUGAUGGGAGAAGAAAAUCUGGAGAGGACGGCUGGCCGGCAUGGCUACCAGGUGGAGCUGAACAAGGCGGCCGUUGUCACCGUUGGUGACAUUUGGACGCAGGCAGCAGCCGAGCCGGACAGCCUCCUCCGGAGAGAACACCUUAGAAGGCUCUGCCUCUCCUUUGCUCUCUACAAGCUGCUGCGCCGGAGGUUCGAGGACAUCCCCACAACAAGAGAGGAGACCCGGAACUGCCGGAACCUCAUCUUCAAGGGCUUGUUGAAGGAGCAAGAAGGUGCCGAGGUCGCACUGUUCCAAGUCUUCAACGAUGAGACCCAGUUCGUUUGCGAGUACUACCAUUCCGUCCUACCCGUCGUCUUGUCCGACCCUUUCUUCUUCCUGGUCAACUACAUCCUGUUUCCCAUUGUAGUUUCUGCCUUCUGCCUCCUAACACUGAUCAUCUGCGGCAAUGGGAGCGUCCGCUACGCCUACCAGAGCAUCACAAGUGACAACUACAUCAUAUACACUGGCGCGACGACGCUGACCAGAUGCCUCCUGAGAAACAUCGCCCAUUCACCCGAGGUGCUGUUCGCCAGCAUCGACCUAGGCACCACCACUCUGCUCAUCCUGGCCUUCGUCUACGAGGAAGUCGUGGAGGUCCUCGUCUUUAUCCUCUCCAAUUGGCUCAUCGUGUCGCUCCUCUGUCAGUACACCGCCAAGCGCCACUGGCGGCAGAGCCGCAUGGUAUGUUGGCUCAUCCGCGGCAUCCUGUGGGUGCGAAGCAUGCUAAGCCACCCUAACCUCAGCUUCAAGCAGCUCUCCGUGCUAAGGUUCUUCCAACUGUCGUCGCCUUCGCCGAUCAUGGUGCCAACCAAGGCAGUGCCCAAGGAAGUGAUGGAGUCGAUCGUGGAUUAUCUGGUGGUUCACUUGGAUGUCUACGGCAUCGAUGGCCAUGACGACCCUCUCAAUUCGGCCUGGUCCUCCACACUGCAACAGGAGAAGCACAGGGCAUACCGUCCCCUGCUCUUGCCGGUGUGUGAGAGCAAGAGCAUCGCUGAGUUCAUCCUCACCUGUCACAUUGCCACCGCCCUAAUGGAGGUGAGGUACCCGCAGGACGAAAAGGAAAUGGGAUCUCAUCGCAAGGUGGCGACGACGCUGUCCAAGUACUGCACUUACUUGGUGGGCUUUUACCCAGGGCUUCUUCCGGACGACAAGAAUGGGACAAAGCACACUUACAAGAAGAUGAAGGAGGACAUGAACAAGGAGCUUGGAGGGUGCUGGUGGUACCACCUGUCGCUGCAGGGAACCAGGUACAAGAGGCUGAUGGAGAUCGGCGAAUCGAAGCAGAAGGCCGUGACAAUGGUGCGCAACGGGGCCAGGUUAGGGACAGCACUGAUCGAGAAGGCCGAGGAGAACAACGAGGCGCGUGAUCGCGUGUGGGAGCUGCUGAACGACCUUUGGACGGAGGUCAUGGUGUAUGUGGCGCCGUCGGCCGGCGACCUCCACGUGAAAGCCCACAAGGAGGCGCUGGCGCGCGGCGGUGAGUUCAUCACCGUGCUUUGGGUGCUGUGUACGCACACCGGCAUGACCAGGCCAGCCCUCGCACCGUGGGAGGUAGCACGUCAUGCGUUUGAACCAUAGAGCAUUAUUGGCUUCCCGUGUGUGCCGAUCUUUCGAGGACAGCUUGCUUGGGAUGGUUCAUCUCACAUGCUCCAUUCCGCUACUAACGCUAACAUUAGUACCGCGUCAUAAUGUGACCGGUACUAAGGGAGUGGACGAAAGAUAUAUUAAAAAUAGAUAUAUAGCCACCCGUUGUGAAUGCAUGGGUUGAUGCCAGUAAUUCCUAGAAAACGAGGCCAACCACAACCUCUUCAUCCACUUCUCCGACGUGAGCGCACAAUUCUCAACACUAGUAAGAAACAGAGCUUUAGUCCCGGUUUUUUAGUCCCGGUUGGUAAGGAUCAUAGAUCCCAAAAAUCCAAUCGAGACUAACUAUUCAAGGCUAAAUGACUCCUUUAGUCCCGGGUCAUUCACCUGGGACUAAAGGUGCCCUUUAGUUCCGGUUGGUGUUACCAAGCGAGACUAAAAAAAUUCCAAAAAAAAUAAAAAAAGCCAUCCGCGCCCGCCGCCCGCCUGCCUCCCACGGCCGCGCUGGCCUCAUGCUGCCCGCCCGCGCCCACGCCGACCACGUGCUACGACCCGCCCGCACCCACCCGACCGACCGCCCGCGUCGGAGCAUGGAAGAAAGGGAGAGGAGGAAGAAGAAGAGAUAAGGUGGAGAGGCCCUGCGUGGGAGAUAAGAAAGGGAGGGGAGGAGAUAAGUGGAGAGAAAGGGAGGCGACGAGAUUUUGUCUUGGUUGGAAUUUCCAACCGCGACAAAAGAUUUACUUCCGGUUGGAAUUUCCAACCGGGAUAAGGGUGGCGUCGAUGUCAGAUUUUUUAGCUGUUAGAACCAAGCCUACAACCGUGACUAAAGCCCCUUCAGUCGGUGGCCUUUGGUGCCUCAUACCUGGGACUAAAGUCACUUUAGUUCCGAGUCCAAAGUCAACCAAGAUAAAAGCAUCAAGAUGGAAGGUCAGUUCUCUAGUAUUGCAAGCCUAGUGUCUGCCACCUCCUCUCCACCAACAUGUCCCUCUUUCUGCAUGUAACACUUUCACACAUGCAUGUAACUUGAUUAAUCUUCUCAUGCGUGUUCACAACAAACGCAUGGAUGAAAAACAUGUCAAGAUUAAUUUCCAACACUUUUUUCUUCUAUAGAUAGUUUCCACUAAGUGGUUCACCACAUAAUAAAAUUUAGAUACUUGUCUCUGCAUAUCAUCGAUCAAUGUUGUUAGAGGGAUACAACAUUAUCAUUGUGUACAUCAUAUCAAUGACCGAACUUCAACUAUUAUAGAUACUGUUAUACUGUUAGCAAUGCAUAUAUCUCAAAUAUUAUUGCUUCUCUUUAAUUAGCUAAAGAAUAGGAUGCUAGAAUGAAAACGUCAAAAGAAAAAACAUAAUGAUGAAGGCAUCAGGUCCUCUCUUUUGGGGGCCAAGAUUCCUGCUGAUAUUGAUAACAAAAGAAGGAUACCAUGGGUUCUCUCCCAUUUGGAACUAUAUGUGACAAAAGUUAUGCCAGUACCUUAAAUGCUAAGGCUUGCUCAUCUUUUGAAUUUUUGUUCUUUGGCGGCCCCUGUCAUUUGAGCCUUUUGAUAAAGUAAAGGAGAGGAGAAUAAGCGCUAAAGGAAAGACCAACUGCUAUGGUGUUACCCGAACACCAUUGGCGGCAUCUUUCGAUUUACAGUACAUGCAGGCACGCCAAUACUCUCCUUCAAUCGUGUGCUUGCAGAACCUAUGAAAACGAUGCUCAUGCUUUGCAAGGGCACGGAAAUUUCGACUCAGAACGUGUCCAGAGGAAAUGGGCCCACUCGUAUGAUUCAUGGGAACAUGAACAAACAGAGACGUUCAGAUUCAGAAGUAUGGAAUUUGCAAGUCCCCGCAACCCACCGCCCCCACGUUGCUCCCGCAUGAGUGACACUGGUGGACGAAACCCUCGCCGCUGCCGCCCCUUCCUCCCUCUCCCCACCGCUGUGCCACCGCCCAAGCCGGCCGCUGAAAGCCUACGCGUCUCAUGAGGACGGCGGCGGUGGGGCGGCCUGCUUCUCCCCUUGAUCUCCUGGUGGGCGUGGCCGCUGUGGAGGUCAGAGGGAGUCGCCCGUAGGGCGACACACGGCCGUGACAGCGAGGCCGGAUCCGGGGCCCCUGUGGCCGGAUCCGGGGCCCUCGAUGCCGGAUCUGUCUCCAAGUGCGGUGGCGGUGGCUUCCCCCACGCGGGGCAGUGGUCACCCUGCCCGGUGCGGAAGCUGCACGAGCGGUGUGCGCCAGGGUGGAUGCCGCGCGGUGGCGGCUGCGUGGGCCAAGGCUGAGCAAGGGGCGAAGUGGGCGGCCGCGGUCCUAUGGCAAGGUGGGGUCAACGUGCAGGCCUCCUUCGAUGACUACCUCCAGGACCGCACCAUGUUCCCCGACGAGAGCAAGAGCCAGCGGAUCAGUGAUGGGGAGUGGCGGGUCCAGAUGCUGCUGCUGCAAUUCCUCCUCGUCACAGUGCGCCCUGUGGUCAUCAUGCAGCUGCAACACCGCACUGGUGGGCUCGACCCCAGUGGCGACAUCUGCAGUCCUCGGCGGUGAGCUCCUAGGGAGCGGUGACAGUGUGAAGGCGACAACGGCGAUCUGGGUGGUGCGGCGGUGGUCCCGAUGCGAGGCAAAGAAGGCACAUGGUAGCAGGGGCCGCUAGGAGGUGGGGACACGGAGGAGGCGCCGAAGGACAAGACGAGGAGGAGGUGUCGGGCAUACACCUCAGGGCCACGAGUAGGCCUUGUACGGCCCACCCAGGGGCGUACUCGGACAUGAGCAGGAGUUGGAAGCUAUGUCACAGGGUAACGUAGCCUACACGGACUACUGAAGACUAGUCUUGGUGCAUAAGGAAACUACUCUACCUAGUUGGAGUAGGACUCUGUAAUCAUAAUCGACUAGGAUUCCACCCUGUAACCCUGCUCCCCCGAUAUAUAAGGGUAGGCAGGGACCCCCUCCAAAGAACCAACUCAUACGCAAUACAAACAUCACACAAGACGUAGGGUAUUACGCGUUCUAGCGGCCCAAACCUGUCUAAAUCGUGUGCCUUGCAUCACCAUCAACUCCUUGAUUCUCGACGUCUCCACCACACAAAAUACCUCCUAGAGGACUCCCUAAGCGGGUUGCCGGUCUAAAACACCAACAGCUGGCGCACCAGGUAGGGGAAGUCGCCGAGUUUCUUAGCGCGAGAUCGAUGGCACCAAUUGUCAUCAAGCCAGCGCUCGCUUUCAAAGCAGGCGCAACUUUCAUCUUCGACUCCUGGCUUUGCAUCACCAACGGCGCCGGAUCCUUCCAGUGCUACCUCAUCGACAACCGGGAGAAAGAGCAUCUCAACGAAAACCCUCUUCGUAAAGAAGCAGACAGCCUCAUCGAGAAAAUCGACAAAUUCAAUCUCAGAUCAAGAUUCGACUACAACUCGAAGUCCAACGACGACUCCGAGUUCGACUACAACUCGAAGUCUGACUAUGACUCCAUUUUUAGUUUCGAGUUCAACCCCAACUUGGGGUCCAACUACAACUCCAAAUCAUAUCCAGGUCAAACUCCAUUCGGACUCCACAACGCAGCCACGGUCCAUCACUCCUUACUCGAAUCCAAUUCGGACUAGAGUCGAAGGAAGACUAUGCUACGACUCGGAUACACCCGAAGAGUUCAUCAGCAACUGCCACAGCUUCGUCGAUGACGACUUCCACGGGCGGCUCGCCGGUGACUUCUCCGACUACGUCGCGGCGCUCACUUAUGACUAUGGGCGGCUUGCUAACAAUUUCUUGGACUAUGUCAUGGUACUCGCCGACGACUACUUCAACAGGUGGCUCACCGGUGACUUCUCUGACUACGUCGUGGUGCUCACUGAUGAGUACGGGCGGCUCACCGACAAUUUCUCAGACUACGUCAUGGCACUCACCGACGACUACUUCGCUUGGCGACACACCGACGAAAACUUUGUCUGCUCACUGACGACUUCUCCGACUACGACACAGCGCUGGCUGACGACUAUGGGCGGCUCGCCGAUGAUUUCUCGGACUACAUCGUGGCACUCGACGACGGCUACUUCGACGGACGGCUCCCCGACGACUAAUCCGACUUUGCGACGUCCCUCGGCGACCCACCGAUGACUACUUCAACUUCGCGCGGGCGCUCGACAACUCGUUGAUGGCUACUUCGCUCGGCGCACACCAACGAAUACUUCGACUGCUCACCGACGACUUCUUCGACUACGUUGCGAUGCUCGUCAACGACUACUUCGACGGGUGACUCGCUAGUGACUACGUCGACUACUUGUCCCGACUAGAAAACUAGUCGGGGCAGAUUUCGCACCAUCAACGACUGGUCGGAACCGACUCCGACUAGUCAGCUUCGUCAACAACCGUCAUGGUUUCAUUGACGACCACCUUGGCUUCAUCGACAAUCAUCGACGAAUCAAGCUAAGUCUCUUUUCUGACAAUUUCCUAGCUUGAUUUCCUCUUGCGCACAAUACGCGCUCUACUCGCUAGAGGGCAGCAAACUCUCGCGCACAACACGCACUCUACUCACCGGAGGGCAGCAAAACUCUUGUGCAAUCGUGCUUGCUUUUUGUCGCAGCAGCGACUACUCACUUUUGUCUUCUCUUAAGAUCACUACUCUUCUCAAGAUGAACUUGCCUUGACACGUGAACGCCUCAGGUGCACCUGUGACGCCAAAUGCUAGCACACAUACACGAGACCACGCUCUUAGUUGUGCACAUAGCAAUGCCCAUACAUGUAUAUGAGACAACGCUCUCACACAUGCAAUGGCUACGGCUAAAUGGGGACUAAGAGCCUAAACGUAAUAGGCUAAAUGCUCGAGAAGAAUAUGAUCAAAAUAAGAGCAUGACACACAAUAUUUCAUAUUGAUCACUGAAUAACUUUCAGUAGUUUCAAUAUUCUACAAAAAUGCUACAUAUUGUACGCAUCUUUUCUUUCAAGUCAAACUUUGGCGAUGACGCUCGUCGUGUCACUAAGCAUGCCUCUAACGGCAUAGACUAGUUCCCGAACUCGGGGACUAAGCACCAAUCACUACUCGGGAUAUCUCUAGUGACUCAGCUAGCUCCUAGGCUCGGGGGCUAGACGCCGCAAAACUACUCGAUGUGGCUCCUACGGCUCGCCCAGCGCAUAAGCUCGGGGGCUGGAUGCCGCAAAACUACUCGGAUGAUGACUUACGCAGAGAUUCAAGAUCCUUGAGAUGAUUAUUCAAUCAAUUCAAGGCUCGAGGGCUGAUAAGCUACACCCAUCAGUUGAUUUUUUGUCAAGCCGGAAGAAAAAGUUUCAAGAUUUUGACCCUCAGCCUGAUUCUACGAGUCAACCUAAGGCUCAGGGGCUCCUCCAUAUGGAGUGUGAUUGUCAUCGCACUAUCAUAUAAAGAUUCAAGACAAAGGCUACUUGAAGCAACGUUACGCAAAGCAGAGAGUACCUUCCAGCCAUGUGACAGUACUCGGUUACUCGAAGGCUAGCCACCACGAGAAGCGCUCAAAAAGCACCAGAUAGUACUCGGGCAACCUCUUCAAGUACUCUGAGCUGUUCCACUCGACUACAAAGUACUCGGGGGCUUGUCAGGCAUACAUCCCCAGCCCCACGAGUAGGCCUUGUACGGCCCACCUAGGGGCAUAGUCGGACGUGAUCAAUACUUGGAGGCUACGUCAUAGGGUAACAUAGCCUAAACGGACUCCUGAAGACUAGUCACGGUGCAUAAGGAAACUAUUCUACCCAGUUGGAGUAAGACUCUGUAAUCGUACUCGACGAGGAUUCCACCCUGUAACUCUGCUCCCCCGAUAUAUAAAGGCGGACAGGGACCCCUUCCAAAGAACCAACUCAUAAGCAAUACAAGCAUCAUACAGGAUGUAGGGUAUUACGCGAUCUAGCGGCCCAAACCUAUCUAAAUCGUGUGCCUUACGUGACCAUCGACUUCUUGAUUCUCGACAUCCCCACCGCACAAAAGACCUCAUAGGGGACUCCCUAGGUGGGUUAUCAGUCUAAAACACCGAUAGGAGGUGCGAUGGACAAUAGUGACCCAUCUAGAAGAGCUGCAUGGAGAGGAUGCCGGUGCAGAGGACGGCAACGUGGAGAUGGUCGUGCAAGCGAUGAGGAGCGGAGCGGCGGCUCGAAUGCCACGAGGCCAUUCUGGUGCCGCGGGAACCACUCACAUGCUGACGUUGUGGUGGUGUGAGGAUCUACGCUGGUGGUAGUGGGGGCCAUUGUCGCAGAAAGCUUUGUGUUUGCGCACAUGGUACAACUGAGAUUAUGACGGCGGCAAGGUGGAGGUGAAGUUAUUAGAGUAGCUCGGUGGGACCAUGUCACCCUGAUGGAAAAUCAUGUCUGGAUCCUUGGUAUGGAGUCCAGCGGUGGAAGUGGUGAGAUCCCCGUUUGCUUUAAGGUGAUGUGUACGAGGAGUUGUGUGUGGCGGUGAAUGUGGCUAGAACCCCACACAUUUUGAGUUGCCUUGGAGGGCCAGGAUCCGGUGCAGUGUUUUGAUGGUUGGUGUGUACGGUGCGAUAGCAGUGCUUCGGCGUUGGGUCCUGCAGUGCGGUGGUCGUUUCAGUGUGGUGCAGUGUGCUCCUCCUUUGACUUAUGCUAAUACAAAGCCGUGGAUUGGGAGAUCGAUGACCGUGUGUGUGUGACCUGAGGACGACGACGACAUGGUAGAGAAGCCCUAGUAGCUACACGACUUGCAGCGGACUGCGACGGCCAGUCCUACGUGGCUUCGGCUGGUUUGGCUGGGACAUCGUCGGGGACGAUGGCGCUAGCGAUGAGGGCUACUUGGCGGCUUUUCCUGCUCAGUGGUGGUGGCAUGGUGGUCGCUGCUAGCUCAAGCGUUAGCGUUGAGUGGCUUUGCGUCGACGACCACCCAUAGAGUUCUUUUUUUGUUUUGAGUUGAGUCGGCAUUAUCUGUUGGGAGCUACUUCGGUGGCUCUGUUGUUAUACCCAGUCUAGGAUCUUUCUUCUUUUUAAAUAAUCGACAGCUCUCCUGCCUGGUUUGUUUGAAAAAAAUUCAAAAAUACGGUUGGAUGUAAGAUUAACGAGUUAAUCUUCAUGUAGCAUGUACAUAGACAUGUAACCAAGAAACACAAACUUUUUUACAACGGAACUCAAGUGUAUUUGAGUUGUACAGGCAGAGAUAUGACUAUAGAAAUUGGGGAAGCAGCACUUUGCAUGUAAUAUAGGGUUGAAUAAAUCACCUCUACCGUGGUUUAUACGUCAGUACUGUACAACAAAACCUGGCCACCAUCCCUAAAUUACAUGAUAAAAACUCUAUCAUCUACAACCAACAACUCUAGGUACGGUAGUUGUACACAUUACACGAUAUUGGUACGUAUGUUUAACUUGACCUGAAUGCAUAUGUUUAACCUUGGAGAAGAUAGUCCGAUUCAACCCUUAGAAAUCCUUUAAGAGAUGUGUCCAUGUUAAUCUUGCUACUACUAAUUGGAGAUACCGGAGGAUUCUCAAGUUAAGACGCAUGGGCGGCCGUGCUAGAAAAAAUAAGAUCUCAAAAACUCAUGAAAACAGAAAUUGCACCUCAUCACAAGGUGGACACGGUGCCCUACUGCAGCCCAAGCAACUACUACACUUGCAUUGGUGUUCUUUUCAGACAGUGCUCGCUGCAGGACAAAACGCUGACAGAGAUUUGUUGUUGCCAUUCUAGAAUCGUUUUAGCUGUGGCUUCGUUUCAUUCAGGAUUAAUUUGCAAAAAAAAUGUAUUUUCAGUGGAAAAUAAUGUAACCAGAUUGGCUCGAUUGCCCCAGAAAGAUAUAAUAACUCCAUGCAGUAACAUAUACAUGGUCAUACUUUAAUUAUUGUGCGUACAGUUGUACUACAGCAAGGCAUAUAUCUUAGCUGUCUCUUCGCUUUAACUAAAGAAUUGGAUGCUAGGAUGAAAGAUCCAUGGUUUGGGGCCACUAUUACUAGCUUUCUGCUGAUAUUGAUAACGAACGUAGGAUGGCAUGGGUUCCCUCCCUUUCUACAAAUGGGAGAGAACCCUGGUAUCCUUCUUUCGCUAUCAAUAUCAGCAGGAAUCUUGGCCCCAAAAGAGAGGACCUAAUGCCUUCAUCAUUAUGUUUUUCUUUUGACGCUUUCAUUCUAGCAUCGAUCCUAUUCUUUAGCUAAAGCGAAGCAAUAUUUGAGAUAUAUGCAUUGCUACAGUAUCUAUAAUAAUUGAAGUUCGAUCGUUGAUGUACACAGUAAUGUUAUAUUCCUCUAACAACAUUGAUCGAUGAUAUGCAGAGACAAGUAUCUAAAUUUUAGCUCCAAGUAAGUUUUAACCAAAAGUUUAUCUUAAGGGGUUCCACGACCCAAAUCUGUACUCCCCUAAAAAUAAACUUCAAUGGUAGUCCGACGGACUAUAGGGCCACCUGAUUAAACCUAUGAUUAACGACCAACAUAUCUAUCACUUACUCUCACUAUUUCCUUAUUAUUUGGUGAACCGCUUAGUGGAAACAAUCUAUAGAAGAAAAAUGUGUUGGAAACUAAUCUUGACAUGUUUUUCAUCCAUGCGUUAGUUGUGAACGCGCAUGAGAAGAUUAAUCAAGCUACAUGCAUGUGUGAAAGGGUUACAUGCAUGUGUGUGAAUGCAGUGCAUGCAUGCGCGUAUGGAGAAGACUAGGAUCUGCAUGCAUAUGGAAGCUUAGGGAGUUAUGUGUUACUCAAAGAGUCUCUAGACAAUGUGAAUCGAACGUGUCUUGGUACACUGGUAGAAAACUGAGUAUUAGUCCCAGUUGGAACGUUGCAAAUCUCCCAAAAAACCAUCCGGGAUAAAGCAAUCGAGAUAAAAGGGGGUGUCUUUUAUCCCAGGUCCCUCAACCGGGACUAAAGACACCCUUUAGUCCCAGUUGGUAAUACCAACCAGGACUAAAUGGUUUUGCAAAAAAAAUUAAAAAAUAAAUAAAUUCCUGUGGGGUCCUAGGGAGGCCUCCCCGCGACAAGCCACAAGUCAUGCGAUUUUCACGCGAAAUAUGCGCAUGCGCGGCUCGUGGGAUUCGAACCCACGACCUCAAGCCUCGCGCGUAGCUUCCUUGCCAUCCAACCUACACAUCAUAUCUAACUAUAUAGGGGAUCCAAUCCUUUUAUACUAACUUGUGGGGAACCCUUUAAUCCCGGUUGGAGAUACCAAACGGGAUAAAAGACCCCCUUUUAUCCCGGUUUGCAUUACAAACUGAGAUAAAAGGGUCUGGAACAUUUAUUCCUUCCCCGGAGCACAUGUGGGGGACCAUUUUAUCCCAGUUGGAAACACCAACCGGGAUAAAAGACCCUAUUUUAUUCCGGUUGGUAUUACAAACCGGGAUAAAAGGGUCCGAGGCCUUUAGUUCCUUUUCAGCCACCCGUGAGGGACCCUUUUAUCCCGGUUGGAGUUUCCAACCGGGAUAAAAGACCCCAUUUUAUCCCGUUGGUGUUGUGAGCUUUAGUCCCGGAUGAUAACACCAACCGGGAUUAAAAGGGUGACCUUUAGUCCUGGUUAUUCUUACCAUCCGGGACAAAAGGGUCCCCCACAGGUAGCUAAUUUUUUCACCCGGGACUAAAGGGUCCCCCACGGGUGGCUGAUUUUUGAACUGGGACAAAAGGUAACUUUUAGUUCCGGUUGCAAAUACCAACCGGGAGUAAAGCUCUGCGAACGCCCUUUUGUACCAGCCUUCUUUAAACCGGGAUUAAAAGGAAGCGCAUCGAAAGUUAGUUCUCUACUAAUGGUAGUGUGAAACCCGGUAGUUCCUCAGCUUCUCCUGCUUCGAAUCUGAACUCCCCUCCCCGUGCUGACAGAAAAAGGGGUAUUUAUACCCUAGAGACGCCAUGGUAUAAAAGAGAAGUGGGCGAGGUGAAAGCCCAUGCCGAUCGGCCUAGGUGGGUCCAAGCCGAUCGACCUGGCCCUUCCUUUCAUCCCCAAUUGCUCAAUGGAAACUCUCAUUUCAUCAAGUCUCUCAAAGCCUAUGCUAGAACAUUGUCAACCUAUUCUACUUACAAACAAGUGGUAGGCUUAUCUGGAUCUUGGUAGGUAGAAACAGUCCUUGCAAAGUAUAAUAGUCAGAAUAUUAUCAAAUUAGGAAACACUUCUAUUGGGUUGUCAAAAAGGUCAUGGAGAAAUAGUUGCUUAUAGAGAGAGAAUGGAACACACACUUUUUUAGAUGGCGGACAUGUGCAAGGGAAAAUAGGUGAUCCCGAGACACAAAUGAAGUUAUUGUUAUCGAGUUGCAUAUGGUUAGAAAAUUUUAGUGUUAACCCUGCUCUUAAUCAUAUGUAACAAGACAUGGCACUCCAUUUAGAUGUUCAAUUAAUAUUCUAGCUUAUUAUUAUGGAGGAUAGACAUUUUUCAAUGAUGAACAAGCCACAAAGAAUUUAGAACAAUGCUCUCAAAUUUAAAUCAACUUCAGAACUUUUCUUUCAAUGGAGCAUAAUUUUCAAACAGGACUAGAUCAACAUCAGCAACAGAAUUCUUGCAAUUGCUCAAUGGAAACUCUCAGCUCAUCAAAUCUCUCAGAGCCUAUGCUAGAACAUUGUCAACCUAUUCUACUCAUAUAAACAAGUGGUAGGCUUAUCCGGAUCUUGGUAGGUAGAAACAGUCCUUGCAAAGUAUAAUAGUCAGAAUAUUAUCAAAUUAGGAAAUACUUCUAUUGGGUUGUCAAAAAGGUCAUGGAGAAAUAGUUGCUUAUGGAGAGGGAGAGACUGGAACACACACUUUUUUAGAAUGUUGACAUGUGCAAGGGCAAAUAGGUGAUCCCGAGACACAAGUGAAGUUCUUGUUAUCUAGUUGCACAUGGUUGGAAAAUGAGUAUGGAUUUACCUUUAGGGGACUGGGAAAUUUAUGAAGCUCAAAGAACUAUUGAGAAUUUUUAUUAUCAUCUUUCUUUUUGCUCUUUUUCUUCUUUUUCUCAUCUCAUUUUUAAUUUUAUUUUUUAAUUUUUUUCUUUUGCUUCCUUAGAACUUUUUGCAACAUAAUACUUACUUAGCAGUGGUCAGAGAUAACGCGAUGACUCCAACCCCCAUGCUUGAACGAUGCUCGUCCUCGAGUAUGAAAGAGAGAACUAUUGUGACCCUUUUGAGAUUCAUUUGAUGCUUUCAUGAUCAAGAUCACCUGCACUCCACCUAUAUAUGCUAAACUCCUACACUAGUAGUUCACAACAAUUAUCACCCAUCCAUUCCACAAAAUAAAUACUCCACUACAUAUGUUGAUUUCUCUCAAGUUAUCAUUACAAAAGAAACAUGGGCUAUUGAAAAAGAGAGGGACACAUGAAGGUCCCAGUAUAGAAAAAAAUAUGAACACAUGAAGGUCCAAGUAUUAAAAAAAUGAAGAAAAAAAGGAGUCGGACACAUGAAGGUCCAAGUAUGUGAAUAAAGUGGAAGAUAGCCAUGUUCUCAAUAUUAAAUAUGUCCAAAGGGAGAGAGAUUAUAUAAAAUGGAGUUUCCAUACAUUCCCUAUCCACCACCCACAUAUUCACACACAUGCACAUCUUGAUCUGAUUGUAUGACUUGUUUUCUCCUUAAAUCCGGUUUUUGAAUUUGCAAUAUAUGUAAUACAAGUAUGCUUUAUUUUCAUCCCCUACCUUGAGCUCCACAAAAAGCUUUAUUAGAAGUAGGAAGGAAAAGAGGCAAACAAAUGCCUCGGUAAGGAACCAUACACAUUGAGCGAUCUGAGAUAAUCAUUCGAGGAGCAAGUCUAUGCUUUGUUCUGAGAAUAUUUCAAAAACCUAAGAUAUCUGAGUACGAGAAGUUUGUUACUUCUCUUCUUCCUUUUUAUAUAUGUGCUCUUUUAUUGUACACAAUACUAAGCUAUACUACUGUUCAAAAAGGACUAGUAUACAAAUAUUUGACGGUUAAGAUUAAUUGUAUACUACUGAAACCUUCACCUGUGGUAUGGGUAGUAUACAUGACUAGUAUAAGGGUAUUAUGGUAAAAGAACACAAAUGAUAUCACUAAAAUUUUAUUUUUGACACUAGCAUAAAGUUUAAAAUGCCAUUUCAUUUGAAAUAUCACUUUUCACAUGUAAUAAUUACUAAAUCAUGAAUAUUUAUAUCUUAUAUAUACUUAUAUACUACUAAGUAGUAUAAGCAGCAGGGGAUUACCCCUCGUGUUCCUAAAGAUAAAAUAGAUUACAACUCCAGCGGACGUGCUACAAUUCUUCAGGGCGCCGUGCCUGCCCUGAAAAAUUCCUGAAUGAGGGACGAUUUGCCGAUGAAUACUGCUGAAAUCAACAAGCUGGCCAAGAGCCUUAAAAAGUGGUUGAAUGUUGAAAGCUAAAGUAAGCAAAGCGCACUUGAUCAGUCCAACACACAACUUCCACAAAUUAAACAUGAGCUAGCACGAAGCAGUUCAUCACGAGAUCGACACACGACUGUGCGGACAUGAAGUUGUUGAUGCAUGCGGUCUCUGAUCAUCACGUACCAGCAGGCGGUGAUUUACCAUUACCGCCUGCCACUGCUGGCGGAGGAGACGGUGCCGGCGGAGUGCUCCCCCAUGAGACCGGGUACUCCAGUUCUUCUUCCGUCUUGCAAGGGACCUUGCCGCCGUCCGGGGUGCUUGCAUCGCUACGGAGGAAGGUAACCGGCCAGCAGUAAUAGGUCUUGUUGAUGAUCUUCUCCGAGUGAGCACGCUUGUAGCUGGUCUCCACCACCACCAUCACGGGGAAGCUGCGGUGGUGCCUGUCGGAGAGGUAGUGCACCGACGCGUAUUGUCCUUGCCUGUAGAGGCUUACCCACCUCCUGUACCUGUGCGAGCUGUGCGGCUGCAGGUCGAAGAUGACGUUCGUCUCCGGCUGGUACCAUAAGAACUGCACCAUCUCCGUGAAGGAAGCAUUGGGGUUGUCUAUGACCCUGAUGAUGCUGAUGUUGCACUGGAUCUGGCCGCGGCCGCUGGGGUUGAGGGCGUCGACGAUGAUCAGCAUCGGCACCUCUCCCGCUGGCGAGUACACAGACGUGGUGUUGUCGUAAAUCCACCACCAUUGUUGUGUCUGGACAUAGCCGUAGCUCUGGAGGUCCAUCUCCACGGGGCGGUUGACGAAGACGAUCACCAUCACCACCACCGCGACGGCGAGCACGGAGACCACGACGGCCACCAGUGAGCGCACCGUGGCUAGGAAGGGGAAUGUAGUGUUCUGGCCAGCGCGGCAUGUUGCCAUUUUUUCUCACGUAGGUAGCUAGGGCGGUGGAUGAUGGACUUGUCCGCUAGGGACCUGCAGCCAUAUAUACACAUAAAUUACUGACCGAAUGUUCAUUCCCUUUUUUUGGUUAGAUGACUCAGAUUAGUCUACCGGUUAACAGGGGGCUUGGCUAACAAUUAGGCUGCCUAUUAACCUCCUGUUAGGAUCAGCCAUGGCAAAGUUUUGACGGUUAACGAUCUCCCUAUAUAUCUAAACAAGUUCUUAGGUCAUGUUCCGUUCUUUAGGAGCUCCUAAAAUUCAUGUCACAUUCGAUGUGACAUGAAUUUUAGUCUGGACUAAAGAACCAAACACCCCAUUACUCCCCUCCCCCUCCCACCUCCCACACCAAUGUUCAAAAUUUUGGCCGAAAUUUCAUGAAAUUUGAUCUUUUGGUAGUGACCGAAAUUACUAUUUGCCCGAAAUUUCGGUAUGUCAACCGAAAGAUGCACUUUUUGCACCAAAUUUCACAUGAAAUUUCAUGAAAUUAGGUGUUUUCGAUGGGGACUGAAACUUUUCUGAAAACAAAAUCCCAAUCCCUGCCCCACACCGUCCAAGUAGAAUUAGGACACACUCUUUAUACAGUGAUAAUUCAGGCUUCUGCCAACCACAGGAACCGGAGUUGUUUAAUUUUUUGGCAAAAUGUCGUGCAGAUGCUUACAUACAAAGCAUUCGUACAUGCACCAAUUAUGAGUACUUCUGCAACACCGUGUCAUUAUGCUUUCAAUAUCUGGUCUUUAAAAACCUUAGAUUUACCUAUGAUGACUUGGUUAAUUAAUCUCAAGAUCAUCUGCUACCUAGAGUUUUGGUGGCACUGGAUCAUAGGGCACAGUUGUAUGUGUAUUCAUCAGAAUGAGUGCAUGUGCAUCUAUAUGAUGUCCGUGUUUUUUUUAAAAAAAUAAACCUGCGCAGGUCAUGAUGCUUCCACUAUCCUGUCUUAUCUGUUUGGAUACCAGGGGCUAUACUUUAGCUCCUGUCAUAUCAGAUGUUUGAUACUAAUUAGAAGUAUUAAAUAUUGACUAAUCACAAAACUAAUUGCACAGAUGGAGGCUAAUUCGCGAGACGAAUCUAUUGAGCCUAAUUAGUCCAUAAUUUGACAAUAAGGUGCUACAGUAACCAUUUGUUAAUGAUAGAUUAAUUAGGCUACGUCUCGCGAGUUGGUCCAGAAUUUGUGCAAUUAGAUUUAAAAUUAGCUCAUGUUUAAUUCUCCUAAUUAGCAUCAAAACAUUAACUGUGACAAGGGCUAAACUUUAGCCAAGGACAACCAAGCAACAUGCACGCCUAUAUAUGCUCUUUGAUCAGAAAAGGAAAGAAAUAUUCCCAAAAAAAAGGAAUAUGUGCUGCGGUCCAUACACGUUCUUUGAAGAAAUAUUCCAUACUUAUUUUAUGUCAUUGUAGAAGGACUUUGAAUAAGGUUCGAUGGAGUCACGUGGCUGCGUCUGCUGGCAGCUGAUCGAUGAGUCAUAUUACUAUUGGACUUGUGUUUUGGAUGCUUAUGUUUUGGAUUACAUUCAGAAUGUACGGGCAGGGGCGAAGCCACGUAUAAGAUUUUUAUUUACCACUAAUUAGACUCAAAAUUACCAUAUAAUCCUAGCUUGUAAAUUAAAAUUUACAAGUCUCUUGAGCAGUGCACCACGGUCAAUUCAGCGCUAGCUUCGCCCCUUUGUACGGGGAUUAUGCAACCCAGAAACGACGACUAAGAGCCUCAUUUCCGGACAUGCGUCCCUAUGAUCCUUUAUAUACUCCAAAUGUCUGAGUGGCCGGCUCAUACUUGCCAUGGCGAUGUCUAUCCCUCCUCUCAAAGGAUGGAGCAGCAAGCUCCUUGUAGUUGCGGCCAUGAUAGGAACCCUGGUCGUGGUCGCCAUCGCCGCCGUCAUCAUCGUCGGCCUCACUCCGCCACUGGUCUUCUUCUCCAUCCAAGAUGCAAGCCUCCAAGGCGGGCAGUUGAAACAGCAAAAAUUCUACAACUUCACCCUCUAUGCCAACAACACCAGCCGGCGCAUGGAGGUGCACUAUACCAACCUCAACACCGAGAUCUGGAUAGCCCCGUCUGAGUGGUACCCGGCCGAGGUGAGCAUGAGCGGGUUCGAGCAGCCACCGGUGAGCAUCAACGGGUACAAGCAGCCACCGGACAACGUGACCAAGGUCGCCGGGUGGGCCGAGUUCUAUCAGACGACGUCGUUGACGGCGGCGGCGCAGGGCGGCGGCGCGGGGAAUUGGCCAAACUGCACUGUGGUGGUGAUGGCCAAGGUGUUGUUCAAGGUCGGGCUGGCACGCACACGGCCGUACCACAUCAGGGUGUUCUGCUUCCCCGUCAACUUCCUCAAUACGACUCGGUACGCCAAUUGUACAUACUGAUCUCGAUCGACGUGUAUGCAUGCAUCCAUGUUGUUGAACGUGUACAUGACUGUUGUGACGUGCUCCUUUACCAUAGCUUCAGAUCCUGACUUGUAGCAUUGACAGAGUAUGCGUCUAUUAUGGCAGAGAGCCUCUUGUACAUGUAUUUAACUCAAUCCAGAGAUCAAUAAUGAAAGGAUGCGGUUUUUUUUUAGGAAACAGGAGGGGAAGUACCCCUGCUGAUUAUAUAUUAAUAUAUAGUUGACAGUACACUAGUGAUACAAACCUUGUUUAUGACACAAAGAAAGAAACAAAAAAGAUUAAGAAAAUUACAGUGAAUGCUCUAACCAUUGAACCAUUGAUUGUUUCCAAGACUCUCUGACACGAAAUACUACCAAACUGAAAAUCUGUUUGAACCGUUCCUUUGCAGCUUGAUAAGCUGGCACUAGGGCCUUUGAAGAUGCAGUCAUUGCGUGUCAUCCAAAUACUCCAGCUCAUAAUUACGAUAAUUUCCAUAAAGAAAGGCACUUGCAACUGGUUCCAGCUCAUAAUUACGAUAAUUUCCAUAAAGAAAGGCACUUGCAACUGGUUCCAGAAGCUAACGAGAAUAUCAUAAGGUUGUUGCUGCAAAUCCACAAAGAGGCCGAGAUUGAUCCAACACUCCUGUGCGAAUGGACAAUCUAGUAAUAGAUGAAAGAGGGUUUCUUCCUUGUUGUGGUUCCAGAGGACGCAGUUAUAGGAAGGGAGAGCCAUCUGCUUUCGUUUAAGCUCCACUGGCGGCAGAGCCGCAUCCUGUGUCGGCUCAUCCGCGGCAUCCUGUGGGUGCGAAGCAUGCUAAGCCACCCUAACCUCUGCUUCAAGCAGCUCUCCGUGCUAGGGUUCUUCCAACUGUCGUCGCCUUCGCCGUUCAUGGUGCCAACCAAGGCAGUGCCCAAGGAGGUAAUUAAAGAUUUCUUCAUCGGUAAUGUCGCGCGGUUCUUGGUUUCAAGUACUGCCUGUAUUUUUUUAUUUUUUAUUUUUGCCUUGUCAUUUGGUCCGUCAGAACUAAGUUUGUCGAAUUCCUUCUGAAUAAGCUUGAGACGCUGGUCGUGCUUGUUUGUUGGUGUGCCUACGUGCCGCGUAGUUGUCGUAGCAAAUACUUUCGGUUCCAUAUCGCCUGUGACUGGACCGGGAUGUUCUUCAAUCUGUUAUGGCCCUGUAUUCUGUUUUUAUAUGGAUCCCACAUAUAAUCAAUUUCCAACAUUUGCUUUCCUCUGUACAUUCAGCAUGUUGUCUUUUUUUUUUUUUUGAAGCGCAUUCAGCAUGUUUCGCAGAUGUUUGGAAGGAUGAUCCAAAUUCUGAAUGCACAGACCCUGUUGGGAAAUUGAUUUCCCCACUGCGUGUCUGUGUUUACAUGCAUCUUCUAACUGUGGUUCCAAUGGCCCGUCUAGGCCCAUACAGGCCUAUCAGGUGGAUGGGCCGGCCGGCCUCCUGGAUCAACAAGACCGGUAUCCCUUCUUGGCCCGUCCGCCCCCGCUGUAGAAACAAAACCAGAACCAGCAGAUCCCCCGGGCCCUGAAGAGAAAGACGAUGGCAACAGAAGAAAGAGCUCGCGACGAAGCCGGCGAAAGCCCCCCAAACCCUCCCCAGCCCAGGCAGCGGCGGCGCGACGAGAUGGCCGACGACCCCACCGCCGGCGGCGGGAACACCGUCGAGGACGUCGUCCGCGCGGAGGUGAGCAUCCCCGGCCGGCCCUCGUCCUCUUUGCUGCGAGUGCCGGGGAAUCCGAUCUCCGCCCGGGCCGACCUGGCUCUGCUCGGCUGCCUCCCGAUCUGCCCGCGCGGGUGGCGGCGCCUCGCCCCUAGUUCGGUUUCGGGUUAGAGGUGUCCCAGCGUGGUGUCUGGGCGGGGGGAAUCCGGCGACGAGGCGUUCUCCCUCCCGUUGGCUCGGUUGGCGCGGACGGACGCGGUGGGCCUGGUUGGGGAAAUCUGUGCCCGUUUCGAUUUGGGUGUAGAAUAGGUAUACGUCUUCAAAAUUGAUAGAAUUAGGCCCGUUUAUAAAAAAUUGAUAGAAUCUGCCUGCAAGGCGCGGUUUCCCAGCUGGCCCGUCCUCAUUUACUAAUCCCCACCAAGCUUAGCAUCUUUCCUUUCGAUGAAAUAAAAAAAUGUUAAUGUCAACAGCUCCUCGAUUACCGCAUAGAUUAACACCUCUUUAGCCUUUGUGGCACGGCACCUAAUACUUUCCUCACCUUUGCAGUGCCGUGGGCCCGCCACUUCCCUUCUGGCCCACAAGUCAUGGAGGCGCGCGAGGAGGGGUAUCGGUUUCACGAUGAUUAAUCAAGAAAGGCCCAAGACACGUCACGCUGGGGGUGGGGGAGGGAAGACACCGCACCGCAUGCACCUGCAUGCACCUUUGCCUUUGCUUUUCCCCGGCGUCCUAGGGACCUCGAGCUCGCCCGCCUAGGAGCUCCAGCAGCCGGGCCGCUCCGCCGCCGGUGCGGCAACCACGCCGCCGUCAGACCACCUCGCGCGGCCACCCCGCGCCGGUGCGCCGUGCGCGGCGGUGCUGUCCCGCCGCUCCUCCGCCUACCGUCCUCCUGCGCCACCACCAGCUAGCGCACCGGCAGCACCGCGAGCUGCCGCGCCGCCCCGACGACGUUGGUCAUUCCGGAGCCCGGUGUCGUCACCAGCGUCGCCGGAGAAGGUAAUUACCUGAAGCAAUUUGUAGAAACGAAUAGUACUGGUUCGUUCACUUAUUUCAUUGCUCAAACUUAAUUUCUGCUUAUUAGAGUUUGUGCCUUGUCGUGAGACUAAAUUAGCUGCUUAUUCUGCAGGUUGCAUUCAGGAGAUCGAGCUGCCGGAUCGGAGGAGGUCAUAUCAGCCGUGUUGGUUGUGCACUUGUGUUGCUGCCGGCGGAGAAGGAACCAUGGUGAUCGGGCCACUGAUCUCCAUAAUGUAGUUGAACUAAAAUAAUCCCCUUCUGAGUUUAGCAUCUUUCCUUUGGAUGAAAUAAAAAAUUGUUAUUCCGGAUCCGUAAUCUCAACUGCUCCUCCAUUACACAUAGCAUCUUUCCUUGAGUUUAGCAUAUUAUUUCAACAUUUCAAAACUCUAGAUUCAACAUUUCUUGAAACUUAGUGCAACAUUUUAGAUAAAUCGAUUCAACAUUUAGCAUAGUAUUGUUGAAAAUGUUGAGCUAGUAUAUGUUAUUUCAACAUUUCUGCAAAGCUAGCUCAACAUUGAGGUAAUGUAGUUCAACAUUUUGUGUAGUAUUGUUAAAAUAGUGUAUCUAAAAUGUUGAGCUAAUACACAAAAAGUGUUGAGCUAGUAUAUAUUAUUUAAACAUUUCAAAAGUCUAGAUUCAACAUUUAUGGAAACCACAUUUUAGAUAAACUGGUUCAAUAUUUUGCAUAGCAUUGUUGAAAUAGUGUACCUUAAACGUUGAGCUAAAUAUAUAAAAAUGUUGAGCUAAUAUAUCUAAAAUGAUGAAACUAAGAAAAUAAAAAUGAAAAAAAUAUAUACAGUCAUGUGGGAUCUUAAUCCGUUAGAAAAAUUUCGAAAAGGCUCAUAGUUUAAUCGGAAUUAAAAUUAAAUGCACCGUUAGAGAGAUAAGUAAGUUGAAAAGUUCGAAAUCAAAACUCACAUCACCCAACAAGUAGCUGAAACCUAUCCGUCCUUUCAGCAGCUCCACCCACCUCGCACCAGCAUACUAGCACAUGGUGGUCCCCAGCCACCUCGAUGCCGUUGCGUCGAAGGAGAGGGCGGAACCGACGAGGGUCGCCGGCGGCUCCCACCCCGGCCGAACGCGUCCUGACCGACUCCGGCAGGGGGCGGCAGGGCCUCCCGCAGGUGAGCGCUUCCAUCCGUGGUCCGCAGCAGUAAUGUCUGAUUUUUCGCUUUCUUCUCCAGAAUUCGUCGCAUAUACUUAUAUGUCAUCGUCCUCUUAUUUUUCGCUUUCUUCUCCAGAAUUCGUCACAUAUACAAAGCUUUCACGAUUUCGAUGAGAGAUUUGGUCAUGUUUGUGGCCACGGAGACACAGUCUAGCUAGCGUAGUGAAAAGUGGCACUAGUGAUUGCAAUACGCACGGAAAUUGGUUUUUUGUCUGUUCUUUCUCCAUCUCAAUCAUCAAUCAAAUGGGGGUAGUCGUCGGUACGCCGGGUGGGCCGAGUUGGCCAAACUGCACAGUGGUGGUGGCAGCCAAGGUGUUGUUCAAGGUCGGGCUGGCACGCACACGGCCGUACCAUAUCAGGGUGUGUCCUGCUUCCCCGUCAACUUGGGGAGGUGGGCCAAGCGACAGCUAGCUGUGGUGUGGUGGGCAUCCAGCAGGCGCGCAGGGCCCAGCCGUGGCCGUGAUUAUGCGCCGGGGUGAGAGAAGAAGACACGGCACCUAAUACUUUCCUCACCUUUGCAGUGCCGUGGGCCCACCACUUCCCUUCUGGCCCACAUGUCAUGGAGACACGUCAGGCUGUGGUGGACAAGGGAAGACACCGCACCGCACGCACCUCCACCACUUGCCUUGCCUUUGCCUUCGCUUUUCCCACUUGUGCUGUGGGAAGACACCGCAUACACCUCCAGCUCGAGCUCGCCCGCCUAGCUAGGAGCUCCAGCAUCCGGUCCGCUCCGCCGCCGGUGCAGCAACCACGCCGCCGUCAGACCGCCUCGCGCGGCCACCGGUCGUCCCCGCGAUACACCGCCGCCGGUGCGCCGUGCGCGGCGGCGCUGUCCCGCCGCUCCUCCGCCUACCGUCCGCCUGCGCCACCACCAGCGCACCGGCAGCACCGCGAGCUGCUGCGCCGCCCCGACGUUGGUCCUUCCUGAGCCCGGUGUCGUCACCAGCGUCGCGGAGAAGCUAAUUACCUGGAGCAAUUUGUAGAAACAAAUAGUACUGGUUCGUUCACUUAUUUCUUUGCUGAAACUUAAUUUCUGCUUAGAGUUUGUGCCUAAAUUAGCUGCUUAUUCUGCUGGUUGCACGCAGGAGAUCGAGCUACGGGCGUACGGCCGGAUCGGAGGAGGACAUAUCAGCCGGGUUCCUGUUGGUUGUGUACUUGUGUUCCUGCCGGCAGAGAAGCAACCAUGGCCGAGUUACUGAUCGGGCCACUGAUCUCCAUGGUGAAGGAGAAGGCAUCCAGCUACCUGCUGGACCAAUACAAGGUGAUGGAAGGCAUGGAGGAGCAGCGCAAGACCCUGGAGCGCAUGCUGCCAGCAAUCCUGCAAAUCAUCCAGGAUGCGGAGGAGAAAGGAGCCUCCCGAUCUAAAGUUGCAGUUUGGCUUAAAGACCUCAAGACAGCGGCCUAUGAGGCCAACGACGUCUUUGAUGAGUUCAAGUACGAGGCGCUUCGGCGAGAAGCCAAGAAGAAGGGCCACCAAAGCAAGCUUGGAGCGGAGGUAGCAAGACUCCUAGUCCCCGCUCGUAAUUCCAUUGUAUUCCGUUACAGGAUGGGCAAGAAGCUAAGCAGGAUUGUGCAGACCAUCGAGGCCCUGGUCACCGAGAUGAAUAAAUUUGGUUUCAGACACUUGCAGCAAGCACAGCCAUCAAGGCAGUGGCGACAGACAGAUUCCAUAAUCAUUGACUCCGACACAGAUAUUCUUAGCAGAUCUAGAGAUCGGGAGAAGAAGAAAAUCGUGGGGAUGCUCCUUGAUCAAGCUAGCAACAUGGAUCUCAUGGUUCUUCCAAUUGUUGGGAUGGGUGGGAUGGGCAAGUCCACCUUUGUGCAACUCAUUUACAAUGACCCUGCAAUCGAGAAGCACUUUGAGCUUCGGAGGUGGUGCUGCGUGUCAGAUGAUUUCGAUGUCAGUACCAUUGCAAGCAACAUCUGCCAGACCAAUGAGAAAUAUCGUGAAAAAUCAUUGCAGGAGCUCCAGAGUACAAUAAGUGGAAAAAGAUACCUCAUUGUGUUAGAUGAUGUAUGGAAUCGGGAUGCUGAUAAGUGGGGAAAACUAAAGACCUGCCUUAAGCAGGGUGGCAAGGGCAGUGCGGUACUAACAACAACUCGUGAUGCAGAAGUGGCUCGCAUUAUGACCAUGGGUGUAGCUCAAGCCCAUAAUAUCGAGAAUCUGAGUGACGAGCAUUUAAAGGAAAUUGUCCAGAGCAGAGCAUUCAGCUUGCAAAAUCCAAAUAUGGAAGAGCAAGAUGGCAUUCUCAGUGGAUUUGUUCGUCGAUGCGUUGGAUCUCCCUUGGCUGCCAAAGCCUUUGGCUCUAUGUUGAGUAACAGGACUAGUGUAAAUGAAUGGAAGGAUGUAUUAGCUAAAAGUGACAUUUGUAGUGAGAAAACCGGAAUUUUACCGAUCCUCAAGCUCAGUUUUGAUGACCUAUCCUCAGAUAUGAAGCAGUGCUUUGCAUUUUGUGCUUUAUUUCCUAAAGAUUAUGAGAUUGAUGUGGACCUCUUGAUUCGACUGUGGAUGGCACAUGACUUCAUACCUGUGCAGGAGGAUGACAAUCUAGAAACCAUAGGAAAAUAUAUUUUUGAGGAGCUAACUCGGAGGUCAUUCUUUCAAGAUGUCAGGCAAACACUUCAAUUUGACUAUUUUGGAAGCAGGUUGUCGCUUCGUAAGUCAACCAUAUGCAAGAUACAUGAUCUCAUGCAUGACAUUGCUCUAUCUGUUCUGGGGAAAGAAUGUGUCACUAUAGUUGGUAAGCCGAGCGUCAACAAGCUGUUGCUAAAUCCGACCCGCCACGUCUUCUUAUCACUAUAUGGUUUCAAUCCUACUUUCUGGAAAGAACAGGUUACAAGUCUACUAGAUCAUCUAUUGAAGAAACAAACUGCAAUGCUCCAUACGUUGUUUAUCAAAGAUUAUGGUCAACCCCUUGAUAUAUCAAAGUACACUUCACUGCGAGCAUUACACCUUCCAGCAAAUGAAGAGCUAAGGUAUCCUAAUCUGUCGCCACAUGAACAGCUUACAAGACACAUACAACACCUAAGGUAUCUUAAUCUGUCAUCACAUUGGUUCGAGAAACUUCCUGAAGGUAUAAGCAUUAUGUAUCAUCUACAAACGUUGGACCUCUCUCAUUGCAAAUACCUUCGUCACCUUCCAAAGGAUAUGAAGUAUAUGGCAAACCUCCGACACCUCUAUACCCAUGGAUGCAUAUCAUUGACAUGCAUGCCUCCAGGACUUGGACAGAUCACUUCUCUGCAGACUCUAACAUAUUUUGUUAUUGGUGAUGGCUUGGGAUGUAGUACUAUUGGGGAACUUCAAAACUUAAACCUUGGUGGAGAGUUAGAGUUAAGUGGUCUGCAAAAUGUAACAGAAGUGCUUGCAAAAGCAGCCAGUCUUGAAAAUAAAGAGAGACUCACACACUUAUCUCUCGCGUGGAAUGAUGAUGCCCGUGAGAAACCAGAUUCUCAUAAUGAGGUGUUAGAUGCCCUUAAACCUCAUCACCGGCUAGAGAUGCUAAGAAUAAAGUCCUACAAAGGCACCAAAUUACCGUCAUGGAUAACAGAUCUUAGUCUGUUGCAGCACUUGACUGAGCUCCAACUGGUUGGUUGUAGGCUGUGCGAGGAAUUUCCUCAAUUCUGCCAUUUCAAAGCCCUUGAAGUUCUGUAUUUGAAAAAGUUGGACAAAUUGCAAAGCCUAUGCAGUCAUAUGGUGUCUACGCCAUUUCCAGCACUGAAGCAACUCCAGUUACAUGAUUUGGAGAGCUUGGAGAGAUGGGUCGCAACAGAAGGAAAAGAAGAUGAAUUAUCCUUUCCUGUACUUGAGGAGGUUGAAAUAGAGAACUGUCCAAAGUUGACUAGCCUACCUGAAGCACCAAAGCUCAAGGUUGUAAAGCUGGAUGAAGGCAAGCCGCUGCUCUCCUUAGGAAUAGUUAAAUCAAGGCACAUGUCUUCAAUUUCUAAGCUACUACUGCGUGUCCGUGACACAGAAGCACUGCCUCAGAUAGAUUAUAAUUGGGAUUCAUCACAGAAACUGGAACUAUCUUUGGGUGGCACAGAAGCCGCACCUCUGUCACAACUGAGCAUAUUUGGCUGCAACUUUUUAUUCGUAUCAAGCCACUCACAGCUAACACCUGGGGUCUGGAAAUGGUUUGAACAUCUUGCAGUUUUAACAAUUGCAAAAUGUGAUGUGCUCAUCUACUGGCCAGAAGAAGUGUUCCAAAGCUUGGUAUCUUUGAAGUACUUGUUCAUUUUCUCCUGCAACAAGCUAAUAGGGCCCACACAAGCGAAAGGUGACAAACCUACACAAACAACAGAUCAAGUCCUGCCACAUCUAAACAUGAUACGUAUACACAAUUGUGAAAGCAUGGCACAGCUCUUCAUUCUUCCCCCAUCUAUCAGAAUUAUUCAUAUUUUUGAGUGCCCUAAGCUUGAGUUCAUAUGGGGAAAAGAGGAGCAUCUUGACACAUAUGCAUCGCUGGAACAUUGCCGCGACCCUGCAUCCACCACUGGUAACCUAGAGCAAUCGCCGUCUCCAAUUAUUCGCCGUCCAUGCCUUGUAGAUCUAACUAUAAGAGGAUGUGAUAGCCUGGUAACACUUCCAAAUCUACCACCGUCCCUCAAGGAAUUAUUCAUCCGGAAGUGUGAGAAGCUCUGCUCUGUGUCAGGAGACCUGUGUGCACUCGAGACCCUACAGAUUGUUAACUGCAAUAAGUUACAGUCAGUCAAUUCCUUGGGAGACCACCCAUCAUUAGAAACACUGUUUCUUUCUGGCUGCCGAUGCCUUGCAUCUUUAGGAUGUGAUGGUGGUCGUGGGAGUUACUCUGCUCUUCAGUGCCGUGAGAUCGAAGACUGCCCAGCCAUAGAUAUGAAGCAGUUUUACUAACGCCAUCAAACAGCUGCUUGACAGCUUUGAAUAUGAAGACGUAUCACACGUUCAUUCAAGCAGCUCUGAUGAAGGUACGACCUUUCACUUUCCUCUUAUUCAAUUUGUUUCCUUCAAAUUUCCCUUCUUUGCAUGCCCUCCUAUUUUGUUGACGAUCUGGUUUAUAGAUGGGCUUGCGGGGUGGGAUUUUGGGGUUUCAUCUUCGUUCCGGCUUUUAGACGGUCCUUUCUCACUGACGUGACCCCACAUAUAUUUUAGUUUAUACGGCUAUUGGUUUUCAGUCUUCGAUGCAGUUGAAGUGCAUAGGGAAAUUCUGGAAACAUGUUCUAUCCCUUGGUGUUGAGAUCAGCUGAUGCGGAAUCACUGAAGUACUACUGAAACGAGAUCCUGAUCGGUCUCAGUUGUGGAGAGCAAUUUGUGAUGAAUGGAAGCAGUCCCAAGGCUUCAAGAACUCAUGGAGUCGUGCUGUACCAUUCUCCACUGCCAGGGCCUAAACUAGGUACAUGGAAGGCGCACAGGUUGGGAUAGUAAAAAACCAUACCUUUGUCUGUGUUAGAGCAACUCCAAGAGGCUGCUAAUCUUACCCCAAUACCUUUUUUAGGAAAAAAAAAGAGAAAAAAUGAACUCCAACAAUCCACCUAAACCUUCCCCAAUUUUUUAGCGACGCUAAAAAACAGCCUGCCAUCGCGUAUAUUUUAGCGUUGGCGUUCCUUCCCCAAUCCUGAUUCCCGCACACCCGCGCGUCCCUUCCGAUGGGCCCAAUACGAUGACGUGGCCUGUGUUUGAAAUAUUGGGGGCUAUUUAUUAGCGAUCUGUUGUGGACUGAUAUGCUUUUGGGGGAAAUUUUUUUUGGGAGAACCCCCAAUACAUAGUUUUGGGGAAGAAUUUUUUAGGAUACUCUUGGAGUUGCUCUUAGAGCAUCUUCAAGAGUCUGCCAAAAAACUCUUCCCCAAAACCACAUCAUCCCACAAUAGAUCCCUAAUAAUAAAUUUUCCAAUAUUUUAAAAUUUGCCACAUCAGCAUGCGUGGACCCUAAGCUGGGCUGCCCCCUUCCCCCGCUGGAGCGUUUUCGCGCUUUCGCACUGUGGCUGCCUGAGCAGGGGUUGGUCUGUGCUGAUUUGCUGAACCAUGCAUAUUAUAUGCACUGGGACUGUCAUGCCCUCAGAAAAGCAUCAUCAUCUACUGGUAUGACGUCAAUUCAGCCUCAAACUCUCAACACUGAAGGCCUUCGAGGACUAGGACUACGCCAGCGCCACCCAUUGAAUCCCAUCCCCAUCUCGGCCACGUGCCAUGCCAUGCCCAGCCGUGGGGCACUGGGCAGCCCACGUGCAGCCACUUGUGGCCACGGACGCCCAGCCAGACCAUCACCCCCAAGAGGAGGAACGCCUUAUCUUUUCACCAUGAGAAAGCAGAGUCUAACGGUCCGUGGGCAAUAGGAAAAUCAGCACCGGCGGACUCCUGUGUUCACCUUCAUAUUUUUCGUGGUCUAUAUUAUGCGAGUUAUAGCAGUCCUAGGGAAUUUGUUUGGUGUCUCGGAGUUGUCAUAUUCCUAUUAAUGAUUGUGACAGCUUUUAUAGGAUACGUACCACCUUGGGGUCAGAUGAGCUUUCGGGGAGCAACAGUAAUUACAAGCUUAGCUAGCGCCAUACCAGUAGUAGGAGAUACCAUAGUGACUUGGCUUUGGGGUGGUUUCUCCGUGGACAAGGCUCUUGGAGUUGCUCUUAAUCAAUUCUCAUUUAGCACUCUGUUGUUAACAUGUUACCCCCAUGCUUUUCAUUUUUUCUGUGCAGACAUGACCCAUUUAUCCUUAAAAGGCAUAAAGGAGGGCACUCACAUGUACGCACGACUGGCAACUGGAAGCUUCGUUGCAAGCCUCUGCUAACGACCAAGUUUGUUUUCACGCCACUAUACCAGCUGCUGGUAAUUCUCUUGUCACUAAUGUCAUCCUGUCAUCCAUCAAAGCCGUGGAGAAUAUGAUGCCACUCUGAGUCCUUCAGUUUGCCACGUGAGCCGAUGAAGCAGAAACAGAUGAUGAUGAUGGAUGAUAUAACUGCGGGGAUGCAGACUUGCUUUCAACGGUCGAAAUGGAGCUACAAAUGAUUAGUCGUAGUCGUGUGUGGUCCUUCCAUCACCUUGUGUUAUUGAUCCCGUUUGUAUGUGUUGCGUUCUCUAUAUCCCUCCAUAGCUUUUCAGUUGUUGUCUCUUUUACGACUAUUUUGAUUCCUCUUUUCCUUUUUAUUAAUAUAACACAAAAAUCCUCUUGCCAUGUUUUUGAAAAAACAAAAUCGUGAGGAUGCUGCUUCAUGAAGCUAGCAACAUGGAUCUCAUAUGGUUCUUCCGAUUGUUGGGAUUGGUGGGAUGGGCAAGACCACCUUUAAUUUGUGCAACUCAUUUAUGACCCUGAUCGUGAUGCAUUUUGAGCUUCAGAGGUGGUGCUGUGUGUCAGAUUCGAAAAUGUUUUUUGACUCUUUCAUCACCGCCUUCAGUAGCUCAUGCCGGUCAGGUCUUCUCCAGUGACCAGUUCCUUCACCUUGGUUGCGCACCCCCUCACCUGGGCUUGCAGCUAGGUCAUAGCCUUGGCAUUCCGCAUCAUCUCAGCCAUGGCAUAGUCUAGUGCUACGUAGGUUGUGUCCGUCCCGGCUUCAAACAUGUCCUUCAUGAACAUAUCCGUAGAACUCCAAUCAAAUUUAACCAAACUAGUCAUGAAACAUGUCAUAUGUACCUCUUGUGAGAAUUAAAUUGGAGGCUUAAAAUCCUUCAAUUAGUAACAGUAAGAAAUUAAUUAAAAUUUGGAGUUUUGUUGCAUACAAGUUGCCAGUCACCAGUACAGAAAUGACCUUUAGUCCUGGUUAGGAAACCUUGGGAAACCUCAAAGAGCUCGGUUUUCCCGACCGGGAUUAAGUAUUCGGGAUUUAGUCCUGUAACACCAUGUGCUUUGCCUUAUAAUGAAAGCCACUAAAAAUUCGAACUUCUAAAAUUUUCCUAUAAACUAAAAUGUGCCUUGCUAUUUCAUACCUCAAAACCCUUUCAAAAUAAAUUUUACAAAACAACCUUCAUCAAAAUUCACCAUAUGCAUUUUAUUGUGCUUGUUUGAGUGUUGUUUGCUUGUGUGCUUUGUUGAAUCUUUUGGUGGCAACCAACCCCUUGACCUCCUUUCCAAAUUUCCCACAAAUCCUUGUUAAACAUCCCUUCGAAUUCCUCAAAUCCAUUCAAACUCCAUUUCAAAUCUCUUCCAAAAUUAUUCAAACCAUUUCCUUGGGUGCAGGCUCAAUUUCCCUCUCCUCUCCUUUCGGCCUGGCGUGGCUUGCUUCUCCUUCUCCCUUUCAGCCCAGCUCGGCCCGCCCCUCCUCGCCUUCUUCUUUCCCGAGCAGGCCACCUCCUCCUCCUCCUUUACUUCCGCACGGCCCGGUCCAGCCCACAACGGCCGCCACCUCUCUCUUCCUCUCCGCACCAGCACCGCCCAUGAGAAUGGCCCGUGACGACCCGGCUCCCACUCCAUGUCAGCAUUGCGUCCGCACACAGCCGCUGAUGAGUAGGUCCCACUCAAUAGCGUCAUCCCCAACCUCGUGUCGUCUUCCCCAAUGCGUCUCGUUGCCGCCGCCUUGUCCCAUCUCCGCCCGUCGCCUAUGCCGUCGUGCCGGCCCCGAAGAAAUAUCUCGCCGCUCCAUCCCAUCAUGGCCCCACCUGUCAUCCCGCACGGUCCUAAAAGAUCUCCGCCGCCCGCUCCACGGACCUCUGUGCACAAUCGACCUCUCGCGGCUAUAAAAGCUGGCGAGCCCCGCCAUCGCUCCCCGCACCUCAAGCUCGAGCUCCCUCCCUCUUCUUCUGCUCGAGCUCGCCUCCUCCCUCUUUAGUCCUCUCCUCCCUCCACCGGAGCACGGCUUCCUCCGAAGCCACGCCUCGCCGAGCCCUGCCCUUCCCUCUUCCUGUCUAGCGCGCCACCGCACAGAACUGCCAGCCAAGCACUAGCGCCGCCACCGUGACAAACUCGAGGAGGACAAAGUGCCGAGCGACGUUGGAUCGGUAACAAGCGGCCCUGAUCUGCCUGAGCUAAUUCGCGUCCCACACCCGAUGACAAGUAGGCCCGAGUCUAACGCCGAAAAUGCCGUCUGUUGGUGACCAGUGGGCACCACAUCAGCAAGCAAGCUCCCAGACAUCACCAUGGCACUGGGAGGGUGCCUCGCAAGCACCACGCGGACACACCCGUAGCAAAUGACACGUCAUCAUGGGUCCACAUGUGAGUUACUGUGUGACACUGUGCGGUCAACAGUCAACACUGACCAGGGACACACCUGGAGUAACUGUGUCGACGGUAAAAUUACUACGCGUACUCAGGUUAGUGUACACGGAAGUCUCGUUUACCCCUUUCCUUGCACAAGCAAGCUCCCAGACAAAUUGUCACUCGCCAUGGCACUGGGAGGGUGCCUCGCAAGCGCCACGCGGACACACCCGUAGCAAAUGACACGUCAUCAUGGGCCCACAUGUGAGUUACUGUGUGACACUGUGCGGUCAAUAGUCAACACUGACCAGGGACACACCUGGAGUAACUGUGUCGACGGUAAAAUUACUACGCGUACUCAGGUUAGUGUACACGGAAGUCUCGUUUACCCCUUUCCUUGCACAGAAAAAUUUCCAAAAAAUUCCUAAAAAUACUAGAGCCACCCUAUAACCCAUCCAAACCUUUUGCACCCCAUUUCCAUCAUACAAAAUUAUGGGAAAAUAAAUUUCACCACUCAGGCACUCAUAAAUUCCAAUAAAUCACAUAAAUUCCCGAUAAAUUCCCAAAAAUCAUCUCUCCUGUCAAACUCCGUUUCUGUCAAUUCUUCCACCAAAAUUCUUCUAAAAUUAAAUCCUUGAUAUCCCUUCCGGUGCCACCAUUAGUUUCUUUGUUUGAUUCUUGAUUUGUUCAUGUAUUGCUCUUCGACCUGUUAGUCACUAACAUCACACAAACCCCUUAUGCUCAUGCAUGCAUAUACACUGUAGCAUGUAUACAACUAUAUGAGUAUACAUACACCCCCCUUCACACACCUACCACCGAUACUUUUUUUAUUUUUGUUUUUGCAAAAAAAAAAUCAAAACUAUUUAGUCCCAGUUGGUAAUACCAACAGGGACUAAAAGGGGCGGGAGGUAGCCACUGGCGCCGUGAUCGUUUUCUUCCGGUUGGUAUUACCAACUGGGACUAAAAGGGGAUAUUAUAUCCCGGUUUUGGGACCCGUGAUAAAAGACCCCCCUAUCUCGACAAGUUAAUCCUAGAUGCAUUUUCGGAAGAUAUGCACCCUACAAACCGGUACUAAUACCGAAUUUUCUAAUAGUGAAUGGUGCCGGUAGGCGUCCCCUUCAGCUGCAUUCUCUUCCAACCUGCAUACAAAGAGUCACUGGAGAUAGCGUGAUACAACCUCGGUUAGUCAGGCGAUCAAAUGAUAUAACCUCGAGUUAAUCUAGGCCGAAGCCAAUUAGCUUCCGUGUUUCUAUCUGAAGCUGGCAGAGUUAGCGCCUUGUCUGGGCGAGCUAAGACCCGGGUUAUAGGCGAAGGGGAUGAGUUUUGGACAGAUCCCCAACAUCUCGAAAAAUUAAUCUCGGUUGGGCAUUGGAGAGUUAUGCUCCUUCCCAACCGGGACUAAUAGUCAGUUUUCUACUACUGGUUGUGUAGAGGUGAGGAGGCGAGGGUUUUAGGUGAGGACGAUGAGGUGGCACCGCUCCCUUUCUCCGAUUCAACUGUCUCUAUAAAAUUGAUAUGGUUAGAUAUGUCAUAUUCUGUGGUACCACCUCGCGAUCACGAUGUGUGUGCCUCUAUAUAUGUUGUGCCAUUGCAGUCCAUUCGAUCGAGGGAGUACCAUAGCGUGACUGAACUACUGAAAAUGAAAAGCCUACACUUCUGCAACAACACAGUCUACCCCUAUGUUUACAACCUGACUUCCUCCUACAUCGACCAGAACAAUGAGGCCACCAUGGUGACCACCACCUUGGUCAUGUUUAUGCUGGCCGUGUUCGUCUUCAACCUCAACCUCUUCAGCCGCUUCUUGGACGUGAGCGCGAUUCUCAACCCUAGCGUCCGCCUCUUCCUCUCCACCUCCCUGUCCCUCUUCCUGCCGGUCAUGUCCUACCUCUUCUCCGAGGCCAAGAACCAAGGUGCAACGACGACCAUGGCUGCUAGUACUAGUAGCUCCAGUUAUGGCGAGCUCGGUGACGAGCUGUCACUUCGAGCUAGGACGAUCCUCAUGUGGAUGCUUCUUGUGGAGCUCCUACGCAAGAAGGUGGAGGCCGUCCUGGUCAACGUGGGCAUGCAGUGGUACUCAGGCGCCAUCGAUCGCUUCGCCCGCAUUGUUUGGCUCUGCUAGCUCGUCUUCUACAAUGUCAAAAGCCCCGGCAAGAAGGCGAUCUACGGCACCUUAUGGGUCCUCACUGCUGCCAAGUUCCUGCAAAGGGUCGUCGUCAAGAUGGUGCUGGAGCGUUCCUUCGCCUACGGAAGGAACACCCAGCUGCUCAACUCAUACAUGGCCCAGAUCAUCCAACAACAAGAGCAAGAGGAGCACUUGGGGUCAUCGUAGGCGGAGCUGUUGAAGAAGUGCGAGUACACCGUGAUGGGAGAAGACAACCUGGAGAGGACGGCUGGCCGGCAUGCAUGGCUACCAGGUCGAGCUGAACAAGGCAGCCGUUGUCACCGUUGGUGACAUUUGGACGCAGGCAGCAGCCGAGCCGGACAGCCUCCUCCGGAGAGAACACCUCAGAAGGCUCUGCCUCUCCUUUGUUCUCUACAAGCUGCUGCGCCGGAGGUUCGAGGACAUCCCCACAACAAGGGAGGAGACCCGGAACUGCCGGAACCUCAUCUUCAAGGGCAUGUUGAAGGAGGAGGCGGAGCAAGGUGCCGAGGUCGCACUGUUCCAGUCUUCAACGAUGAGACCCAGUUCGUUUGCGAGUACUACCAUUCCGUCCUACCCGUCGUCUUGUCCGACCCUUUCUUCUUCAUAGCCAACUACAUCUUGUUUCCCAUUGUAGUUUGUGCCUUCUGCCUCCUAACAUUGAUCAUCUGCGGCAAUGGGAGCGUCCACUACGCCUACCAGAGCAUCAAAAGUGACAACUACAUCAUAUACACUGGCGCGACGACGCUGACCAGAUGCCUCCUGAGAAACAUCGCCCAUUCACCCGAGGUGCUAGCUGUUCGCCAGCAUCGACCUAGGCACCACCACUCUGCUCAUCCUGGCCUUCGUCUACGAGGAAGUCGUGGAGGUCCUCGUCUUUAUCCUCUCCAAUUGGCUCAUCGUGUCGCUCAUCUGUCAGUACACCGCCAAGCUCCACUGGCGGCAGAGCCGCAUCCUGUGUCGGCUCAUCCGCGGCAUCCUGUGGGUGCGAAGCAUGCUAUAAGCCACCCUAACCUCUGCUUCAAGCAGCUCUCCGUGCUAGGGUUCUUCCAACUGUCGUCGCCUUCGCCGUUCAUGGUGCCAACCAAGGCAGUGCCCAAGGAGGUAAUUAAAGAUUCUUCAUCGGUAAUGUCGCGCGGUUCUUGGUUUCAAGUACUGCCUGUAUUUUUUUUAUUUUUUUUUUGCCUUGUCAUUUGGUCCGUCAGAACUAAGUUUGUCGAAUUCCUUCUGAAUAAGCUUGAGACGCUGGUCGUGCUUGUUUGUUGGUGUGCCUACGUGCCGCGUAGUUGUCGUAGCAAAUACUUUCGGUUCCAUAUCGCCUGUGACAUUCAGCAUGUUGUCUUUUUUUUUUUGAAGCGCAUUCAGCAUGUUUCGCAGAUGUUUGGAAGGAUGAUCCAAAUUCUGAAUGCACAGACCAUGUUGGGAAAUUGAUUUCCCCACUGCGUGUCUGUGUUUACAUGCAUCUUCUUACUGUGGUUCCAAUGGCCCGUCUAGGCCCAUACAGGCCUAUCAGGUGGAUGGGCCGGCCGGCCUCCUGGAUCAACAAGGCCGGUAUCCCUUCUUGCCCGUCCGCCCCCGCUGUAGAAACAAAACCAGAACCAGCAGAUCCCCCGGGCCCUGAAGAGAAAGACGAUGGCAACAGAAGAAAGAGCUCGCGACGAAGCCGGCGAAAGCCCCCCAAACCCUCCCCAGCCCAGGCAGCGGCGGCGCGACGAGAUGGCCGACGACCCCACCGCCGGCGGCGGGAACACCGUCGAGGACGUCGUCCGCGCGGAGGUGAGCAUCCCCGGCCGGCCCUCGUCCUCUUUGCUGCGAGUGCCGGGGAAUCCGAUCUCCGCCCGUGCCGACCUGGCUCUGCUCGGCUGCCCCCGAUCUGCCCGCGCAGGUGGCGGCGCCUCGCCCCCAGUUCGGUUUCGGGUUAGAGGUGUCCCAUCGUGGUGUCUGGGCGGGGGGAAUCCGGCGACGAGGCGUUCUCCCUCCCGUUGGCUCGGUUGGCGCGGACGGACGCGGUGGGCCUGGUUGGGGAAUCUGUGCCCGUUUCGAUUUGGGUGUAGAAUAGGUAUACGUCUGCAAAAUUGAUAGAAUUAGGCCCGUUUAUAUCGGUCCUGGUACUUGGGCCAUGACGCUUUGGAUCGCCCACAAAAAUCCACAAACGCAGGCAGGGCCGGUCAUCCCGGAUAAAUCCAAAAUGAUUUUUACCGGUUACCGACCCCGGCGGUUUCGAUUUUUACCGAAAACCGGUCGGUAACCGGUAAAAACUGGACGAAUUCAAAAGACGAAUUGCCAGCGCAACUGGUAAAAACCGCUCGGUAACCCGCCCGAAUUCAAACCGCUUGGUAACGGUAAAAACCGCAUAGUAAACUGCCUGAAUUCAAAAUUUGAAAAUUUUGAAUUCGAGCGGUUUACUGUGCAGCUGAACCGGUGCUGGACCGGAGCGGUUGUUUUCGUCGGUUUUGUAAAUCCUAUUUGUGAUUCGGUGGGAGCAUUGCGCUAAAGACUCGGGCAUAAAGAUAGAUAAAAGCAACAAAAGAAACGGUUUCCCAGCUAAAGGUGGUGGGCCAAGUGACAGCUAGCAGUGGAGAGGGGGGCAUUCCAGCGGCCUGCAAGGCGGUUUCCCAGCUGGCCCGUCCUCAUUUACUAAUCCCCACCAAGCUUAGGGGGUGUUUGGAUCCCGGACUAAAUUUUAAUCCCUGUCACAUCGAAUGUUUGACACUAAUUAGGAGUAUUAAACAUAGGCUAAUUACAAAACCAAUUUCACAACCCCUAGGCUAAAUCACGAGACGAAUCUAUUAAGCCUAAUUAGUCCAUGAUUUGACACUAUGGUGCUACAGUAAACAUUCGCUAAUGAUGGAUUAAUUAGGCUUAAUAGAUUCGUCUCGCGAUUUAGCCUAGGGGUUCUGCAAUUAGUUUUGUAAUUAGCUCAUGUUUAGUCCUCCUAAUUAGCAUCCGAACAUCCGAUGUGACACAGACUAAACUUUAGCUCCAGGAUCCAAACACCCCCUUAGCAUCUUUCCUUUCGAUGAAAUAAAAAAAUUGUUAAUCUCAACUGCUCCUCGAUUACCGCAUAGAUUAACACCUCUUUAGCCUUUGUGGCACGGCACCUAAGGCUCCGUUUUCUUCCAUUGACUUAUUUUUAGCACCCGUCACAUCAAAUAUUUAGAUACUAAUUAGGAGUAUUAAACGUAGACUAUUUACAAAACCCAUUACAUAAGACGAAUCUAAACGGCGAGACGAAUCUAUUAAGCCUAAUUAGUCCAUGAUUUGACAAUGUGUUGCUACAGUACCAUAGUGUCGUAUCGAUGGCAUUAAUGAGCCUUAAUUAGGCUUAAUAGAUUCGUCUCGCCGUUUAGAUUCCACUUAUGUAAUUGGUUUUGUAAAUAGUCUACGUUUACUACUCCUAAUUAGUAUCUAAACAUUCGAUGUGACACGUGCUAAAAAUAAGACACGGGAAGAAAACGCCCCCUAAUACUUUCCUCACCUUUGCAGUGCCGUGGGCCCGCCACUUCCCUUCUGGCCCACAAGUCAUGGAGGCGCGCGAGGAGGGGUAUCGGUUUCACGAUGAUUAAUAAAGAAAGACACCGGCACACCGCACCGCAUGCACCUCCACCACUUGCGUUGCCUUUGCCUUUGCUUUUCCCCGAGCUCGCCCGCCUAGGAGCUCCAGCAGCCGGUCCGCUCCGCCACCGGUGCGGCAACCACGCCGCCGUCAGAUCGCCUCGCGCGGCCACCGGUCGUCCCCGCGAUACACCGCCGCCGGUGCGCCGUGCGCGGCGGCGCUGUCCCGCCGCUCCUCCGCCUACCGUCGGCCUGCGCCACCACCAGCGCACCGGCAGCACCGCGAGCUGCCGCGACGCCCCGACGUUGGUCCUUCCUGAGCCCGGUGUCGUCACCAGCGUAGCGGAGAAGCUAAUUACCUGAAGCAAUUUGUAGAAACGAAUAGUACUGGUUCGUUCACUUAUUUCUUUGCUCAAACUUAAUUUCUGCUUAGAGUUUGUGCCUAAAUUAGCUGCUUAUUCUGCUGGUUGCACGCAGGAGAUCGAGCUACGGGCGUACGGCCGGAUCGGAGGAGGACAUAUCAGCCGGGUUCCUGUUGGUUGUGUACUUGUGUUCCUGCCGACGGAGAAGCAACCAUGGCCGAGUUACUGAUCGGGCCACUGAUCUCCAUGGUGAAGGAGAAGGCAUCCAGCUACCUGCUGGACCAAUACAAGGUGAUGGAAGGCAUGGAGGAGCAGCGCAAGACCCUGGAGCGCAAGCUGCCAGCAAUCCUGCACAUCAUCCAGGAUGCGGAGGAGAAAGGAGCCUCCCGACCUGAAGUUGCAGUUUGGCUUAAAGACCUCAAGACAGCGGCCUAUGAGGCCAACGACGUCUUUGAUGAGUUCAAGUACGAGGCGCUUCGGCGAGAAGCCAAGAAGAAGGGCCACCACAGCAAGCUUGGAAAUGAGGUAGCAAGACUCCUAGUCCCCGCUCGUAAUCCCAUUGUAUUCCGUUACAGGAUGGGCAAGAAGCUACGCAGGAUUGUGCAGACCAUCGAGGCCUUGGUCACCGAGAUGAAUACAUUUGGUUUCAGGCACUUGCAGCAAGCACAGCCAUCAAGGCAGUGGCGACAGACAGAUUCCAUAAUCAUUGACUCCGACAGAGAUAUUCUUAGCAGAUCUAGAGAUCGGGAGAAGAAGAAAAUCGUGGGGAUGCUCCUUGAUCAAGCUAGCAACAGGGAUCUCAUGGUUCUUCCAAUUGUUGGGAUGGGUGGGAUGGGCAAGACCACCUUUGUGCAACUCAUUUACAAUGACCCUGCAAUCGAGAAGCACUUUGAGUUUCGGAGGUGGUACUGCGUGUCAGAUGAUUUCGAUGUCAGUACCAUUGCAAGCAACAUCUGCCAGACCAAUGAGAAAUAUCGUGAAAAAUCAUUGCAGGAGCUCCAUAGUACAAUAAGUGGAAAAAGGUACCUCAUUGUGUUAGAUGAUGUAUGGAAUCGGGAUGCUGAUAAGUGGGGAAAACUAAAGACCUGCCUUAAGCAGGGUGGCAAGGGCAGUGCAGUACUAACAACAACUCGUGAUGCAGAAGUGGCUCGCAUUAUGACCAUGGGUGUAGCUAAAGCCCAUAAUAUCGAGAAUCUGAGCGAUGAGCAUUUAAAGGAAAUUGUCCAGAGCAGAGCAUUCAGCUUGCAAAAUCCAAAUAUGGAAGAGCAAGAUGGCAUUCUCAGUGGAUUUGUUCGUCGAUGCGUUGGAUCUCCCUUGGCUGCCAAAGCCUUUGGCUCUAUGUUGAGUAACAGGACUAGUAUAAAUGAAUGGAAGGAUAUAUUAGCUAAAAGUAACAUUUGUAGUGAGAAAACCGGAAUUUUACCGAUCCUCAAGCUCAGUUUUGAUGACCUAUCCUCAGAUAUGAAGCAGUGCUUUGCAUUUUGUGCUUUAUUUCCUAAAGAUUAUGAGAUCGAUGUGGACCUCUUGAUUCGACUGUGGAUGGCACAUGAUUUCAUACCUGUGCAGGAGGAUGACAAUCUAGAAACCGUAGGAAAAUAUAUUUUUGAGGAGCUAACUCGAAGGUCAUUCUUUCAAGAUGUCAAGCAAACACUUCCAAUAAUUGUCAAGCAAACACUUCCACUUCCAUAUCGCUCUGUUGGAAUUCUUCGUAAGUCAACCAUAUGCAAGAUACAUGAUCUCAUGCAUGACAUUGCUCUAUCUGUUCUGGGGAAAGAAUGUGUCACUAUAGUUGGUAAGCCGAGCAUCAACAAGCUGUUGCUAAAUCCGACCCGCCACGUCUUCUUAUCAAUAUAUACUACUUUCUGGAAAGAACAGGUUACAAGUCUACUGGAUCAUCUAUUGAAGAAACAAACUGCAAUGCUCCAUACGUUGUUUAUCAAAGAUUAUGGUCAACCCCUUGAUAUAUCAAAGUACACUUCACUGCGAGCAUUACACCUUCCAGCAUAUGAGUAUCUAAGUUUUGGACAGGAACAGCUUACAAGACACAUACAACACCUAAGGUAUCUUAAUCUGUCGUCACAUGAGUUCGAGAAACUUCCUGAAGGUAUAAGCAUGAUGUAUAAUCUACAAUCGUUGGACCUCUCUCAUUGCAUAAAGCUUCGUCAACUUCCAAAGGAUAUGAAAUAUAUGGCAAACCUCCGACACCUCUAUACCCAUGGAUGCAAAUCAUUGACGUGCAUGCCUCCAGGACUUGGACAGAUCACUUCUCUGCAGACUCUAACAUAUUUUGUUAUUGGUGAUUGCUUGGGAUGUAGUACUAUCGGAGAACUUCGAAACUUAAACCUUGGUGGAGAGUUAGAGUUAAGUGGUCUGCAAAAUGUAACAGAAGUGCUUGCAAAAGCAGCCAAUCUUGAAAAUAAAGAGAAACUCACACACUUAUCUCUCAAGUGGAAUGAUGAUGCCCCUGAGAAAACAGAUUCUCAUAAUGAGGUGUUAGAUGCCCUUAAACCUCAUCACCGGCUAGAGAUGCUAAGAAUAAAGUCCUACAAAGGCACCAAUUUACCGUCA
Molecule: long non-coding RNA, 155792 nt
Filed under: Setaria italica (foxtail millet)
Lineage: Eukaryota; Viridiplantae; Streptophyta; Magnoliopsida; Poales; Poaceae
Description: long non-coding RNA (SITA_LNC006295)
Source: RNAcentral